This 112142-nucleotide long non-coding RNA is filed under the name Solanum tuberosum (potato). RNAcentral's name for it is "long non-coding RNA (STUB_LNC006936)". The record is from RNAcentral. Lineage: Eukaryota; Viridiplantae; Streptophyta; Magnoliopsida; Solanales; Solanaceae.
UUUUUUUUUUUUUUUGUACAAUAGAAUUAUAGUACUACUUCACCUCUAUUCUUCAAACAUUUUGUCAUAUUAAACAACCCAAUUAGCUACUCCAUAUAUGUUUUUUUUUUUAAAAUCACCCGGAUCUCGUUUAACUCAUUUUCCCUCAUCUUCUAUUAGAAAAAACAAUGAAAGAUUAAAAAUUCAAGGCUUUCCUCUGAGACCAAUAAGUUCGAUGUUUUUACUUAUUAUUAAUAAUUCAAAUCAAAUAAAAACAACAACAACAACAACAUUCCUGGUGAAGUUCCACAAGUAAGGGUAUAGUAUCUAUAAACCUUACCUGAGACGGUUUCCAAAGACCUUUAGCUCGAGUACACUAAAAAAGGAAACCAAAAUCACAUAGGAUUUUAUUACCAGCCUUCCAAAAAGAAAAUGUAAGCAAACAUACAUCAAAGUACUUUUUUUUUAAGCCAUAUAGAAGAAGUGGCCAGGUUGGGCUCAAUGCCUUUAAAAUGAGGCAUCUGUUUUCGGCCCACAAAUUUGAGGGCCCCAUUUUUAUAAAUUUUUUACAAAAAAAAUUAUAUUAUGUUUUUCUUUUAGUUCGUUUCAAAAUAUUAAAGAAUGUUUUUUUUUGUCAAUUAUUAAAUUUAACUUCCAUAUGACAAGAUUAAAAAAUAUUUUGGUAUAUUAUAUAUAUACAUAUAUUUAUCUUUAGGUUAAGACCAUAGAAAACAUAAAGUUUUUUCAUUAAAAAAAAGAGAAAGAAAUAACUUUACAUCUCACAAAUAAAAAUAUUAAAAAUCAGAUCUUCGAUUUAUUUUUGGCUUUCCACUCUACCAAAUGGAUUUACUUUUGGCUUUCCUCUCUACCAAAUGGAUUGGGUGGGUUUUAAAAAUCUUGCCCAUCCUCCACUUUGGGCUCCAAAGUAAAUGGUGUUUCACUGUCGUUAAAUCUGUCUAAAUGAUCAAAAAAUUCUUGUUCCAUCCGAAUUUGUAGAACUACAAAAAAGAUAGGUUAGAAAAUAUCGAUAACUUUAUUACGGAUCAAGAAAUGAGUAUUGUGCAAUUUAAAUUACCUUCCUCGGCAUUGAUGCGUAUAUCAUCCCGAAAAUUCAAAUAAGUGACCUACUAACCAGCCAAUUGAAGUAGAGAAGGAUAGUGAUUAUGUUUGAUGGGUUCAACGACCCAACUCCUCUUAUACGAAGGUUCCUAUAUUGGAACCAAAAUGAUGUUAAUGUUACAUUUUUUUUUGUUUUCAUCUUAUUUCAAAUUACAUUCUAUAACUAUUUCCUUAUAAGAUGUUUUCAAUAAAAAAUACGUGUUUGCUAGCAUGCAUUAUCAAAGAUCAUCAAAGGAAAAAAUGAAUGAUUUGUUAGAAAGAUGAUUGUCUUGUUUGUAUGCUUAAAGAUUUGAUUGCUUUUUCUUUUUGUGGGCGGGCUUAGCAGUAUCUAGAGUUUGACUUGGUACUUCAAAAUUUACAUAUACGAAAAGAAAAAUUAAUAGUUUUGCUCAAUAAACAAAUAAAUCUCACAUUAUAGCUAAAGAUUGAUAGUUAUAGACAUAAUAAUGAACAACUAUAGAGUUAGAAUUUAAGAACGCACUCAAUAAGAAAAUGUAGAAAACAAAAUCGUUACAUGACAUAUGAUACAUAAAAAUACGUAAAAAUGUAAUUUAAUUAAAUCGUUACAUGACAAGUGAUACAUAAAAAUAUGAAAAAAUGUAGUUCAAUAGUUUAACAAAAGGAAUAAAUAGUUGAAACUAGGAGUGUCAAAUGGGUGGGUUGAGUUGAAAUUGGAGAUAUUAAAAUGGUUGAAAUAGGAAUUGGGUUGGAUCCUAAGUCCUAACCCGCCCAAGUUUACUUUGGGGUCAAAUGGGCUGAAAAACGGGUUGGGUCUUGACCCGCUUAAUCUCAAUUAUUGUAAUAUAUUGUUAUUUAAGUUUUAUUACCACAAUUUGAAUUUUAACUCAACAAAAUUUUAAAAAAGAAGUUACAAAUGGAUAGAUAAAUCUUAAAAGAUAUAAAAUAGAUAAGAACUCAUACAUUCAAUAUAGGAACAUACAUUAUAUCAAUGCAAACAAAAAGUCUUAAAACGGGUUGAAACUGAAGAUUAAAUUGGAUUCAAUUGAGAAUUCUCUAAAAAUGGGUUGAGAUUGAACUCAAUUCAAAUUAUCUUGAGCCCAACCCUUAAAAUUCUGGACGGAUUGGACGAAUUACCUAUAAUUGGGCUCAUUUUUGACACCCCUAGUUGAAACUCUUACAACAUCCCAUAUUUAUAAUUUUUCAUGCCAACAAGUCAUACUCUCUAUAGCAAAGGGCUAAACAUCUAUGAUUUCCAAAGAGAAAACAUUAAACACAUUCUUCCAAUGCUCGAAUGUAACCCUUUUUGGAAAGACAUUGAUAUUGUUUACACGAUUUAUAUGCGAACCUAAUUGACGCGUACAGGUACUUAAUGUUGUUCAUCCUGUAUUCCUAAGAUAUUUAGAACAAAAAAAUUGGAGAGCUUGGUAAGAAAUAACAAAGUUUAAAGAGUAUGUUCAAAACUAGAAAAUUAAAACCGGUAAAGAAAAUAUAAUCAGAAACAGAUUAGAGACAAUAUACAAAAUAUUUUUCUCAAAGAAGAAAAUCGAGCCCACUGAAUGCACAGUGUCCCCUUAAGGAAAUUAUUCCCCUCAAGUAUCCAGGGUUAAUGGAAUAUAUCCUCCAAGGAUAGAAUGAUCAUAUUCACCGGUGUAUCGGUACCUAUAACCAGGGUGUCAGCGAACCACUCAACAACAGUAAAGUACACUUAGAAUACUACAUUCAGUAGUAGAAAAAGAAGUCCGGAAAAUUGGUUUUUUUCCUUCUUUUUAAAAAAUAAAAGGAAACCCUCUAUUUAUAGACAACAAAGGGUAGUGUGAACAAAUGUUUAUUGUGCCUUAUCGGAAAGGUCACAACCCUUUGAAAAGUUACAACCCUUCAGAAAGGUCACAACAUUUCAUAAAAGCCACAACUCUUCAUAAAAGUCACAACUUUUCAUUAAAGUCACAACUGAUCUUCAUAAAAGUUGCAACUCUUCAUUUUCCAUUCACACCUUUUAAAACCCAACAAUAUAAUCUCCCCCAUGAAUGGGGAAUGACUAUAAGACAAAGAAACAAACAAGUGUGUAUACUUUACAAGCAAGAAUUAAUCGCAUCUGGAUAAGUAUGUUUCCCUUUGAACUUUCCGUAGUAAAUAUAUGUCGGAUAUACUCGGUCAAUCGAUACAAUAUAUUUAUGGUGACAAAGCGAACUCUCAAUUUAAUUAGGAGAUCAGCUCUCUAUCUUUCCUUGAAUUUCGAUCCAAUUCGCUUUCUCACAGUAUAUUAGGAAAUGUGUGUGAUCAAAAGCAUAUCUUUUAUAGCCAAACAAAACUAUAACCUUACUGAACUUUUCAAACCACGUCUUCGGGAUUGCUUCGGUUCAUAUAUGAUUAUUUUUCAAUCUCAUACAUCAAAAAAGUUGUUUGUUGUUUCGAUGCUAGAUAUGUCACAACUUGUGGGAUUUUAGAUACAAACAUUUGCUAAUUAAAAAUAUUACUAGGAAAAGAACGUGUUAAAAAAAAUGGAUAAUAUAUAAAUUUGGAAAAGACAUUUUUGACACACAUUAAGUAAUAAGAGGGACAUUUUGGACCAAAGUAUUGAUGACCAAACCAUAAAUCUAGCUAGAUAGAAAUUUUGAAGAGAUUAAAGCUGCUAUCUACACUUGUACCCCAGAUAAAAGUGCAGGAAUUGAUGGUUUGACAGUGUUUUUUACGAUAGUGCUUGGGAUUUUGAUCAAACCAGAUAUUAUUAAGCAUCUCAAUCUCCUUCUUCUUCUUCUUAUCACUACUCGUCGUCGUUUUCUAGGGCACAAAAACACAGAGUAGAAUUGGAUCAUUUAGGAGCUCGUCAAUUCGGAUCAGAGCCAUAAAAUUCGCAACUUCAAACAAUAUCUCUUGGAUCAUUCCACGGGUCGUAGGCCAUGUAUACUACAUGUGUAUCAUCAUGUAUAUCAAAUUUUUCAGAUUUCAUAAAAAUGUUAUUUUGAGUCAUGUACUUUCAAUGUUCUUUAUUGUGAUUUGUGUGUGAGUCAAACUCAUUCACGUUUGAUUUGAUUGGUCCAAUAAAAUUACGAACCAAUUUCAUUAUAUUGUACCACAUGUCUUAACAAGUCCAUUUGACAAAUUAUGUCACAUCCCUUGACACAUGACAUGAUAUUAAAAUUAUAUAAAAUAACAAACUAUUAAUUCAAAUUAUAAAAAAAUUUUAUUUGUAAUUCGCAUCAAACAUCCCCUUUUUUUGCCAUCUGAUUUGGUAUACAAUUAGCCAUUUUCGAUAUACAAUUACUCAUUCGGUAUACAAAUGUAUAAAAUGCGUUUGUGUUUGUAUAAAAUGAGAGAAAAGUGUAUAUACAAAUACAAAUACAUAUAUUUUCGUUCUAUACACGUAUAAUUAUACAAAUACAGAUCUUAUUAUACAAAUUACAAUGUAUAAAUGAAUUUAUACAAAACUGAACAAUUUAUAUAAAAUUGGAUAUAUCUAGUGAAUUACACAAAUCAAAAGCUUUAUAGCAAACAUAAAUUUGCUAUGGAGCACAAUUAUACAUACUAUAGCUAUAACAUACAAAUAUGAUUUUUAUGUUUGUUAUGUGAAAGUUGUUCUAUUAUUAACUACUUCGCUCCACAUAACGCUACAAAUUAGAUAUGUGACAUUAGUAUAGGCUUUUAAGAUGGACCAUUGGACAUGGGCUUGUGAAAUGAGAUGGCAACUCAAUGGACUAGUCCAAAUAAAGUUGGUAUGGGCUCAUUCAUGUUUGGAUUUGGGCAAUUCAUCUUUCUUGGGUUUGAUAUCUCUUAAAUUAAUAUAUAGUAUAGUAAUUAUCAAAAUCUAGAUAUGAAUUUAAUCACAUCCAUGAACAACUUGGGUAAAGGGAGGAAGCUAAUGUAUGAUUUCUUUGAGGAGCGAGGGUUAACGUUUAAUUCGAUAAUGAACCUAUCUAUUUAUAUCUAUCAAAGAAUUCCUUCUAUGCAAGCUAUUACUCUAUCUAAACCCUCUAUAUGUCUAUAUAUCAAUCAAAGUAUACUGAAAAACAAUCAAUAUGUAUGAUUCAAUCAAAUUAAUUUAUCAAUAUAAUCAAAACAUAUAAAAUUUCUAUAUUGAUUAUGUACAUUAUAUAAAUAUAUUAUACUUAAAUAUACAAAACCUAUAUAUUUGAAAUACCAAAGAUUAUGAUAAAGUUAUAAGUCUCAUUCAUACAAUCGUCCUAAAAAAAAGAUUUUAUCCUCUCAACGUCUAAUUUAAAUUAAUCUAACCUCAAAACUUGAUUAUUUUUUUUUGUCCAUAUACAUGAUAAAGAAGAUUUGAAGAAAUAUCUAUUCCUCAAAAGGGUUUAAGCAGAGGUUUUUGUUGUGAGCUUCACUCACUUUAGUUACCUUAUCCUCUCUUUCUCUCUUCUCUUUUAUCAAUUAUCAUCCAAUUCCACCAUUAAAGCUGGCUUCUUCAGCCUCAUACUCUCCAAGCCCACCAUCUUCUCAAUGGAGAAAAACUCAAAAAUCCCAAAAAAACUGCUUUUUAUAUGGCAUUCACAGUCAAGAAUUCCUCAAAUUAUCCCAAACUUCUUCAUUUCCUAAAACACUAAAAUUACCUGUAAUUCAAUUGCCAAUUACUGUUCAUUCCGAAGUAGUAUGUGUAUCCACUGAUGAGAAUCUCACUGAAAAUCUUGAAGAAUUGGUGAAUUUGCAGAAAAUCCCAAAUGGGUAUCCUUUGGUUUUGCAAAAAGAAUCUAAUAAAAGGGUGUUUAUUCAAGACCCACCUUGGGUUUCUUCGCUUUUUAUGAAUAGUUUGUUUGUUAGAGCUAAACAGGUAAAAGGGGUUAGAAGGGAAUUUCGAGAAAUUGAGAGGAGGAGAAGGUAUGCUAUGUUGAGGAGGAGACAGAUAAAGGCGGAAACCGAGGCGUGGGAGCAAAUGGUGGAGGAAUAUAGGGAGUUGGAGAGGGAAAUGUGUGAGAAGAAACUAGCACCCAAUUUGCCCUAUGUUAAGAAAUUGUUGUUAGGUUGGUUUGAGCCAUUAAGGCAAGCUAUAGAAAAGGAGCAGAAUGCUGAGAUGACACAGAAACAUAGGACGGCUUAUGCGCCACAUAUUGAUUCACUGCCUGCUGAUAAAAUGGCUGUGAUUGUGAUGCAUAAGUUGAUGGGGUUGUUGAUGAUGGGUGGUAAAGAAGAAAGGUGUGUUCAGGUGGUCCAGGCUGCAGUGCAGAUUGGCAUGGCAGUUGAGAAUGAAGUGAGUGUCACAUUUUCAAAAUGUUGGUGCUUUUUGUUGCCUGUUUGUGAUGUUGUGUUAUAUUAUGCAUCCGAAUUAUGUUUUUUGCAUAAUGUUUUGUAAUGGAACUAUGGAACUAUGCUAUAAUAGUAACUAAAGAGGUGAUUUUGCAUGUUACAUUAGAAGUAUGGAAUGUAUAAGGUAUACUCGAUGAAUAGCGAGAAGAAGUAAAAGAAAAAAAAAACUAUUAACCAAGGAUCUAUAGAUUAAAAUAUAUACCAUUUGAAUGAUGUCUACUCAAAAAGAAAACCUACUCUGUAAUUAUCUAAAGGUUAUAUCUAGACUCUAGAGAUAUAAGUUGUGGUUUCAUUCGGAGACUAAUUCUUCCAAUUGUUCAAGGGUUUAGGUAAUGAAUCCUCUCCUCUUUGCAAGUUACUGUUUGACUGAGAACUAUGAGUUGUGGUUGUGUUCCAAGAGUUAGUUGACUUUCGGUUUUUUUGUUAUGCCUAUCAGUCCGAUAUAAAUAGUUCUACUGUUUUUAAGAUUUUAUGAGCUCCCUCACACUAGACUAGCCCUUAACAUGGUUGUUCUCUUUUUGCUGUUUGGCUAGCUCCCUGAUCCUGUCUUGUAUAGGAGCUAGCAUCUCUAUUUUUGUAACCAUUGCAUCUUCUUGAUGCCAAUCUAUGAACUACUUACUUUAUCAAAAAAAGAAGUUUGUUGAAUUUAUGUUAGAUCUGUUAUCGAGCUUGUAUUUUCUCUGAUGCAAGUAGAACCUGCUAGUUUGUUUCCUUUUUUCUAAGAACUCAAGUAUCAUUCUUCAGUAAUUAUGAAUAAGAAAAGCUGGAAGUAUCCAUCAUUUCUGAUUAUGAUUUAUAGCGUGUUACUUUAAUGGCGCUCCAUUCACCUUUCAGUUGGUUAUGAAGGUGUUGAGUGGCUCAGGUUGCGCUGCUCAAUGCUAGGAAUCCUGCCAAAAACAUUUCUUUUUAACGUAUGUGCUUCCCUCUAACUCCCUGAAUUUGCUUCUUUAUUUUAGCUAGUUUUGUAUAAACAGACUGUCUUAUCAUGCCAAACUAUUUAUAGUAUCUACCUGUUUAGGGAAUUAAUGUAGCCACGGAUUGUCUUGUUGUUUGGAAUACUAAGUGCUAUUAUGGGGGUAAACACAAAAUAACUCAUUUUAAAAUAAUGGUAUGCCUGGAAUAAGCAAAUUGACCUCAUCAAUGAUAUUUCUCAGGUUAGGAUUCAUAAUUUCAUGGAGAAAACAAAGAAGCACCAAAAACAUAUGAGUGGAGCUCAAGGUCAAGAAGAUAUGAGUAGGGAGACAAUGAUUCUAAGGAAACGUGUCAAAAGCUUGAUUAAAAGGAACAGAGUAGUUGAGGUGAGAAAGCUGAUGCAAAGUGAAGAACCCGAGUCUUGGGGUCGGGACACACAGGCUAAGGUUUGUUAUAUAGAAACUUUCUUCGUGAUGAGAGCUACUAAUCUUUUUAGGUUAAAAUCUUAUCCUAGUGACUGUUUCUUUGAAUCUCAUGCAGUUAGGAUGCCGUCUUUUAGAAUUAUUAACAGAAACAGCUUAUGUGCAACCUCCAGUGGAUCAGUCUGCUGAUACUCCUCCUGAUAUUAGACCUGCAUUCAGGCAUGUAUUCAGAAUUGCUACAAGAGAUCCAGGGUCAGUGCGUUUUCCUUUUCUUUGAUAUUUAUCUUAAAAAAUCACAAUAUCAUACUUCUUAUUAUUCAUAAAAAAAAAGGAGUCUGGAGUAGUGUACUAGACUGCUACAUUAUGGCAUAACAAAUCUAACAAUAGAAAUUGUUUUAGUGAUAAGCUGUGUGUAAACUCUGAUCCUUAAACUAAAACAUGCCAAAAGCAUCUCUCCCUAGCUGAUUUAUCUAGGAUGAAGUUCUCAUUGUCAAAACACAUGCUCCUAGGUGUUAACUUCCAGAUAGAAGGUUCGUGUGUUAUUUUUCCUUUCACAAAAUUGUUUGUUGUUCGUGCAGGAAGAACAUUGUCAAGAAGUAUGGUGUCAUAGAAUGUGAUCCCUUGGUUGUUGUUGGAGUUGACAGAACAGUAGGUUAUACAAACUUCUUUUGCUUUAAUCAUAUUAAUAUUUUACCAUGAGUAAAAUUCCUCAGUUUAUUUAUUUUAUAGUAUAACUUUAGCGACCCUACGAAAGAGGAGUUGUACUGCAACACUUUGGUUGUAUAAAAGCUAGAAGGUCUUGCUGGUUCUGUUUCUUUUUUUACUUGUUAUAAUGAUAGCAUGUUAUCUCUGCCGAUCAAAGAUUUUGAAUUAGAAAAUAACAUAGUGGAAGAAUGAAUUUGACUUGAAACUCCGAUACCUGCACUCCACUAUGGCCCCAUUGUCUAAGCACAUCAGGAUUGUUGGAUUUAUUUUCGUUGCUGUCUACCUUGAUAUUCACAGCCAUUUCCUGGGACCUUAAAAUUUUACAAACAAAAGCCAAAGAUAGAAGUUUACUGACCACCUUCCAGAGAGAGAGGAAAUAAUUUUUCAUUUUAGUCUGUCAAAUAAAGAAAUAUAAAGGAAUCACUUGACAGUUUAAUGACUCUAUUAUGCAGUUAAUAAUGUGACAUUGUGCUUCAAACUUCUAAUUUUUUUUAUUGCAGGUUAAACAGAUGAUGAUUCCUUACGUGCCUAUGUUGGUGCCACCCAAAAAAUGGAGAGGGUAUAAUACCUUUUCAACUUUUAAUGAUAAUAUCCCCACGAUUCGUUAUUUAGGUUUUGGUUGUAGUUAAUAGGAUUAAAUUUAUGCUAGAACUCAUGCUGUAGAUUGGAACAUGUAAAUAUGGCUGAACCAGUGUUAGAAGGGGAAAAUUCUCUGUUUUUCUUCUGAAGAUAUUAUACAGUUGUAAUCGCACACCCUUUGUUCUAGUUCACCUAUAAAACUACUCUAUCUUAUGAAAAAAACAUAAAUUUAUGUGAGAACAUUCUCAGGUUUCAAAGAAAUUUUAACGGAACUUGACUAUCGAGCAAUUGUAUCUCAGGUAUGACAAAGGAGGAUACUUGUUCUUGCCUUCGUAUUUGAUGCGCACUCAUGGAUCUAGGAGGCAACAAGAUGCUGUAAGAAGUGUUCCCGCGAAACAAAUGCAGCAAGUUUAUGAGGUGAAGUUUGAUUCUUAAUGUUUCAUUCUUUCAGAAUGGAUGAAGCCAAUCCAGUUGCGCAAAAUAAUGCAGCGAAUUGUGCUAAACCUUAAACUAAGUUGCUUCUUUUUGUUCACCUGUUACCUGUGAUGUGUUGUAGCUGGAUAUUUGGAAGGGUUUUCAAAUGCUUCAGGUUGUCUAGCACGUUUGAUUUUAUCAAUUCUGCUAUCUACUGGAUAUAACUGUUUAUAUUCUUCAGUUAAUAGUUUUGGCUAUGACACAUAGAUCAUACAAUACAUAUUGCAUAAAAUAUAAAUAACAUGCAAGUCAUCUCUAAGAUCUGAGAUAAUAUUACAUAGUUCCGGUUAGUAGCACAAAUACAUGUAAAUCAUCACUAGAAUUUGAGAUGAUAUUAGAUUUCUGCAUUUGUUCAACCUGUGCUGUAAAUUUGUUGAAUAUAUUUUUCCUUUUUACCAAAUUCAUUUAGUACCAACAGUGAUUCACUAAAUCCAUCUUGGGGCUGCUGAUAAUUAACUUGCUUCAGAUUGUUCUCUAAGAGAUUUACCUGUGUAUUAAUUCUUUCUGCACUCAUGCAGGCCUUGGAUACCUUAGGAAGCACUAAAUGGAGAGUGAAUAAAAGGAUACUUAGUGUGGUUGAGAGUAUUUGGGCUGGAGGAGGAAAUAUUGCUGGCCUAGUGGAUCGCAAAGAUGUAAGAAACACUUUUGAUGUGCUUAUCAAAAAAAAAAGAAGAAGAUAAUGUUCUAAUUUUCUGUGUUUGUUCGGGUGCUACUUAUAAGUAUCUGGUUUUUACUGUGUUACAGGGAGAAAUAGCUUGAAUUACAAUAUUAUCUUUGUCAAUACCAGUCUGCUUAAAUGCCAUUUUGUAUUCUUAUGUGGCUGAUUCUAAAAGUUUAUAUUUAAAUUUCUUCCCUCUUAUUGUCCAAAAAAAAUUGCUCCAUAGUUCGUAAGUUCAUAUGCUUAGUGUGUUAUUUUGUCUGCUCAAUAUUUCCACUUCUCUUAGCUGUUCAGAUGAUGGUUAUUGUAAAGACGUUCAGGUGAGUGAAAUUUCAAAUACCUAGCGCCAUUUGUAGGUUGUGUUUCAUUGCAAGAAAUUGCUUGUUUUUAGGUUCCCAUACCAGAGUUGCACUCCGAUGAUAUAAUGGAAUUGAAAAGGUGGAAAUGGAGGGUGAGAAAAGCCAAAAAGAUCAACCAAGAGUUGCAUUCCCAAAGAUGUGACACAGAGCUCAAGCUUUCGGUUAGUCUUCUUUUUGGACUCUUCUUCCUUUCUUUACUUUUUUGGGUUAUACUGGAGUGGGAUAGGGGGAGUGUGUGUAUGUGUGGCAAUCCUAAUGCCUAAAAAGUAAUGCAAACUGCUCAACCUUUGCACAUUUAGAUCUAGGUUUUAAUCUCGACAGAAUCAUUUCUCAUUCUAUUAAUUGACUCUCGAGGGUUUUAACAUUCUAAAACUAGAUUUUGCAUUUAGUUUCCACAUGUGUACAUUUUUCUUGUUUAUUUAGGAGUAAAUUUUGAGCAAGCUUUCUUUGGACUAGGUUGCUCGUAAGUUGAAAGAUGAGGAAGGGUUUUAUUAUCCUCACAAUCUCGAUUUCCGAGGACGUGCAUACCCUAUGCAUCCCCAUUUGAAUCACUUGAGCUCUGAUCUCUGUCGAGGAAUCCUCGAAUUUGCUGAAGGACGACCACUAGGAAAGUCAGGAUUGCGCUGGCUGAAAGUACAUUUAGCAAGUCUUUACGCAGGGGGCAUAGAGAAGCUCUGCUAUGAUGCACGCAUUGCAUUUGUGGAAAACCAUAUUGAUGACAUAUUAGAUUCAGCACACAAUCCUUUAAAUGGAAAUAGAUGGUGGUUAAAUGCUGAGGAUCCUUUACAGUGCUUAGCAGCUUGCAUUAACCUAUCAGAAGCUUUGAAAAGUCCGUCACCACAUACUGUCAUCUCCCACCUGCCUAUUCAUCAGGUAGAACACUUUCAUCAUUACUUUUUAAAAAAAAAUUCCUGUUCAAUUCUCUUUUGUCUGAUUUGUUGUUGGUUAAUAAAUGUAGAAAAGUUAAUCCGUGGAUAAAAAUAAGAUAAGUUCCAUUGCAAGGAAAUAAAAGUUGAAACAUUUCUAUCUCGAAAACAAAAAUAGUAGGCCUUGGACAUGUUAACAGUUUUUGCUUCAUUUUAUUAUAGGAUGGUUCAUGCAAUGGCCUACAGCACUAUGCAGCUCUGGGAAGAGAUAGUGUAUGUUUGUUGUUACAUUAUUUUCUUUGUGAUUUUUUACCUUUUUUCAGCUCUGUUUUCUUCUGUUAGUGAAUUUUAGCUUGUUCUAUGAUGUUUAUCUUCUGUGAACUUUUCAUAUAUGCUAGAGUAACUCUUUAUGUCAUCGUCUGAGGUUGUGCAACUUUAACAGAUGGAGGCAGCAGCAGUCAAUCUAGUUGCUGGAGAGAAACCAGCUGAUGUUUAUACUGAAAUUGCUUUGAGGUAUAGUAGAGUGAUUGAAAUCCAUUCUUAAUUGACACCUCAAAGCUAAGCUCCCUUUUGUGGAAUUUAGGUUAAGCUAUUGCUUUUGAUAUUUUGACCCAUGAACCUAUUGAGUGCAUUUUUGGAAGGAUACAAAUGUUAAGCAUUCAUUAUUUAUAUUUUUUGUUCUCAUAACCUAUAUCAACUGUGUAAGAGUUAUCUACCCCAGAAAGAAAUAAGAGUAUUUGCUAAAUUUAGUCCUGAAAAAUAUUUGCUAAAUUUUCUUGACGCUAGAUGGAAUUUCAGGAGGGGAAUGGGAAAUGACCUUUUCAUGUGUGAUUAAUGUACAUACCUGACAUUAGAUGUAAAACGAUAAACCACUUGUUGAUGGAAGAAAUAUGUUCUGGAUGGUGGAGGGAUAUGAUGCUCACCAUGAGACAGCCGACAAGGAUACCUUGGUCUACUUUUUUGCAUUUUCUUUUAUAAAUUAAUCAAAAUUCAAUCGCACCGUUUAACUUAUGAAAAAAGAAAAAAGUUCUGUAAACAUAUUCACCUUACUGCUUCUCUGAUUAACUUGUUAAAAAUUACACCAAUAAUAUAUUUGGGAGAAUUUGUGUAUUUUGGUUCCACUAGUUAUUGUUGAAGACAACUAUUGAUUGCAGGGUUGAUCAUAUUAUCAGAGGAGAUAGUACCAAGGACCCUGCUACUGAUCCUAAUGCUUUACUAGCCAAACUCUUAAUUGACCAGGUUUUCAUUUGAUUAUCUGUCUUUUGUAUCUUAUUGUAGUUAUCAUUUCUGUUUUAACUUCAAGUAGCUAGGCCUGUUGCUUCUAGUUUUUGAACUUGUACCAAACUACCAAUUAAAAUAUUUGGUGCUGCGGAGACUUUCAGGUUGACAGGAAAUUGGUGAAGCAGACAGUAAUGACCUCAGUGUAUGGUGUUACUUAUGUCGGGGCACGUGAACAAAUCAAAAGAAGGUUGGAAGAGAAGGGUCUUAUCGAUGAUGAUAGGCUGCUAUUUACUGCAUCUUGCUAUGCUGCUAAAGUAAGCAUUGAUUGUCUAAUAUUCCCCAUGUUUCAAUUUGUUUGUCCCACUUUCCUUUUUAAAGAAUGCCUCUUUCCUUUUUUUAGCAACUCUUUCAUUCCAACUUUUCCACAUGACAUGUUUAAAACCACAAGAUUCAAAAGUCUAUUAUACUUCCUUAAACUCCGUGCCAAGUCAAAAUAGGACGAACAAAUUGAAACAGAGGGGAGUAUUAUAGUAAGCUACUCACAGGUUUCUAUUACCUAGUCAUAUAUUCUUAACUUAGGUCACUCAAUCUACCUUUUCUAAUAAUCUACAUGAGUUGAGCUUAAAUGAAGAAGCAUGGUCGGUGAGGAUUCAUAUAGCUGACCCCAACUUGUUUGAGACUGAUGUUUGACGCUUAGUGGUAGUUGUUGUUGUUUCCUUUAACUAACACAUACGCCAUACCUGCAUGGGCAAGACGUGGAAGGAUUUCAUAAUUAAAUAAAAAGGAAUAGUGAGUUUAAACCAGGCUAUUGCUUAUUACCGUCUUUCAGUAUGCAUACAUAUCACUAAUUUUCACGGGACUUAUCUUUCCUCCCCCAUACAUACCAUAGGCCUAGAAAAAAAUUGUCCUAAGAGCUUACUCUAUCCACAAAAAAAUUGGGGGGGGGGGGGGGGGGGUUUNNNNNNNNNNNNNNNNNNNNNNNNNNNNNNNNNNNNNNNNNNNNNNNNNNNNNNNNNNNNNNNNNNNNNNNNNNNNNNNNNNNNNNNNNNNNNNNNNNNNNNNNNNNNNNNNNNNNNNNNNNNNNNNNNNNNNNNNNNNNNNNNNNNNNNNNNNNNNNNNNNNNNNNNNNNNNNNNNNNNNNNNNNNNNNNNNNNNNNNNNNNNNNNNNNNNNNNNNNNNNNNNNNNNNNNNNNNNNNNNNNNNNNNNNNNNNNNNNNNNNNNNNNNNNNNNNNNNNNNNNNNNNNNNNNNNNNNNNNNNNNNNNNNNNNNNNNNNNNNNNNNNNNNNNNNNNNNNNNNNNNNNNNNNNNNNNNNNNNNNNNNNNNNNNNNNNNNNNNNNNNNNNNNNNNNNNNNNNNNNNNNNNNNNNNNNNNNNNNNNNNNNNNNNNNNNNNNNNNNNNNNNNNNNNNNNNNNNNNNNNNNNNNNNNNNNNNNNNNNNNNNNNNNNNNNAGGGGGGGGGGGGGGGGAGCUUUUGCCAACAGGACUAGCUUUUGUGAAGACUUACUGAUUCAACUUUAUGUUUUGACUAUAUAUUUGUUCUCGUGUUUCUUGUCAGGUAACAUUAGCUGCACUUGGGGAGUUGUUUCAAGCUGCACGUGGAACAAUGACUUGGCUUGGUGAUUGUGCUAAGGUCCAUACCACUUGCCCCUACCAUAGGCGCUCCCCCUCCACUAAUUCUUUUUAAUUAAGAAUUUUCUUGACUAAGCUUUCUUUUUUUCUAAUUUGUUAGCUAGUUAAUGUUGUUAUUGGAUUACGAAGUAUUAUACUAAUUAUAAUUGCAAAAAGGUUGAUAAAAUGAUUGAACAACAUGCAACUCAAUUUAAAUAAAACUUGCAGCCUAUAAUUGGCAUAUAGAUCGCAAAUCUGUACUCCUUGUGAAGUGCUGCAAAAGUUUCCGUAGCUCAUUCUAUACCCCGGUUCUGUUUCUUGUACUUUUUUUGUUGGAUAACAAAACUUCAAACCAGUUCACAGAUGAAGCAAAAAUUGUCACCUAUUCAUUGCCCUCCAAUGGCCAUAAGAUAAGUUGGACUGGCCUUUGGGGAGUGCACUGAUAACUGCUUAGAAAUCCAGAGUUCCAAAUGAAACCCUAAAUGGGAUAGCCACGCUUGUAAAUUCUCUAGGACCGAAAAUAUAUUUAGUUAAUCAAUGAAAAGGAAAAUAUCUUUAGCUUUACAAAUUCAAGUUUAGAACUCAAGGGUGUAACAUUGAAUGUAUGGUCCCUUGAACAUACUGCAUAUAUAUUCUUUGAAACAAAAAUGCUGGUUCCCUUGGAAAUUUUCCGAGAGGAAUUGCAAUUGGUAGUUGUAGGAUAUCUCAAAACUUGUUUGGACUUCUAUGGUUUAACUAGUGAUAUUUAACAGGUGAUUGCUUCAGAAAAUCAGCCAGUGCGAUGGACGACACCUCUGGGGCUCCCUGUUGUGCAGCCUUACUUUAAAACUCAGCGGCAUGUUGUAAGUGCUUCUUUAAUCAAGUAACAUCCAUCUGAUCAAGUCUGUUCCUUAAGAAGCUGUUUCCUUUUUAUAUUGUUUUGCUAGUUGAUUUUACAUGUUAUCACUCAUAACUAAGUUGCCCACUUUAAAUAGUUGGAUUUUGCCUCAUAGGAUCUUGCAUACAUGAUAGGAGGAUGACUUUGAAUAAUUCAUGUGACAUCUAUGAGAAAUUGGCUUACAUAAUGAUCUUUUUCAACUGUGAUAUGCCUUGAAUGAGGAUGUAAAACUUUUCUGUUCAACUGGCGAAGUAUUUGCAAGUUUCUCCUCAAGGAUAGAAGUCCUCUUUAAAAAAUAAAAACGUCAGGAAUUUCAAGCAACUCAUGCAAUAUCUGUUUGUGCUAAUGCGUUACUCCAUAUAUGUGCAGAUAAGAACUUCUCUUCAAGUUUUGGCUUUGCAGCGUGAGGGUGAUGCAGUAAGUAAUACCUCUUGUAAAUGCUUUUGUUUUUUACCUGCUAAGAUCUCAUAUUUUAAUUUUAUGCCUAUUUUAUAUUGCUAAUGUUGGAACCCUAGGUUGAGGUCCGGAAGCAGAGAACUGCUUUUCCUCCAAAUUUUGUGCACUCACUGGAUGGUUCACAUAUGAUGAUGACCGCUGUUGCUUGCAGGGAUGCUGGACUACAUUUUGCAGGUUUGCCUGCCCUUUAUUUUUAAUGAUAUCUGGUCUAUACUUGAGUUUUUGACCACUUAGAUGCACAUGUAUGCUUGCCUACAUACAACACACAGAAGUUGAAAUUGUGUUUCUACUCAAUUAUGAAACAGUCGAGUGAAAAGGUUUCCUAAAUUGAAGUCCUUCGAGUGAAGGUUUUGUUGUCAAUAAACUCCAGUUUGUUUCUGAAAUAUUUUAAUGCUGAAUUGGAUUUGCCAAGAGAGAGAAAUGUGUAAUUUUUUACAUAGGAUGCUUUCUCUCUCAAGUUUCUGGAUAAGAAUUAAGAUAAUAUAGCUGGCUUGAAGGACAUGCCGUGAUAGUUAUAGAAGUUCAUCAUAUGUUGGAACAACAUAGUUUUCAUUUCUGUACUCUGUCAUGCUCCCACUGUCCCCUUUCUCUCUCAGUGCUACUAUAACAUGCUACCAGUAUGUGAAAAAUGACAGUCCAUUAGAUGAUUCUCUUUUGUAAAGUGAUUAUUUAGAUCUAGAAUUCUCCCCAAGCAAAACGAACUCAUAUAGGCAAACUUAGCAGAAACUAAUGUUGGAUUGGUCAUUUGUUGUAUAUAAACUCAUGAACUUUAUGUGAUACUUAAGCCGAGGGUCUUUCAGAAACAACCUCUCUAUCUCCACAAGAUAGGGGUAAGGUCUGCAUACACUCUAAGUCUCUAGCCUCCCAAACCCCACGGUGGGAAUACAUUGGGUAUGUUGUUGUAAACUCAUGAACUAUUAAGACUUCUAGAACUUGCUUUAAAGUUCAUUUACUUGCAUACAUUUCAAGCAUUGGUUUUGUUUGAUACAAACUUUCUUCAGUUGAGAUUAUUGAUCAAACUCCUAACCUGUUGUAGGGGUACAUGAUUCCUUCUGGACUCAUGCUUGCGAUGUCGACCAGAUGAACAGGAUACUCAGGGAGAAGUUUGUGGAGCUGUACAGUAUGCCUAUUCUUGAAGAUGUAAGUAUGUUAAAAGUGAAAAUUUCCUUUCUAGACGAAUGUGUUUCAGGAUCUCCCCGAUAUUUACUUUUGUUUCUCUUUCUCAAGCUGCACUUAUGAGUUAUAGUAUACAUGGUAUCUUGUUUGCAGUUGCUUGAAAGCUUCCAGGAAUCAUAUCCAGCAUUGACAUUUCCCCCUCUACCAAAGAGAGGUGAUUUUGAUUUACAGGAAGUUCUCGAGUCACCCUACUUCUUUAACUGAGAACCAAUAGCAUUGAAACAACGAACCCCUUUCUUCAAAAUGCUAUGUUCUUGCUCUGAAACAAGCAUAUGAGGCUUUUAUGCGAGGAUGAUUGGUGGGACAUGUAUUCCGAUGAAACAUGAGAGCUUUAUUUUGUUCUUGCGCUGACCCUUCUCAAGUAGCAUGUCUUUCGUGGCUUACUACAUAAGCUCUAUGCGCUAGGUGCCUAAAACAAUGCAAAACAGUCGGAUGCUUUGGAAAUUUGCAGUAACAUUGGCGUGUACUGCAUGAGACCAUAUGCAAGUUCGAACUUCCAGCAAUGAAAAUCUUGACUACGCCAUGCACCAUCCAUAUCACUGGAAGAUGUAGCAUCCAUCUCUGUAUGCUUUGGAGCUGAAAAUACACAGCUAUGUACACUGGUUCAGUUUCUUGUAGGUGCUGUACAGAUAUCUUUGGAGAAAAUUGUAACGUAUCUAGUUUAGGAUUCUUGAUAUGUAUAGGUAUAGAAACAAGGGAACUGUUGUUGUAUCUAAUAUAGGAAAAAGAUAUAUUUGUGCUUUUUCAAAUUGAAUUCCAGGGCUAAACAAGAGAUAUGUAUUACUACUAUAAUGUUUUCCUGUAUGACCUAUUAAAUGGUACUCAUGGCGUUGUGAGGGAAAAUGUCACACCACGAAACGAAGAACUUGGGAUUACCUCGGCUUUUCGUGUAUAUUAAUUCAUGAAUUUUUGAAAUAUAUGUGAUCAUUUCUGUUUGAGCUCAAGUUUUGUGAGUUUAUUUGUGACAUUAUAGUAAAUGAUACUAAUAGUUUUCUAGGGAAACACAUUUUUUUUUUGGAGUUAAUGGGUCUUGAACAUAAAUUUAGGAUUAUCUCUUUUUUUCGUGUAUUAAUUUAUGAAUAUUUUGGAAUAUGUGUGACUGACUUUGUUUGAGCUCGGGUUCAUCCGUGAUAACCAAGUAAUGAUACUUAUAGUCAUACGGAGGUAGACAUUACUUUUUUGGAAGUUAAUGGGUCAGAAAAAAGGAAUUUGUGAUUAUUUUGGUCUUUUCGUGAGUAUUAGUUCAUAAAUUUUUCGAAAUAUAGUUGAUAUACUCUGUUUGAGUUAAAAUGGUGUGGGUAUAUUUGUGAUAACGUAGUAAAUGAUACUCCAAUAUUUUCCAUAGGAAAACAUCAUGAAAUAAGAAUUCAAAAUUAUCUCAAUUUUUCGUGUGUUAAUGUCCAUGAAUAUUUCAAGAAUAUGUGACCAGUUUUGUUCGAGCUUAAGUUUUAUGGGUCCAUGAGUUACGACCUAGUAAAUGUUACUCAUAGUUUCUCAAGGGCAGACAAUGCUUUUUUUUGGAGUUUAUGGCUUACAAAAUAGAAAUUUAAGAUUAUCUCGACUUUUUGUGUGUGUUAGUUCAUGAGCUUUUCGAAAUAUGUAUGAUAGACUAUUUGAACUCAAAUUUUGUUGACCUAUUCGUGUGUAUUAGUUCAUGAGUUUUUUCCUUCUCUAUCUUCCCAUUUUUCUUUUCCUUUUCCACCAUGAGAUACAAAUUCCAGAAAAGCACUACAAACUCAUCUGUCUAUCACAUAAUAUAAAUGUGGGAGACUCUUGAUGAUAUCACUAGACUAUACGCCUCGAUACAUAAAACCAUACCGAUCAUACAAAAUCAUCGUAUUAAUAAGUUGUUUGAACAGCAAUCUCCAGAUAGUAUAUACCACAAAACAAUUCCCCAGUUCGAUAAACAUGUCAAUACAAACUGCCUUUUAUUGGAGGGGAAAUUAAAAUUAAACUCGUAGACUUUAUUUGGAAUGAAAAUCUCACCAAGAGGACGCCUUAGAUACAAUACUCGAAUAGUGAUACAACAAAUAAAUUAACAAGACCACGACCACAAACUCCUUGUGUCCAACGAAAUAACGAGAUGAGUCUAGUACCUGUCGUCUGAACAAUGGAAUGAAACCAUUCGACAAGACUUAAGCCUGCAAAAAGCUAGCAUACUUGGCACCUAGGAAAAGCCUUUGGAUACAGAGCAAGGCAUUUUUCGUGACCUCAGCAUUCUCAUGGUUCAACAGUCUCAUUACGCGCUCCUUAGCUUUGAGGUCAUUCACUAUAAUUCUCCCAGCAGAAUGGCACUGAAUGAACUGUGACAGAUCAUAGCAAGCAACAGCAAGUGUCCUUGCAUCACUUGAUGUGUCCAAAAUUGUAAUGAGCACCCUCAAGAUCUGCAACACCAUACAACACAAGAUAUCAGUCUUAAUAUUAGAAAAAAUUGUGCUUCACAGAUUUGAAAAUCCACCCCGAAGAAGAACAGUAAUAUGCUACGAAGAUCAUAGAAGCGGAGGAUUCAAGAUUUCAACCUCCAGACUCUUAGGAUAGAACUCACUGUGCUUUUAAAAUUAUGGUUCAAAGUAUAUUGUUUGUUGAAAGUUGAGUGUUUUUUUCAUGUGUUACGUCUCGGAGAUAUUAGUUUCAGCUGAAUGCCAAUAGUUACGCUUAAGGUCUACACAUGAUAUAGAAGGCAAAAUAUACAAUAACAAAAACAUACCCAAUGUUAUUCCACAAGUGGGAUCUGGGGAGGGUAGUGUACGCAGACCUUACCCCUAUCAUGGGAAGAAGGUAGAGAGGAUGUUUCCAAAAUGCCCUCUAUAUUAAUUAUUUAUUAGUUAAGGGUGUGACCUCCUCAUCCACUCUGCUACUAUGGGCGACAGUUUACCUCUAAUGAUGGAAGUUACUACUUAAACAUGAAUAUUAAAAAACAGCUUUUUGAUUUGAUAAGCAGAUAGACUUGUUUGAAGGUCAGCACGAUAUCAAGAAACCCACCAGAAAACUCUGGUUCUGCUGUUAAUGUAGGCACCAAGAUGGAGUCGGUGUUUACACUGUUAUGCAGUGCGUACUUUACAGCCUUUAAAGACAUGUAGCUUGGGAAGGUUUUGCAAUCUACAAGAAGUCAAGUAUUACCUGGAAAUCAUUCUCCUCAAAAUUAUUUAUGUUCUCCCGCCAGAAUAUAGGAUCUUUGUGCAUUGGGGACCAAUCAAGAUGGCCAAGAAGGACUUCCUGCUUGUACUUGUCAAACGAACUCAGUUUUUUGAUGUUUUCCUUCAAUCCUUGUUCUAGUUGAUUCAGAGCGUCCAAAAGAUCCUGCAGAGAUGAUAAAUAACGGUAAAUACUUUUUCAUUCUACAGCAGACACAGUAACAUGAUUAAGUCAUCAUAGUAAAUUCUAAGAUGAACCGAGAAGAAGUUCUAAUGGUGACUAUUCUUCUAAUCAUUUUCUACGCUGUUAGCAAAUGAGAGAAAAAGACUAAAUUUAAGGUAUAAUAUCAGAUUUAAAACCAUGACUAAGAUUCUUCACCUCAUCACUCCAAGCCUGUGCUUUCAAACUCUGAACAAUUUGCAGCACUCCCAAGUCUACCAUAUGAGCACUAAAUGUUCCUUUGGAAAGCAAAUUCCGAAGAGUCAAGAUGACAACCCGUACAACCUAUAGUUAUAGAAACACCACAGGCCGUGAACAGAGAUGAGCAAGCCAAAGACAACCAAGGUAGAAAAAGUGCAGCAUCAAAUUUAAAAAAUUAAAAGGGAGUACAAAUAGUUAUUAUGCAUAAAGCAGCACAAGUAGCUCACCUUCUCUUUUGUUGAACCUUUAACAACUUCUAUCAAUCGAGGGAGGGCCCUUGAAGUAGCUAAAUACUCUAUUGCAGGUUCAUAGUAUGACAAAAGCCACACACAAAGGCAUGUCUCAUAGAGAAGCUGUUUGAAGGAAGAAAAUAAAAUCAAGAAGAAGAAAGAAAAAUAUAUUCUUUUGUCAUCUAGCUUCAGGAGGUGGUUGAUAGGUUGAAUGAGUACAGAACAGUCUCAACCACCACAAUUUUCUAGCACGACACGUAUAUAAUUUAUAAAGGUAAUGCAAUAUAUGGCAUUAUAGAGUGAAGAAAACCUGGAUAGACUGCUGGGUGGAUGCUGGUGAAAUUAAAGGAACAAGCAACUUCACUCCAUCAGCUCGAACAAAUGAAGAUCGAACAACUGGCUCUUUCAACAGAGUUGAUAGGCAGUUGAUUGUGCUAGGAAUGCUGCGGGUAGGAUGAGUAGGCUUUUUCAGCUGCACAGAUCGUCAAAAUCAGGAACGACAGCAGUUAACUGAAACAUGAUAACCCCAACAAGUGGAAUUAAUCCAUAAAUCCCCAACCCCCAUCCCAUUGAACUUUCCACUAUCUUCAAUUAUUUAGCUUCAAAGUGAAGAAAUAGGUCAUAAACCCAGUUGUAAGGCUCAGAAAGAUCUUGAUGAGAAGCAAGAGCUUCCUGAUCCCUGUCAAUGGCGUCAUUCCAUUGCCUCUUACUGAUUAAACUAAUACAUCGCACCCUCAUGAUCUUAUGAUUAUAGCCCUUUUCGCUUCAACUGUUUCUUUUAUUCUACAAUGGACAACCUUCCUUCUAUGAAAUAUUUCCACAACUAUAUUGAAUCCCCUUUCAAAUGUUUGCAAGCCCAGUAAUUGCAGGUUUGGGUGGGAUGGAAGAAAAAUAUAGAAGUGGAAACUCUAGGAGCAUAGACAAACCUGUGCACAAAGCCACUCCACCACGCCUGCCAGAACAUCGUCAAUGGUAGUGAUUUUCUUCUUUGAACUUGAGGCAUCUCCAUUUGCAUCAGCACCAUUCUGAACUUUUGACCUAGCACUGGAGUUGUCAUUAAGAGGACCGCAAAGUUAUUAGUUCAUUUGUCAUUCUAACAUUCUCGGUCUUUUGAUAUCAUUGACAUGGGAGGAGAGAUCAUAACCUAAUUACCUCACUGUCAAAGAUAGAAUCUUACAGCUCUUCUCUUGUAUGAACCAAUUACCUUUCCACAGCAAUCUGGAAAACAGAACUCAUCUUUAGAAAAGUUGAAUGUCACGGACAGAUAAGAAUACAUAAUCUUCACUGAUUUAUAAAAAUAACAGUUUAGAAGAGGCAAAAAAAGAGGAGAACCUACAACUCCAAUGUACAAUAUGAGCGUCACCCUUUUCGACAACCUAUAUAUAUGUGUAUUUGGUGGUUCUAUUCAUCAUUUCAAUAUCACCUUAUUGACAAUUUCUGGUCAUUAUGACCAAUAAACUCAAUGCUUUCUUCAAGCAGUAAAGGGCAAUAAAAUAGCUGUAUGCCUGUACUAACAAACUGAAGGUAAAGGUGUCUUGACUUUGCCACUGUACGUAUUAUUUUGUUCCAAAGUAACUGAAUACCAAAUUAUUAGAGUAAAUAUAAUGUAAUUAAAUUCCUAGUUUGAUAAGUCUUCUAAUUCUAGCAUCUACAGUUUUAGCAUCCAAAAACUUUGUACCAAAAGUUAGAAAUGAGGAGGGUAAGAUGUAACUUUUGGUAUGAACCAUAAAAUUGAACUACUACUACCUACGUAUUAAAUAAAUGAGGAACACAACAGGUGUGAUCUUCUAUAAAUAUGGCAAGAUAUGUUGAUAUAGGAUGAAGGCAGGGGAAGGGGGUGCAUGCAAAUUGCAAUCCUUUGCUACAAAGGAAGAGAAAGAAAAUAGUAUCUACACGGCAAGUGUAAAUAAAGGACAUCAACCCUUGCAGAAUAGUAAGAAAAUGGAACAAAAGUUAAAAAUGGGUGGAAGAAUAUUGCCUGAGGAAAGGUUCAUAGGUAUCUUCGUCUGCAAGACUCUCAUCAUGGAAUAGUCUUGCUCUUUUUGGGUUUGCUGCCAAGAAAUAAGCAUUACAUCAGUCCACUUACCAAAAGAACUCUAAGAGUAACAAAUUCUCUACUUACCUGUAAGCAUUUCAUCAAUCAAAGCCAAAACAUAUUCCACGGUUUCUUCAGUGUAAAUAAAGGACAUCAACCCUUGCAGCAUUCAGAGAAAAUGGAACAAAAGUUAAAAAUGGGUGGAAGAAUAUUGCCUGAGGAAAGGUUCAUAGGUAUCUUCGUCUGCAAGACUCUCAUCAUGGAAUAGUCUUGCUCUUUUUGGGUUUGCUGCCAAGAAAUAAGCAUUACAUCAGUCCACUUACCAAAAGAACUCUAAGAGUAACAAAUUCUCUACUUACCUGUAAGCAUUUCAUCAAUCAAAGCCAAAACAUAUUCCACGGUUUCUUCCUUGAAGAUGUCACGUAAAAUGGUAACAAAGACGCGGACAUAACCUGGACCAUCCUGUAAUAGUGGUAUCCAUUUUAUAAUAGUAUCACCAAUUGAGAGUCUAAGACCAUGAUAAGACAAUCAAAAGUUUGAGAGCUUGACCAAGCACCCAACGAAAUCUAAGAAUACGGGAUGCUUAGAAAUCAGCAGUUGCAAGAACCCCAUUUCCCACAUAAGCCCCAUGAAAAAGCCUGUAACUUGGGAAUAGCUCAAUAGUGUAAAGAACACUCACACUACAUUUUGAUGAUGCUGAUGAUAUAUGACUAUUUCAAGGUAAUAAAUGAACUUGAAAUGAAGAUACCAACAACAAUAACAAGUCCACAAGAAUUAGACUAUCUAUACAUGGGAGUCAGGUGUAUGCCAAACUUGACUAAUAAAGGAGAGGCUAGUGAUGACAAUUUUUAUCUUCCCAAAUAACAGCUAAUCCAUGUAUUCACUGGCAUGCAAAAUGUAAAACUUAUACUACCACAAGUGGACCUAUUCCUAACCUAAUUUAGAAGAACUCUCCUUUUUCUUUUUAAGAAAGAAGAACUGCAAUUUAGAAGAAGUCAGCCUAAAUACAAGAGGAAUUAGGCAGAAAGAAGUAGUGGAAGUACAAGACGCAAGAAUUCGACUUUGUACGAAACCAAAAUGUAAGUCAUAGCUAAAGACAACUCGUGUUAGAAACAUUACAUCAUCCAGCAACUGGGCUUUGUAACUUUCUGCCUUCUUGUCAUAGCGCCUCAACAGCUGCAAACCUGUUCCAGUGAUCAGCUUUGUAGUCAUGUAUGUCUCCCAUGGGAUAUCCCUCCUCAAAACCUAAGGAAACAGAAGGAUCCACAAUGUUAUUGCACAAUCACCAGUGCUAAAAGACCCAAUUCAUCACUAUUUUUUCAGUUUUUUUUUUCUUUCCGCACUCCUAUUUCCCCAAAACCAAAAGAUAAAGCCACGUUUAUGUUUAUUUAUAGGUGAUGUAGUUGGUAAACUAGAGAAAAGAUAAAAGAAAAAGGAUGUUCCACUGUUCUUCCAGGACAGCCCACAAAGAAAAAAAACCUGACAGCAACAAAUUCUUUCUCCUUCUCAAAAUUGACGCCUUAUCCAAUCUAUUAAAAGAAACUGGCAACCAAAAGUAUCUUUAUAAUUAUCCAUCAUUGAAUGCAUAGAAUUCUUUCCACUUAGUGUUUAUUGAUGUAAACAUACUACUCAAAACUUUCUCAAAAAGUAAAUGGAAACAAGGUACAGCAACUAACUGCUAAGACUAAGAGCCUAGAUCCUGUGUUGCAUGUUAACUAUGAUGGCGAUUGAAAGUUAUAGUCCAAGCUAGUUAUCAGUUACAAAAACUGUAUGCUAUUUCAUGUCCUUAUGUAUAAUGUAGCUUCUUUAUUGUGCUUAUACAUGUGACAUUACCUCCUCCGUAGUAAGCUCCGCGUUCUCCGUUGUCAUUGUGAGUAUGCCCUUCAAAUCCAAAAUUUGUUUUCUUCUUACCAAAUAGACAGAAUACGGAUUGUUCUUCCUCUAUCCUGUAUAGAUUCCACGGAAAUAUCUCAAAACCCAACAGGUCAUAGAUUCCACACAUUUAAAGAUGCCAACUAGAAACGGGAUAAAUAAACUUAUUAUUAGAAAUCAAAAUGAAUAUGAUAACAGAUACAGAAAUGAAGCUGAAAAGAGAACACCAAAACACUUUCUGAACCUACUAUCAACAAAUUAAUGUCAUCAGGCUAUCUUGUUUCACUUCACUUGUGAGAAGGAAAGGAUUCAGUUCCUAUGUGAUAAAAGAAAGAAGAACCCAUAUUAUUUCUUUUUCUUUUAUUACGUUUGUCUCGUAUGUGGAUAAGACCAAUGUUUGGUCUCUAACCAUUGCAAAUCCUUAACUUUUUGAUGACCCAAUCACUGAUUUUAUUUUGGGAGUUAGACCCAUCACUCUAUAUUGAGUCCAUAUUGCCAACAUAAUGACCAAAUCUACCUCCUCAGACUUGAAAUUGGCUUGCACCAGCUUCAUUACAGUUUUUAGUCAAACUUCAAGUUAACACCUGACAAAGUACAUCAACCAAAUACUUAAGGAACAAUCAAGCGGAAGAUGUCUCCCUAAUGUGGUAGGAUAUUUAAUACAAGUAUUGGUUAUAUCAUACAAAGUUGGUAUAAGAAAUAAAACAGAUAGAACAUGAUGGAAGAAAAAGAUCCAUAUAGGAGAUAUCAACUACUUAGGAACUUAAGAUUAAGAACACCUGGAGGACAAUUCAGUAACUGAAAGGUUAGGUCUAGUAUUAUGUUCUUUUAGAGUAAUUCUGAUAUUGUAAGUAAUGUAUAAGAAAUAUUAAACUUUUUGAGCUCCCAACAUACCUAAAGGGGUCUGGUAAUUUCUGCAUAUAUCUUCUUAUAAAAUGCACCAAUCAGUGCUUUAUUCAACAAAACUUAAAAGAGAUAUGGCAUUGCUCAGUUGACAGUACACAGGUAAAAAAAGGUUCAGGGAAUAAAUUUCUGAUUCAAUCUUGGAGAUCGUCACAAUUUAAGGAACAACUAAAGAUUUGAGUUCAAAGCUUUGACAGAAUCCACAAUAGUACACAGGUACAGAGAAGGUUGACCCCAAAAUCUCAUUGCUACAGGUUCAACAUUCAUCCCCAUACUUAGUGAAUAAUCAGAAGUCAACAUCACUGAUCCAAAUAAACCCAGAAAAGCAAAACAAUCACUUCAACCAUGACAUUCUCCACCAACUUUCAAGCUGAUUAAGUUCACUACUUCAAUACUCAAAACUUUAUUCCCAUAAACAAUCACUAAUGAAAGAAAUAAGCAAUACUCAAUUUCCCCCAGUCAAGCCAAAAUCUAAGAUCCAAAACUAUAAUAGUCAAUCAAACAUAAAACCAAGAAAAUUCUGCCUAUUUGGGCAAGCAAGCAUACAUUAACAAACCCAAAAAAAAUACAAAUUAUCACUGAUUGAAUCACUUCAAUCACACCAUUAUCAAAACAUUUCAAGAUUCAAACUUUACUCAAUCACCAAAGAAAGAAAUAAACAAUACCCAAUUCCCCCCAUCCAAGCCAAAAUCUAAGCUCCAAAACCACAAUAGUCAAUCAAACAUAAAACCCACAAAAUUCUGCCAAAUGGGGCCAGCAUACAGACAUUACCAAACACAAAAAAAGCACAAAUUAUCAAAAUCACUUCAAUCACACCAUUAUCAAAAACACUUCAAGAUUCAAACUUUAUCCCUCCUACCAAAUAAAUCCAAGAUUCACAACCACAAUUGUUGAUUAAAAAGAUAAACCCAGAAUUAUUUUGUCCAUAUACAUGAGAUUUACACUGAAAUUAACAGAAAAAAGAAGAAGAGAGAGAUUAAAAGAUACCGUAUCACGUGGAAGUGACCAAAUGUGAUUAGAACCCAAAAAGUAAUCUUCCAGUAUAAGAGGGUGCAAGUAGGCUACAAAUCUUGGGGUGGGGUGGGGGUGGGGGUUCACGAAGGUGAGAUCAAACUCGAUGGAUGAGGAAGACCAUAGAAAAAGGAAAAUUACAAAGGGACAAAAUCAAGCAAUUUCAACAUCACAUGUGUCUUUUUUUUAAUUAUUGAUAAAUUUUAAUUAUUUUUUCCAUAAAUUUUAAGAAUUAUUAACUAGUUUAUCUCAUUUAAUUAUAAAAUAAUGAUCAAAAUCAUAUUUAAACCUUCACUUUUUCUAAGUUACCCACAAUAGUUAUUUUGUUUUUUACUUGCAAUGGUUAGCAAUUAUUAUUUUCUUAUCGGAACUAUUAUCAUCUAUGUAGUAAAACACACUUAUUGAAAUAGAUGCCGAUAGUUCAAAUAAAAAAGAGGAGUAACAAACUGAUUGUUCAAUCGAUUGUAAGGUGUGUUUUAAUACAUUGAUUGUGAUAGUUCAAGUAGAAAAAAAAAAACAUUUUUUAGUUGGAGUGUAAAGCUCAUGAUUGUUCAUAUGUGUUUUUGACAAUUAGCUCUUUAAUUAUCCACAUGGUAUGUUAAAUUUGGAUUGUUAGUCUAUAUUUGAAGUAAUAUAUACUUUUCAAAAUAGUUCAAAUAUAAUGUAUCUCCUAGUUCCUCUACCUACAACAUAUAAGUGUACGCAAAUCUUUUUCUUUAUCUAUGUCAUCCAUUAAAAAUUUAGCUUAUUUAUGUCAUUUCAGUUAACAAAUAAUGGCACGUAUAAACCUUUUCUCAGAUGGAGAUGGCAUAGAGCCAAACUUUUAACGGAUGACAUAAAUGAGUCUUUUCUCAAAGUUUAAUGUCAUAUUUGCACCUUUUUCCUUUAAUAAAACUAUUGUUAUUCCAUCAUUAUUGAGUCUUCAAUAUUUCCUUCAUGAAAAACUUCUUUUGUUCUUUUUUUGUCAUUACGCCUCAAAGAUAUAGGUGAAUAUUGUCACGCCCCGAGCUACUCCCGAGAUGCGAACACGGGACCUAGGAUCACAUGUGAUCCCAAGCUAACUUUGCUAGCAUGAUCAUGAGCAUACUAAAGAUAGUAAACUGAUGUGGAAGUUAAAUCAUAAAUAAAAAUGAAAAGAUGGGGAAUACCCAUAUACUAUAACUGAUAUAAAUGAAAACUGAUGAGUUUAAUACAAAGAAGAUAUUAGCUCAAUACUAAGAUGAAUCUAUCUAUGUCUGGAAUAAGCCUCUAAACUGACUAGAAAUGUUGGGACAUGCCCUAACUAGGUCUAGCAAAACUGAAACUAAAGACUAAAAACGAUAAAGAUAAACAUGUCACUAGUCCUCGAAGAAUGAGGACUCACCACUGAUGUUGCUGAACUGAAGAUCGGGAACCGAUCUAAGCGUGAUCUGGAUGCUGAGAACAUGAACCUACAUCACGAGAAGAUGUAACGCACGUAUGCGUCAGUACUUGAAAGGUACUGAGCAUGCAAGAUAGAGUAAAACUGAAAUAACAUAUAACUGAGCAAAGCAAUAAAGCAAUGAAAUAAUCUGAACAUGAUAUAGAUGCUGAAUACUGAAUUAACUAAAUACAAUGACCAAAUUUAUAACAUGCUGAAACUGAAUAUUGACUGUACUGAAAUAUGGUCAAUGCAAUAGAGUCUGACUGAACUGUGGGAGCUACUAAUAAUCGACAUAAAACCACAUGAGCUAAAUGUGGAGUCCAAUGGAUACGCCCCAUCGAGAGGACCCAAUAUACCCUGCCAGAGGUAUAGAGGCAUGAUGGCGUGAUCACUAAACUGAUGUUGCCCACAGAGGGGACUUACACCUACGUGGCUCGUAGUUCUGGGACUAUAUGGGUACGCUGAAACCCUAGUCCAACUCGGUAUUAUGCUACUCCCAAUAGAUUAAGUGGUUAACACAUUAUGACUGAGUUUCUGUAAAUACUGGAUAGCUCGAAACUGAACAUACAAACUGAGAAUGCAACAAUUAAUCUGAUAAUGAUGCAUUCAUAAACUGAGGCAUCUAUAACUGAAUAUAUUAUGACUGAAAUACUGAAUAACUCAAAAUACUGACAUGUAGAUACUCAUACUCGAAAACUCCUUUCAACAUCAUAUUAUACUAUGAUCAUUGAUGACUUGGGAAGUCAUACAGCAUAAACAUUGAUGGGAUUUCUAGAUACCAUACUAUUCAUACGUUGAUGAUCUACUCAAUUGUCAUACUAAUCAUGUUUUAGAAGCUCUUUCUCAAAAUUCAUCUUAACUUUCUCAAAAACUCAGUUUAAAACUCAAGUGUUGUCUUAAAGAAAAGCUUCUCAAGAUUUAUAACUCAAAAUAGGGUUUAUGCUAAAAUAUACUGAUAAUNNNNNNNNNNNNNNNNNNNNNNNNNNNNNNNNNNNNNNNNNNNNNNNNNNNNNNNNNNNNNNNNNNNNNNNNNNNNNNNNNNNNNNNNNNNNNNNNNNNNNNNNNNNNNNNNNNNNNNNNNNNNNNNNNNNNNNNNNNNNNNNNNNNNNNNNNNNNNNNNNNNNNNNNNNNNNNNNNNNNNNNNNNNNNNNNNNNNNNNNNNNNNNNNNNNNNNNNNNNNNNNNNNNNNNNNNNNNNNNNNNNNNNNNNNUUAACUGUUGUCGGAGUGACCUACGGAUUGGACCUAUGGGCCGUAGUUCAAUCUACGGUCCAUAGAUUGGGGUCGUCGAUCAACUCUGCCUGACAGGGCUUCACUAAAACGAGAAUAACUUUUUACUUGGAGGUCCGAUUUUAGCAAACUCGGUGGCGUUGGAAAGAUAAUUCAAUUAUCUAUCNNNNNNNNNNNNNNNNNNNNNNNNNNNNNNNNNNNNNNNNNNNNNNNNNNNNNNNNNNNNNNNNNNNNNNNNNGACGGUCCGUGCUGGUCGACCGUAGUUUGUGUCAGAGGCUGGGUAAGGGAAGUCUCGAUCCACGGACACAGACCACGGACCGUGGUCUGACCUACAGACCGUGGGUCGAGACUUAGCCGAUUUUCUAAGCUAGGUUGGGGAGGGGUUGCAGUGGUGAACCACGGACCACCAGCACGGGACGUGGUCUGACCUACGGUCCGUGGAUGGCAACCGUGGGUUGCACCUGUAACUUCUCAAAAUCUGCAUUUUGGUCUAAAUAGGAAACGGGGUGUUACAAAUAUAUUUUCUUUUUAGUAAUGAUGUGAAUGUACUCGCUAUUUUCUCAUAAAAUUAUAUAUAUUAUUAAAAAAAGCUUUUGCGCACCUCAAUUAAUUUCACAAUACUUCCAAAGAGUUGUUGUUUUAUAGAUCCAAGCCUUUUGAAUUGUUCUACAUUGUGGACUAACGUUUUUAAUUGAACCAUAAAAUUCUUUCACAAUAGUAAUGAAAACUUACUUCAUUUUUUUGUUAAAGAACAAAAUGAAAUUCAAAUGGAGAUGAACAAAAUGUCACAGAUUUUAUUGAAACUAUACCAUAAAUGGCUCAUGCCAUAUUGAUCUUUUACAACAGAGAGAUGACUUCCUGUAAGGAUGACAAUGGGGCGGGGAGGGGUGGGGCGGGAGUGUCAUGACUAUACACUGACUGGUGCAUUAUGAGACAAUCAAUACACAGUUGUCUUUAAACUAAGCUGUAGAAACUUGUGCGCACAAGUAGACAGCUGCAUAUACGUGAUCAGCAUCAUCAAUGAUCCAGUCUACUCGGUAAAACCUUUGCUGUAAAAUGAUGGAGUUGAACUAUACAAGAAGAACACAAGCCUUGACCUGAAAAGGCGGAAAUGAAUCACACUGUUACAAUGAAAGCAAUUUGCAUAGGAAAGACGAGCAGUUUCACGAGUUCUAGCAAGUCAGCAGAAAGAACACUAAAUCUUUUAUGAGUCUGUCAGUGGCGGAGCCAUCUUGUUCCAAGGGGUAUUGAUCGACACCCCUUCACUGAAAGAUUACACCGAGGAAAUAGGUGAAAAAAUAGUUUUUAUGUUUAUAUACUAUCUGUUGAAUCCCCCUGGCUUCUUCGUGUGUAUACUUUUCUAUGUUUUGACUCCCCUUAGUGAAAACAUAGCUCCGUCACUGAAGUCCGUCGAGGUACUAACAAAUGCAUGAGCAGGUAAAACUUCUGCAGUAUAAUUAGGUAAUAUGGCAAUAGAAUCUGUCAAAUAUGUUCACGCAUGCAAACUACUUCAUUGGGUGGGGGGGGGGGGGGGGGGAAAGGCUCAUUUUCAGUGCACUAUACAAGAAGAACACAAGCCUUGACCUGAAAAGGCGGAAAUGAAUCACACUGUUACAAUGAAAGCAAUUUGCAUAGGAAAGACGAGCAGUUUCACGAGUUCUAGCAAGUCAGCAGAAAGAACACUAAAUCUUUUAUGAGUCUGUCAGUGGCGGAGCCAUCUUGUUCCAAGGGGUAUUGAUCGACACCCCUUCACUGAAAGAUUACACCGAGGAAAUAGGUGAAAAAAUAGUUUUUAUGUUUAUAUACUAUCUGUUGAAUCCCCCUGGCUUCUUCGUGUGUAUACUUUUCUAUGUUUUGACUCCCCUUAGUGAAAACAUAGCUCCGUCACUGAAGUCCGUCGAGGUACUAACAAAUGCAUGAGCAGGUAAAACUUCUGCAGUAUAAUUAGGUAAUAUGGCAAUAGAAUCUGUCAAAUAUGUUCACGCAUGCAAACUACUUCAUUGGGUGGGGGGGGGGUGGGGGUGAAAGGCUCAUUUUCAGUGCAAUAAACUAUAGCAAGUAGGACACUUUGCAGUCAACAAGAUGUAAUACAGCACAAUUCAAAGAAGAUACUACAAACAUCUGCUUGAGUAUAACAUGUAUUUACCUUUAAACCGGAGACGAAUAGGCCGUGAUGAAUAACAGCACCAUUUUCCAGAUUGAUAUUUAUAAUCCAAUCUGCUUCAUCCAUAAAGACCACUUAACAGCCUCAAGAAACUUAUCAUUUUUCCGUAAUGCAUUGAUUAGGUUAGUGUAGGUUAUUCGAUCAGGUUCAAUUCCAUUUUUGCGCAUUUCCUUGACCAAAUCUACUGCACGUUCAACCAUUCCAGCAAUUCCAUAAGCCUUUAUCAAUGUGUUAUAGCUGCACAAAUCAGGUCCAAUUGAUCCUGAUUCCUUUAAUUCUGCCAGUACAUUCGAAACUUCUUCAAUCCAACCUAGCUCGCCAUAAAUGUUUAUCAUAAUGUUGUAAGUGUAAUGAUCAGAAGAGUGACCAGAUUCCUUCAGUCUUUCCAAGACAUUACGGAAUUUCUCCAUUUGUCCUUCUUUCCCAUAGGCAUCUAACAUACAAUUGUAGGCUUCAAGAGAAACUGAAAAGCCAUUGAAGUGCAUUUUCUUGACAGUUGAUGACAUAUUCUUGAAGUCUUUGCUUCUCCCAUAUGCAGCUAUGAGAGUGUUGUAAGAGAUAACAUCAGCCAAACCACACUUUUUAGCCAUUGAAAAAACCUCUCUUGCUCUUUUGAAGAGUCUGGAUUUCCCAUAUACGUCAAGCAUGACAUUAAAGGUGACUGUAUUAGGUAAGAAUCCACGUUUAAGCAUCUCAUCGAAAAGCCUCGAAAGCUCAUCAACUGGCAGUGCACGGGCACAGCAGUUUAUGACACAGCUGUACAUUUCCUGAUCCCAGAUGACUCCUCUUUUCACAAGUUUGUAGUAAAGAUCUGCCAAUUUGUCCUUCUUGUCACAUCGCUGGUAGAUCCGGAGCAUAUCACGGAGCAAAUAUGUGUCUGGAACAAUGUUUUUUUGUUUGUCCAUAUCAUCCAACACAGAGCAGGCUUCUUCUAAGGCUCCAGAUUUCAUAUACAUCCUUACCACAACACUGAAAGUUAUUGUGUCCAAUUUGACAUUUGAAUUCUUCAACAUUAGAUAAAGCUUUUCAGCUUCAGCAAAAUUGUUGUUUGUACUGUAAAUGUCUAUCAUAGUGCAUAUUAUAUGUAAGUUAGGCUUAUCAGAUUUUGGCAUACAAGUGAACACUUUCACAGCAUUCUCUGGAUGCCCAAAAUCUUUGCAUGAGCAAAUUAACAAAUGGUACAAGUUGUCCUCAAAUAAAGCAUCCUUCCACUGCUUUUCCCGUAAGACUUUUAACGCAUCAUCUAUCAUGCUGUUUUUCACAUAAGCCAUCACCAGACUUGAACAAGCUAUCUGGUUUCUCAAAACAUGAUCAUAUAAAGAACCUCCCAAAAUUGAAGGAACUUCACGAAUGAGUUCAAGCUUCUCAUAUGCUUGCAAAAGAAUGCCAAGGAUGGUUGACUUUUCGCCGCCAGUGUGCAUCAUUUCCUCAAUAGUUCUAACAACAUCCACUUCGUCUCCAUGCUUGACUUGUAAAUUUAGCAUUGUGUACAAAUUAGACGAGUUUGGCUUGUGUCCAAGUCUUUUCAGUUCCACAUAGUAUCUAUUUGCUUCCUCAUAAUUGUCUGUCCGACCCCACCCUUCUAUCAUAGACCUGUAAGUUGUUUCAUCAGGAUCCACUCCAACCCUUUUAAGGUCACCAAACAAGCGUUGUGCAUCAAGCAUGUUGGAAAUCUUCCCAUAUCCAGUGAUCAAUGUGUUGUAUGCAACUAUAUUUGGCGAAAAACCAGCUUCGUUCAUGGAAGCUAAGACCUGCUCAGCCUCGAGUAACUUGCCUUGUUGACAGUAAGCAUUAAGCAGAACCAACCAAUUCUCUAGAUUCAGAAUUACUUCAUCUUUCCUCAAAAAGCCAAUGAUUUCUUCUGCUUUAUCAUACAAUCUCAUUCGCGUAUAUAUCGUCAACAUAGAGGAAUAUGCAGACUGGCACAUAAUUUUGAGAUUCCUCAUCAUUGAAAAUGCAAAUUCUGCUUCCUCAACAUGCCAUCCUUUCUGAUAGAGAGCCAUUAGCAUCCCAAAAGUCGCUAUAUUUGGCUGAACUCCAUUUUCCAACAUCAUGUGAAACCACUUAGCACCUAACUCCACGAGCCCUUUUUUAUGACAAGCAUAAAUAAGGGUAUUGAAAACUUGAUAUGUAAGCUUACAACCUGACUCCAUACUCAUUUCCUUAAUCAUUCCCUCCGCCCCAUCCCAAUCGCCUCUUCUCCCCAAGACGCGGAGUAUCAAAUUAUAGGCAGUAACAUUUUGCUUUAACUUCCCAUUUUUCCUCAUCCAUCGGAAAAAACUCAACGCUUUCCCAUCAUUUCCCCUUUCGAGCUCUUUCAAUAUUGCAUUGCACUGAUCCAAACUUGAGUCAGACCCGAUAUUCUCAUCAGGAAAAUCAACCCCAUUUUGGCUAUCUAUCACACUCUCAUCACUAUUUACAUCAAACGCAAUCAUGGGAUUUUCUUCCAUUCCAUUUUUCCUAUCUUUCAAUCUAAAACUAGACCUAUGAUUCGAGUCUCUCGGUACCUUCUUCACCCUCCUAAAUCUUUUCCAAACAUUAAACUUCCCUUUCUGAGAAUCCCUCCCAAGAUUUGGUCUUUCAGUAACAAAACUGUCAUUUCCUAACUCACCUUCAAAACCAUCAACCCCUUCAUUAUCUAAACUCAACUCAGAAGUCUCUAAUUCCUCAGUUUCUAAUCUUGAAACUCUAAUGUGCUUCAAAUUACAAAAUGGGCUAACCACAAAUGCACCACCACCCAAAAAUGAGGGAACCCAACACUUAGAAUCAGUAAAGUUCAAAGCUUUUACUGUGCAAUUUAGUUUCUUGGAUUCCCAUGAACUAUCUACAUAAAGGGGUAAUUUCAAAGAGGCCAUGAAGCAGAGUGGCCUCAAGAAAAGCUGACAACUUCAGCAUCAAUUCAUCAAGAUUCCAAAUUUAUUAAAAACAAACUCAAAAUUUAGCUAAAAGGGGUUGGUGGGGAGUAAUCAAGAUUCAAAAUUUCACAAAAAGCAAAACCAAAAUUUAGCUAAAAAGGGUUGGAGGGGGAGUUAUCAAGACUCAAAAUUUACAAAAAACAAAGUCAAAAUUUAGCUAAAAGGGGUUGGUGGGGAGUAGUCAAGAUUCAAAACUUCACAUAAAGAAAAUCAAAAUUUAGCUAAAAGGGGUUGCUUGGAAGUUAUCAACAUUCAAAAUUUACAAAAAAACAAAGUUAAAAUUUAGCUAAAUGGGGUUGGUUGGGAGUUAUCAAGAUUAGAGUUUUGAGGGCUUACCUUCAAGAUUAGGCAAAAAAAAAAUGAGAAAAAGGGGGAAACUUUUUGAGUUUUUGAGAGGAUAAUGAAAAGUAGAAAUAGUGAAGCAGUGGAGUGGAAAAUUUUGGGAUUUUGAUUUUGAGAGUUUGAGCUAGUGGUGAUUGUUAGAAGAUGACAUGGAGACUACCUGCAACAUUCCUUUUACCCUUUUGUCUUCUUGCUACUUGCUAGUAAAUGGGGUUUUUCUUUUUAUUGGGAAAAAAGAGGCAAAUUAGACAUUUUCUAAUUUUUUUUUAAAAAGUGGGAUACGAGAAGGGAUUGCAAUGUGGGAAAUCGAACCCUCACCAAUAAGGUGAGAGUUUAGGUAGCCAACCAACUGAGUUUAGACAUUUGGUUGGCCAUCAAAGUAAUUACAUUCGUCAAUUAGAUAUACCUUUAAUAUAUAUUAUUUUGCAUAAAAUUGUAUGUUUGAUAUAAAGCAAAACUAUAGACUAAGGUCUAUUAUUUUGAUGGACGAUUAUUUUUGUCAAAAUGUAUGUUUUAUGUAUGUUAUACAAUGAUAUACAACAAACAUAUGUAUGAAUGACUAUUAUUUUGAUGGACGAUUAUUUAUAUCAAUUUUUAAAACUAAAACCUUGAACCCUAGACCAAAUGUAUUAAAAAAGAUUAACCUAAGUUUGGAUUAUUAUUAUUUUUUCUGCAAUUUGGGAAUAUGAAUUUAAAAUCACUAGUAAUGAUAUAGCAGCAUGCAUGGACAAAAUUAGUGUAGAGUUUUGUGGUUCUUGCUAAUUUUAUAUUUAAGUUGGUGAUGUUUGUUAUAAGAAAGACAUAUAAAUUAGUUUUCCUUUUUUAUGAUAGUGAUAAAAUCAUUUAUGAGCUUCUUCUGAAGCUAACAAACUAGUCCAUCAUAAAUUUUUUCAAAAUAGUCCAAUAACAUUAUCGAGUCCGAAUUCAAAAGAAUUACUUUUUUCAACAAAAAAUGUGAACAUCAAAAAUUACUUAUACAUCACAAUCUUCUCUACAUAUAGGACACGUGUUAUUUUCCGAUAGCCACGUAAAUAAGCAACUUCUAUGAAAUAUAUGUGAACAAGGAGUAAUCACGACAACGGAUUUUUCUUCAAACAUCUCAAAACAAACCGAACAUAUAUCUCCCAAUUCAAAAUUCAUAACAUUCUCCUUUUUCAAUUUCGUAAUCUUCAAUCCGCUUUUCACUUCUAUGAAUUCUUGAUUUUUCCCAUCAAAAGCCUCAAUCUUAUUAUUAAAUCCCUUUCUCUUGGUCAAAAAAUCCAACAAAGUAUCCAAAAUUUCUUGAACAUUAGGAUCAUUGAAAGUAUAUUCUACUUCAAUUACAAGAAUAUUUUGCACUUCAAUUUUUCUCUUUUUACUAACCCCAACACAAGAUUCUUGAACCCCAUCAACUUGUAAACAAAAUUCGCCUUUGUCAUCAUCAUGAUCAUUAAUGAGUGUUUCGUACAAAUCAGUUAAUCGAAAUUUACAAAUAUCAUCACAACUUUUUGACGAGAUAUCAAAUCUUCCACUUUGCAUGUCAACAUCUAUUGCCACAACAAUUUUGCUAAACUCAUCAUCCACAUUACUCAAAAAGUUCAAAUUUUUACCAAAGCUACUCGAUAAAUAAUUAUAAAUUGUGUUAGCUAAAUGUGGAAUCGUGUCUUUAAAGAACAAUUCCGAUAACCUUAAAGCAAAAUCAAUACUUUCAACAAAUUUCUCCGGAGUUUCACAAAUCUUCAAAGGUUGAACACUUUUCUUGAAAGUUGUCUUUUUUGAUUGUCCUCCACGAUUUUUAGAGUCACAAGUUCGAGGUCUAACGAUCCUAAUUCGAUUUGUUACCCUUAAAACUAAAAAUCCAAAUCUCGAUGACGAUCCUAAUUGGUGAUGAUGAAUAAUAACACGAUUUUUAAUCAUGUUUUGCAUCCAAUUAAACACCCUUAUUUUAAUUGCCUUGAUACUUUCACUUUGAUAUACCAUUGUUUGUUUUCUUGAAAAUAUUUUUUUUUUGAAUUAAAAGUGAAAUAUAUAUAGAGGUAAGACAUAUAUUAUUACAAGGAAACUUAUUAUAAAUAACGUUUUUUUAUUUGGAAUAGGAGAGAUUUAAUACCAUUCCAAUUUAAAUUAGGAGUCCUUUUAUUACGCGGUUUCAUUUUUUAAUUCAAUCUAUUUUUAACCUGUUCAAUUUAUUGGUACCUACAUAUUUAUGACCAUAUAAGGAAAGAAAGUUUUAUUGGGCAUAUAUUACAAACAUAUUAUUAAAAAUAAAUAAAGAAUUUAAAACUUAGUAAGAGUUGAACGAUUUGAAUUAUGAUGUUGAAAAGAAUAAAUAAUUUUAAUUAUUUAAUAAGUCGAAUGUUAAAACACAUUUUAAUAUUCAGAUAUAUAUAUUAAAGUUCAAACGUAGUCUGUAUUUUAAUUAUGAUUCUUAAUAGCUAUUAUUAAUAUAUACUACGUACUAUUUUUAUUACCCAAAAAAAAAAAGAUACGUUUUAGGAAAUUUUUCCUAUUUUUGUAUUUUAAAACAAUGCCAUAUUUAAAAAAAUGCCAUAAACAAACUUACCUUAAAUAGGAUUGGGAUUCUUAUUCCCAAAUAAAAAAAAGGAAAAAUCACUUCUAUAUAUUUGUUUUUGCUCCUUUUUAAGUCAUUGUCUGAACUGAGUCAACUCAUAUUGAAAGCUCUACGAGUUCGAUAUAAUGGCUUUCAAGGAAGAAAGUGUCAAUCCAUCUAUUGUUCUUCAUAUUUCAUCCCAUGAACAACAAAACCAUAAUGAAGAAUGUUGUCCUAACAAUUUUUGUUGUGGUCAACUAUUCAAUAAUUAUCCAUAUUUAAUAACUUCUCUCUUUUUUUAUUGGUUGUUUUUUAGUAUUAUGUUGUUUUACAUUAUAUCUCAUGAAAUGUCUUUUCCCAAAUUUUCUAUUGAAUCAAUCAUACUUCAUCCAUAUUGUUUCGUAAUAUUUCAUAUCGGUUGUUUUAAUGGAUAUAACAUUUGUAUAGAUUAUUUUUGUUUUCUAUCGUUACAUAAUGUCACACAUACAACAAUUUGAAUGAUAAACCUACCAUAAAAUUUGAGUAACAAACAAAACAAACAUGUUAUUUAAACUAACAAUACAAUACAACGAGUAAUAACCAUUCAAACAAGGUGUAGGUGUGAUCGUGCCGUUAUCUUAUUCUUCUUCUCGUUUUGUUAUUGCUUACUAUCUACGUAUUAGUCUUUUUCUACUCAUACCUUACUUUUCUUCUAGGUCUUAUCCUUCAAAUGGUUGAUUCAUGACAUUAUAUAAUGACGAGAAACAAUACAAUCGAUUCAAACAUUGUAUUCAUCAAAAUAAUACGAUACAUUAUGAAACGAUAAGUAAUCACCAUCCAAACAAGGUGUAGUGAUCUCUUUAUAUUGUUGACCUUAUUUUCACCCGACAGUAUUUGUGUUCUAUUUAAGUUUAUACAAAAGCUGUUGAAACAACCUCUUACAUACAUGGAUUGCGUACAAUAAACUCAUGUGGUCCGAUCCUUAGCUUCCUCGAACCAUGUACGUAGCGGGAGCUUAGUGCACCAGGCUCCCUUUUUUACCAUCUUCCUAUCAAACAAGUAAAAAGAAAACCCUUCCCUAAGGCAUCCACCACUUGAAACUUUUCACUCUCAGCCAUCCAGAAAUUCUAUCUGAUUUACAAGUACUGAAAUUCAUGAAGCACAAACAUAGGGAUGGCAAGAGAAGUAGAAUUCAUUCUCAAAUCAUAUAAUUGCAACACAACUUUGGUUCCAUUUCAUACUUGCUUUAGAUGAUAAAAUCUUACAACUCAUAAGCGUGGCAUCGAGUUUUUAUAAAAAGAUCACAAGCUAAAGAUAAACAAGCAUCAGCUUGGAAAAAGAAAAAGAAAAACAGAACUAAGAGUCACUAAUUAGUUCCAAACUAGGCAUAGAUGUUCCUGCUAAGAACGACUUGACGAGAGUGAGAGCUUGUUUCGGUCUAUGCAGAGCAACUUCAUGUCCGGCGCCUCUUACUGUAACAAAUGUCAGCCCUUUGUACUCCUGAGUCCAUCCUCCAACCUGUUUAACGCAUUAAUGGUAUGAUAGUAGUUUGACGUGAUCAGAAUUGAUACUAAAUCAAGAAAUAAGCAAUUGCAGAGCUAUAGACAGAUUGAAUUUGAGGUACUUCAUGAAAGACGACAAAAUUGAGCAAUGAAAAUACCUGUCCAUCAUCAUACCAAGCGCGCCAAGGAGCAACAGUUGGCAAUUUUAGAGCAUCUAUGCUGUAACGGGUUGAUGUAACUGGGAUCACAGCAUCUGUGUCACCACUGCCAUAAAAUUAAACAAACAAACAUUCCUCGCGAUAUCAGCAUUUUGUCAGCUCACAUUAGUGGUAAAAGUGCCUAUAAUAUGCUGAAAAAACAUUUUGAGGUUCGCGCAAUGAUGUCUGCAAGCAGUCUUGAGUAUAUAUCAGAGCUUUUAGAUUCUAUGUUUCAAUUGAAACCAAGUUUAACUUUCUUAUCAUACUUCAGCCCCUUAACAUCCUCAACAUAACUACUUAUCAACUUUGUUUGUAAUACUAGUUUAACAAACUAUUUGGAGUUUCAAAGUUUCCUCUCUCUUUCUCAAAAUAGUAGGUUAUUAAACAAUCGGAUGAACAAUAAUUGGCAUAUAGAGAAUGUUGUAGUUUGUUAGGCAGGUUUAACACUAACUUAAAUGAAUACCAUCAGAAUUGUGAAUGUUGCGUACAAUUCUGCUUGAAACAAAACGACUACUAGCAUUAACUGUAACAAAAUGACUACUAAAAUCGCAAUGCUUGCCAACUUAUCAAGUCAAUGUGAGAAGAGAAGGAAAAGCUUAGCAUUAGGAUAAAAGCAUACCUAAAAACCCAAAUACGAAGACCUGACUUUAUCAAUUCACGAUAGACAUCCAGCACUGACAUGGGAGAAUCCUUCCAACCGCUGGAUACUUCUUCACUGCAAGAAGAGAAAAUGAGUAAAUACAUAGCUCCUACCUAGUAUAUGACAUGUACAAUUGAAAGACAAAAGGGGCUAGCUCACUGAUUCAAUUAACCUACACAAUAAUGCAUUUUUCAUUUUGACUCAUAUAUAAUAAAGACAUUGCAUGAGAUCCCCUUCAACAUCUGUAAACCCCCAUGGACUUUUAGUUUUUUCUUUCUUUUAGAAGGCAAGCAGCCCUCAACAUUUCAAACCAACCAUCAUCCAUUUACACUUCUUUUUUUUAUAACCAUGGUGCCCGGUCAGCUUGCACACUCCUCGACUAAUACCACGAGGUACCUGCUAACUCCCAAGUCCCACCAGCACAUGUAUCCACCAGAGCUUGGUUAGAUGGGAAGAAAUCAUCUAGUGUUUUUUGUCUCUGUUGGGUGUUGGGACUUGAACCUGAGACCCCAUGGUUCUCAACCCAUUUCAUUGACCACUAGGCCGCACACUUGGUUGCCCGUUCAUUUACCAUUCUUAUCCUGUAGUUUUUAUUUUGUUAUGUAUGGGGACAGCAAUGAAAGAAAAGAGAGAAAAUCAAACGGAAGUGUAACUUGCUGCUGAAGAAGAGAAGAAACAGCGAGGUUGCUGCUUUUUUCAGUGAGUAGGUGUUGGAAGAGAAAUGAAAAUACCUGCAAGUUACCCAUUUGAAUGAUGAGUUUCUCUUAUGAACAUGAAGAGCAUUCUGAACUUCAGGAAGAUUGAAGUAGAUUUUCGAGUGCUGCUCUGUACAUGGAUCAUAGCUUCUUCUGAGAUGGCCUAUACUCUAUUUAAAGGCAUAAAAUUUUAUCAGUGAUCAAAAUAGUGAUAAGUAAAUCUUUUUCAAAAGUUUAAUUUCAAUCAUUUUGAAGCAGCAUGUUAUCCAAGUUUAGAAUCACAUUUUCAAUCAAAUUUAACAGGUAUAUACUGAAAACGUCGCAUGUUGAUAGCAUCUCAAUCAUCCUACAGGAAAAAAUGGAAAGUAAUAGAAGAAAGUGUGAUUAAACCAUUACCAUUCCAAAAAAUCAUGUUUACUCACUACUCAGACAAUGAACACUAUAAGUGAAUAGAGUUAAAACUUUAUAACUGAAGUUAACGUGGGAAUAAAGUCCCAGUCACUUACAUUGCUCUUUCUGAGCAAGUGGUUUAGUAUACUAAAUUUGGCUGUGCAUGCUGGAGUGAAGAUGCUGUAGCUAUCAAUAUUUCCGAUUUCUUCAUUAGCCUGAUCAAGAAUCUUAUCACACUGCUCUGAGGGUCUCAAAUAUGAUUGGUCGUGGCACAAAGCAUUCGCCUGCUUGUAUGUUUGGUCAGAAAUCAUUCCAGCUGACCACAUGAAUUGAAAUAAUCCCAAGUGAUCAUUAUAGUCAUCAGUCAAAGCAUUUCCAACCUGCAACGUUCAUUACCUAGUGUUAGUACUAUACUACACAAAUGCAAAUGUUUUGUCUUUGAUAAUCUUAUAUGUAUGUGUGCAUUGGGUUGAGAAACAAGCGUGCAUACCAUGAAACCUUUUAAGUUGAUCACUUGCGUCUUUAAGCCAUGGUUGUGCCUCACAAUAGCUUGACUUAGCUGAGGAACAUAAUGCCCUGGUCCACAACCACGAAUAAGUAAACCACAGUUGUUUCAGUAAUUGAAUGAGCUACCCAAGAUAACAGCAACAAACCCAGAAUAGUCCCACAAGUGGGAUCUGGGGAAAGUAGAGUGUACGCAGACCUUACCCCUACCUUGGCAGAUACAGAGGUCAUUUCCAAUAAUCCCUCGACUCAAGCAAAGCAAAAAUACAAAAUUUAUGAAGACAUAAGCAGUAACAACAGCAAUACAGUAAGAAAACAGAGGCAUAUAUAAGAGACAACAAGUAGUAAUAGAAAACUAAGAAUGAGAAAUACUGAAAUAGUGAAAUGAAAAAAUUACCAAAAAUAAUACUAAUACUACUACCAGGAGAGACAAGACGCGAAACUAUUUACUACUAGCCUUCUACCCGAAUCCCUGACCUCCACAAUUGUUGCUUGUAUAAAUCCUAUCAAAUGUUGAGAGGCUAGAUAAUUGUUGACAUCCAAACAUCUUUAAAUAUUAGAAAUAAAUCAUAUGAAGAAAGAUCUUUCCCGAAAACAGACAAUAGGCAACAAUAAUUCAAUGCCUAGAAUAAGAUUAGAGGCUGUAUGGUGAAUUGUCAACAGACAACUUGAAAUUAAUAAACUCAAAGGAAUGCUUAUACAGAAAGAGGGAGAAUAUCAACUAGUAUAUCAAGUGAAAUGACUUGAUACUCCAGAAGUCCUCUUGCUUCCUUUUUCCUUUUAAAUUGUCAACUUCAAUUUUCUCUGUUUGAGACAAACCAGAGGGCAUGAAUAUGUACUGUCAAUUAGAGCAGCGAGCAAAUGACAUCAAUUAGUGGGUUGUAAGGCAGUAAAGGAUCUUUAUGACUCCAUCUAUGUAAUAAAUAUACAAAAACAAUCGAAUUCCUGGAAUGCUUAUGGAUUUCCUCCAUAAGCAUAAAUAGACAUGUAAUUUCAUCUUGAUGACCAGCUACUUAUCAACAAUGCACCCGAUAUAUUUGGUCACCGUCAAUUGACUAAGGGAUCUAAUCAUAUUGCACUGGAUACAGCUAACCAGUAAAUGUUCGAAACCUAAAUCUCACAAGUAGAUUAGAAAAAUAAUAUUACCAGCAUAGCUCUCUCCUGAAAUAUAAAAUUCUCUUCCUUUAUAUUCUGGAAAUCGUUCAAGCCACUUCAGUAAAAAUACAAGGGAGUCCGCAGCUGUAAUGCAACAACAACAAUUGAAGAAAAUUUAAUACAUGUUUACAGAUAUAUACGGACAAUAACCUAAAGAAAAACACUCAAAAGGUCAUAUGACUACCUGUCCGAGUGUCACCAUUGUUGAGAUGAUCAGAUGAAGUGUUUGAAUAGGAAUAACCAACUCCAACAGGCGAGUCGAGAAAUAACACGUUUGCAGCUGCAGAAACAGAUAACUGAGUCAGACUCCAUCCUGAUAAGUUCCUAAAACAAUGCUUCAGACAAUUAUGUCCAAAGACCAAAUGUAUACAUACUUCAGAAGCAAUGUGCCUCGGGGUAAAAUUGUCGAGUAAACAUGGAAUAUCUGGUGAAUUUCUAACCUCUAUUGUUUGAAGAAACACUGGCUUCCUAUAACUACUUAAGUCAGGCAAGGUAAAACUGGGUCAAAGAAUCCGUACAUAAACUAAUCUGACUAGAAAGUGAAACCAUCCUCCAUCAAUGCCUAAUGACAUCAUUUUCCCGAUACAAUAAGAGUAAAAUCCAUCUUUGAACACCAACAAGAAGACAAUUGUAUAGACCGCAGUACUAGCUAACAGAAGUUGAUACUCGGUCGCCCCCUCCUCCCCCCAAGAAAGUUAUUAGUCCUUUCCCUUAAAAUUUACAAAAAAAAAACCAUUACAACAAUCAAAUGUAACCACAACAACAAUCUCUUUGGUAUCACAUCAAUCGGUAAGAUACCAGAGCAAAAACAAUAAGCCUUGAUUCUCCAGUGACAUAAUUUAAGCUUCCUCUCCAAAACGAAAUUCGUUUUGAACCAUUUACAACCACAUGUGAAAUCUAAGAACAACUAUAAAGUUUGCCCAUCACUUACAUUCUAUGUUUUGACACUGCUAAAGUUUUCUUCUUAAGGUUGGACACACUGAAGUGAAUCCCAUGAAGUGGGCACAUGAAUGUAUAAGCAUAUAUUAUACAUCUCAUAAAAAUGAUAUUUAUGACGAGCAUGCUUAGAAAGGUAAAAUCCCUCAACAGUAGAAUAAGUUUUUAUAGCAAAAAGAAGGGGCAUUAUGAAACAUACCUAAGUUCCAAGAGUAAGGAUUCCAAUAGAGGGUCUUGCCGUCUUUCUCAAUAUGAAAGGGUCCAAGUUCCUCAGCUAACCCAAAGGCAAUCGACGAACAUCCUGGACCUGUAAGAACCCAUAAUCAGUAAUAAACAAAUCAUUGGCACAAUCAACCACAUUGAACAACCAUUUUAUUGGAGGAAAACGAUCAUCCAACUUCAACAAUAUGGGAAUUGAUGACUCUUCAACACUGACAAAGCCAGGAAUUUUCAUAAGGGGAUUCAGAAGUAGCAAUCUUUUAACCCCUUUGCCACUUCACUAGAAUUUUCUCUUAUGUCAAGAGGAUUCAACAGCUUAUAUAUACCUGAAAAACGAAUUAUUUAUUGUCCUAUUUGCACAUUACUAUUUUUCAACCUAGUUCUGCCACUACUCUUUAAUUUUUGUUAUAUACAAUAAAACAAUCAAACAAAGACAAGCUCAAAGAGAACAAGAAAAUGUAAUCAAACAAAGAAAGGGCAUAAUGUGCAAUCUUUUAACCCCUUUGUCACUUCACUAGAAUUUUCUCUCAUGUCAAGAAGAUUCAUCAGCUUAUAUAUAACCGAAAAACAAAUUAUUUAUUGUCCUAUUAACACAUGUAUAAUUUUUCAACAAAAAUCCCCUCUUUCUUCAGCCUCGUUUCACCAUUGCUCUUCAAUCAGAGGCGGAGCUAGGUGGGGGUUCAUGGGUUCGGACGAACCUAGUAGCUUUUAUGUACACCCUAUAUUUGUACUAGAAAAUUAAUUAAAUAUAUAUGUAUAUUAAUUUGUGAACCCCUAACAACAUUAAUUGACGGUUAUUAACGAAAUUUAGAACCCCCAAACUCUUAAUCUUGGCUUCACCUCUGUCUUCAAUUUUUGUUAUAUAUAUAUAUAUUUUUUUUUUUUUUUUUUUUAUAACCAAGAAAUCCGUCUGUGACCCGCCCUUUGGACCAAUCACAGCCUUCUAAACUCGGUGGAUAAUGGGCCCGCCCCUCUACCCUUCUCCACUUAAAUACCGGGCUUCGCUUUGCAUGGUGUGGGGCUUGAACCUGCGACCUAAGCCACAAAUCCUCCACCUUUUGUCAUAUACAACAAAAACCAACAAAACACAAGCCAAAGGAGGAUAAGAAAAUGUAACUAGAAUGCAAUUGUAAAGAUAUAACAACUGAGCCUACUCAAACUCAAAAGCUAACUCUUGAUGGGAGGAUAAUCCAAGUCCAUAUAAACAACCAUCAUUCCAUUCCUCAACCAAUGUAGGACUCGAACACUCCCUUCACGCUCAGGCCUAAUUGAAGCAUGGACCAGGAGCCCCUGAUACCAUGUAAAGAUAUAGGACUUGAACCUAACUCAACCCUAAAAGCUAGCAAAUCACCUGUCCAUUCCCAAACCAAUGCGGGACUCUAACCCACUCUAACAAACAAGAUAUAUAUAACCGAAAAACGAAUUCUUUAUCGUCCUAUUAGCACAUUAUAUUUUUUCAACAUAAUUUCAGUACUGCUCUUCAAUUUUUGCUAUAUACAACAAAAGAAUCAAACAAAACAACAAAAAACCAACCUAACACAAGCUAAAAGAGAACAAGAAAAUAUACCCCUCCGUCCCAAUUUAAGUGUCUUACCUUACUUUUCAAUAUGUCCCAAAAAGAUUGUCUAUUUACAAUUCCAACAUUGCAUGUGACAAAUUUAAGACCACAACAUUCAAAAAUCUAUCUAUAUUUCUUAAACUACGUGCACAGUCAAACUUAAGAUACAAUGCAAACAAACAAAAGAAAGAUUAAAACUUUGGGAUGAGCUGCAAACCUCCAUUGAGCCAAAGAACAAGAGGCUUUGAAGAUGGAUCAUCAACAGCUUCAAAAAACCAAUAAAAAAGAGCUCUUUCAGAUUCCUCAUUUACAGUAACAUAACCAGAAUAAUGUGCAAAGUUCACAUUAAACCCUUGACCAGGAAGCUUAGAAACUCUGUCUAAUAGUUUUUGUGCAUUUGGGGUUACAGAAAAACUACCAGAAAUGAAAAAUAAACCAAGAACAACAAAAACCCAAAUGAGAUUUAACAUUUUCUUGGUGGAAAUUUUUAUUAACUUGUAGAAAAAAUGAGGAUAAUGGGGUAUAUAAAGAUCAUAUUUUUUUCACUUUUUUAAAUAUGGUGUCAAUUAUGAUUUUGUUAACGUAACGAUUAGAUUUGUUGUUGCAGUGUCGUGCACAUGAUUCAUGAUUUCCUUUGUUUGUUUGUCUCAAAGUUUUUACUUAUUUCGAUUAAUUUUAUGAUAUAUGUGUUACUUUUAGAAAUGGAGUUAAAAUUUAAAGUUUAUAAAUUUGAAAUUAAUAAUUUGUAUAUAUUUAAUAAUUUUUUUAUUAUAAGUUAAAGGUUUGAAUCAAAGUUAUUGAGUUAAGUCAAAUCAGAAUUAACAUACCAACUCGUACAUUGGCCAUUUCCUACUAGAAAUAUGUACCAAAGUAAUUUUAUAUCAAAGUUAGAACAGAUGAGAAGAAUAUCUAGUAUUUACGAGGAGUUUUAACGUGAGAUCUCAUAAAUAUUAGGAAAUUUUACAAACUACAAACACAUAAAAUUUUAAAUUGGUCCUUACAUCUUAAAUUAUUUGUUGGGUUUCUUUUUUACACGUUCCUUAAAGAACAUUAAUUAAGAGAGAAUUUUGUGUGUUUUACUUUUGUUUUAUAUCUUAAGCUAGUAUCUGUAUUCUCCAACUUUAAGCGUGUAUAAAUAGAUAUUUAAAUUUAUUUUAAGUUGAACAAGUAGAUAUAUGAAUUGACAAUCCUAUAUAUAUUAUAUCACAUAAAAUACACACACAUCUAUAUACGUGUUCAACUUUAUACAUAUUUAAGUAUCUAUUCGCAUACUUUUUUAAUGGCUAUUUUAAACCAAUUUAUUAACGUAAGGAUUGGUGUUGCUUUUUUGUUGUUGUGCACAUGAUAUGCCUGUUUUUGUUUGUUGUGCUGAUUAAAAAGCUAUGUGGCUUUUAUGACAUGAUUGUUGCAACUUGCAACCUCCCUUAUGUAUGAUGGAAACGUGUAUAUGGUGCAAUUGGUUCACUAAAAGGUAGGACAAAGAUUGUUUUUUUCCUAUUAUAUACUCCAUCAUACGCAUAAAUACAUAAAUAUAUCGUUUUAUUUAACAUUAACGAUUUUAAUUUUGAGUAUAUAUAAGUGUACAAUUAAAUUUAUAUAAAAUUGAACAGGUAAACAUAUAGAUCCUACUUGACGUUCUAUGCGAUGUGGCGUCCCUAAAACAUAUUAUGCCAUAAAAAUAACCAUGUUAAGGAUUAUUAGCACUUUUGACAUGUAACUAACUGAAACGUGAACUUUUGAUCAUUUUACUUGUGAAUAUCCACUAAUUUACCAUGAUUAUUACCUAUUAUUCUUUCGCUUAAUUACUGAUGUGUUAUGUUAAAAUUGUACUAGUACUAUUUACUCCAUAUUUCACAUAGAAUGUGCUCUAUUUAUACAAGUAGAUGCAUGCAAAUUAAGUAUAAGAAUAGUCUUAGAUACUAUUUAAACAACUUCCUAAUUAUAUGUACUACAAUAGUCUUGUGAACAUGUAUACAUAUAUAAGAAGUAUUAUUUUGACCGACGUAAAAGUGUUCAACUGACCACUCAUGUCGUAACUCUACCCAAAACACUGGCAUUUCUAUAAGUGCCAAUACUUAGGUAGCAUUAUUUUACAUAUAGAAAAAGUAGUAAUAUGUGCUAUAUUGAAACUAAAACAUAGCAUAUAGCAGAAUUGCAGAGACAAACUCCUAUAGCUCCACUUAUUAGCUAAGUUGCUCGGACUCUCUAAAAAUAUUGUCGUAUCCUUCACAAAUAUACUAUAUUUGGAGGAUCCCACAUGCACCCCUCGACAAUUUUGAAGAGUCUGAGCAACAUAGCUUAUUAGACUCCUAUCAUUUUUUUCACAAAACUACAAGACAUUUCAUAGAACUCCAAGAUACACAUCUCAAUGAAUCUGCAAUAAGCAAUUCUCCAUCUUUUCUUGAAGAUCAAAGUGCCAAAAAAUGCCCAAAAACCAACUAUGUAUCCCAAACCAACAACAGCAAAGAACCAUACUUUCUCAAGUUUAUCUUCAUCAUCUGUUUCCCCUUCAUCAUUUCCUCCACUUUGUGAUGUUGUCGUCGUCGUAGUCCUAUCACCAACACAUUGUUCCAAAGGAGGACCACAAAGUGCAACAUUUCCUUGAAAAAUUGUUGGAUCAACUUUGGUUUGAAACUGAGUACUAGUAGGAAUUCUUCCUGUCAACUUAUUAUAUGACAAGUUCAAAUGACUCAAAAAGUCUAAUGUAGCUAAGCUUGGUGGGAUAGUACCUGAUAACUGAUUUAUUGAAAGAUCUAACGUUUCAACCCAACGUAACUUUCCGAUAUCUGUUGGUAUAUGUCCUGUCAAAUGGUUCAUAGACAAGUUCAAGGUUCCAAGUUUGUGUAAGUUUGUUAACUCUUCCGGGAUUUCACCAGACAAACUGUUGCUCGAGAGGUCGAUACUGUUUACUAGGUAAAGGAUUCUAUCAUAAGAAAGUGUUCUUCCUUUUGCCUCAAGCUUCAAUGUACCUUGAUAUUGUUUAGCUUCUACAUCAGUUAGCUCAACCUUGAACCCUUCCAAGUUUCCAAAACAGGACGGGACAGAACCGGAUAAGUUGUUUCCUGAAAAGUCUAGUAUGUGAAGACCUGAAAGGCUACAGAUUUUUAAAGGAAUGUGACCGAAAAACCUGUUGUUCCUUACACUAAGGAUUAACAGUGAACUCAUUGUUUCCCCUAACCAAGCUGGGAUUAGCCCUGACAACUGAUUGUUACUAAGAUCAAUGUUGAUCAUUUUCGUGCAAUUUCUCAAACUCAAAGGCAGUUCUCCAGAGAGAUUGUUGCCUGAGAGUCUUAAGAACAUCAGACUAGCAAGAGAGCCUAGUGAGUGUGGAAUUUGUCCGGAUAGGCGAUUCUCUGACAUAUCUAUCCAGUAAAGAUAUGGUAACUUACCCCAGAAAUCAGGAACUUGGCCGAUAAGUUGGUUGUUAUCGAGGGCUAACGUAGUUAACUGAUUCAUAUCACCUAUGCAUAAGGGAAUUGUGCCAUUUAGAUUGUUCCUGGAGAUGUCCAAGUCUCCUAUAUUGGGAAGUGCUUCAUAAAUGUUGAGAGGAAUAGGUCCUGAAAACAAGUUAUCCCUCAGAUACAAUGUUGUAACAUUAGAAGACCAUAGUGGGAGAGGUCCCUCAAAGCGAUUAGUGCUUAAAUCCACAUUGGCUUGAAAGUUGAACUUGAAUUUGUUUGGAACUUUCCCUGUCAAGUUGUUGUAUGCCAUGUCUAGAUUAUCAAGCUUCAAAUCCAACUCUACAAACCAAUCAGGUACCGCAUCAGAAAUCCCCGCGGUAUUGAGUAUUAGGCUGGUGAGCUCAUUCUGAUCCUUCAGCCAAUGUGGGAAUUCAGGACCUAAUUGGCAUGACUGAAUAGUCAAGAAUGUCAGCCUGAAUGAAGGAUUCCAAUUCGGGCUGAUAUCGAAUGCCAAGGUAAUAUUUUUACUAAGUUUCAUCCCAACUGAAAACUCUUGCAAGUUGGAAAGAUACAUCAAAUGAGCUUCAGUGACAAUACCAUCCCACAUAUUCUCCGAGAUAUCCAACGAGACCAACGACAUGAGCUGGCCGAUACUCGUGGUGAUGUUCCCACUCAUUUUGUUAGAUGUGAGGUAAAAUGUCUCCAAGGAUGAUAAGUUCCCUAUACUUUCAGGUAUUGUGCCUGUCAGUGAGUUAUACCUCAGCUGAAGAUGUUUCAGUUUCCUCAAGUUGCCUAAUGCAUCAGGAAGAUUUCCUGUCAAUUUAUUGAAACUCAACUCCAAUGUCUCUAAGCUAUUGCUUUGGCAUUCAGAUAACGCAUCGAUGAACUCGAUUAUGUCUCCACUGAUGUUGUUGUAAGACAGGAUCAAACUCUUCAAAUUACAUAGUUUCCCCAAGCUCCUCUUGAGUGUCCCAUUGAUACCGUGGUUCGAAGACAGAUCAAGAUGUUCAAGGAAAGUGAGCUUACCAAACUCAUCAACAAGUUCACUACACAUAUUGUUGGAGCUUAAGUCAAGAUACACAAGGCUACUAAGUUUAAAUAUCCAUUGAGGGAAUGUACAUGAACUAAAAGCAUUGUUGGAAAGAUCAAGUACCAAAAGGGAAGUAAGAUUUAGUAAUGGAAAAGAAGAAGGAAUGUUUAAAAGUUGACAUCGAGGCAAACGCAACUCCAACAGAGAAGGAACAUGAUCAUUGAUUAUUUGAAGCCAAGAAUUAGUAUCUUUACUAAGAUCUAAGCCUCCUAAAUCAAGAACUUGCAAAUUUGAGAGGUUUUUAAGGAAUGAAGAGACUAAACCAGUAAAAGAUGCACCAGAUAGAUUGAGAUACCUUAGUUCAUUAAGGCGACCGAUGAAUUCCGGUACUUUGAUUCCUUCAAAAUUGUUCAUGCUUAAGUCUAAGUAUCUCAAUUGUUGUAACUUAAGUAAAGAUGGAUUAAUCACACCUCUCAAUUCAUGUUCUGUUGAGUAUUUGUUCCUAAGAUCAAUCUUUACGACAUGUCCGGUCUUGUUGUUACAUGUUACACCAAGCCAUUGGCAACAAUCUUGUUGAUCAAUCCAAGAAGAUAGCCUGUCUGAAGGAUCUGUGAGAUUUUCUUUAAGGUUUAGAAGUGCAUUUUUCUCUGUUUCAAUGCAAGAGGUGUUAGUAGAGGAAACAAAGUGAUGGUUUAUGCAAGUGAAAUAGAAAAGUUGAGAUAACAAUAUGAGAAAGAUAAGUUGAAGUGAAUUGUUCUUCAUAUUUGCUUGUUUGUGAAUGAAGUAGGAAGGAACAUCUCUUGUCAUUUAUAGGCAUAGUAUGAUGGUCACCUAGUAGUCGCGGUUGAGAACCAUGAGGUUUCAGGUUCAAAUUCAGUGGGGACAACAAUAGUAGAUGAUGUCUUCCCACCGUUCCUAGCAUUGAUGGACACAAUGACUUGGUACAUGUGGCUAGUGGAGGUGAUAGAUAUCUCGUGAAUUUAGUUGAAGUACGUGCAAGCUGGCCAGACACCACGGUUAUCAAAAAAAAAUUAAGCUAGUAUUGACCAAGACAAAAGAAGCAUUUUGGAAGUAGAGUCUUGGUCUUUGUGGUGUCAAGUCAAUAAUUCUUUUGGUGAAUGGACUGCUCUCCAUGUUUCAAUCACUUUAAAGAAUCAUUUGUCUGGCUAAAUAUUUUCUACUUUCACACUAGGGCUUGUUUAGAAGGGGUUAUAGUCAAUCCCGAACACAACGCUUAGCGUGUUAAAAGCACCUAAAAUAAGUCAAUUUAACCAGACACCUAGUGUCAUGCCCCAAAAUUUAACUAAAAGUGUUUGCUACGCAACAUUCUGGUCAUUUCUAGUUCGGAUCCGAGCUACGUAGGAUCAAGGGGAUUCAUUUGAACUUCCUUUGACGGAAAAUUAUAUUGUUUAUAUAUGAUUAAAUUAUUAUUUUUAUGCAUAUAUAAAAUAGAUGUUGAACUACAUUUGACUUUUUUAUGUAUUUAUUUCUUCAUAUUUUAAAUUUCGUGAAAAAUCUGACUCUACUGCUAACAUAAUAGUUGGAAAGUCUUAGUCCUUGUGGUGUCAAGUCAAUAAGUCUUCUUGUGAAUGGACUCCAAGUCAAACACUUGAAAGAAUCAAUUGUCUGGCUAAAUAUUUUCUACAUCUACACCUGGGGUUGUUUGGAUGGGUUUAUAGUCAAUUUCAAAUGCUUAAAAAUACAUAAAAUAAGUCACUUCACACAGAGGUCUAGUCUCAUGCCCCAAAAUAGUGUUUGCUAUGUGAUAUUCUGAAAACUGAAAAAAAAGUUUUUGAAAAUAUUUUGGGGUAUAAUCACAUUUUGGUUGUCAAUGGAUCUUUUAUCAAGAUGAACAAUUUAAAAUAACAAAAAGUUUAAUAUUUGAUAGUUGUAUUGAGAAUGACCGUAAAGGUGGAAACGAGAUCAUAUAUUUUCUGUUGAUAUAACUCGCUAAAUAAUUCUAAUUUUUUUUCCAUCUCUUUUUUUUAACAAAUACAUCUCGACAUAUCUAUCAAAUACGAUUCUUGAUUAUUCAGACCUUAAUAGAAUAUAUGUUAGAAAAUUAGAUAAUUCACUAUUUUUUCCUUUUUUAAAAAAAAAAUAAUCUAAAAUUCAAUUAAUAAAAUAACAAACAAAAGUAUUCGGUUAUUGAUGAAAAAAAUGGAAUUUGGUUGGGCUGGGUUCCAAUCUAUUGUGGAAUCACUGUUCUUAAUCAUGUAAAGCAUUAAAUGGGCCAUGCCCAAAUCCUGUGGUGGAUUUGUUGACAACUUGUCACAAAAAAAAAAAUCAAUAUAUAACAAGUUGACAACUUGUAACAGUUUAACACGAUAGGUAGAAUUAAUAUUAUCAAAUUUAUCGAUCUUUUAUAAUUUUGUGAACAAUUAAGUAAUACAUGCAAAAAAAAUUCUGCAAGGCAUAAGUUAUAUUUCACUUAAGUAGAUUCGCAGUCUUUGACUUAUUGAAAUAUCUCGAACUUUUGUCUUAUAGGCAAAAUCAAUUUAUGACCACAACUUAUACCUGAUAGGCAAUAAAAGUUGUCUUGCAGAUUUUCCGAAGUAAAGGUUAUUUUUGAAAAUAAUUUGCUAAGCGCGGACUAAAAGUUCAAAAUCAUCCAUUAUGAAGGUCAUUCAUGUAAUUUGCUCUUUGAAACAUCUACAUAAAUGUCUAAAGGCCCAUAUGGAAUUUGGGCUUUAAUUGGGCUAUAUGCAUGGUCUUGGACAACUAUGUGAUUGAGCCCAAUGGGCCUGUUCUUUCUUUGGGUCAACUAUGAGAUUGAGCCCAAAUGGCAUGUUCUUUCUUUGGGCCAACUAUGUGAUUGAGCCCAAUAGUUAAACAUUGCACAAAAAGCGGUUCAAUAAAAGUCAAAAUUUAUAAAGUUGUUAAAGAUAAGUUGCCUCGAUCGAUCUGAGAAUUGAACUGCAAAAGCCAAACUUCAUAAUUCAAGUUCGUUCGAAUAUAGUUCAAAUUUAUACCUCGAGUCUGAAGUUUCAAUUUUGACAGUUCAAACUUCUAACUAAAGUUCAGACCUUUAAUAUGAAUUUAGGCUUUCGUAUUUCAUCUAAAGACGAAGAAACACCAACAAUGAUAAUAGGUGUGAUUUUAUGUUUGGCAAAAUGCUAUAUUGUAAAUAAUUUUUAAGAACUAAAUAUAUUUUAUGUUUUAGGUAGAAAUGCUAGUGCCAUUUCUACCCAAAGGUAAGCAUCGGACUCAAAUCUAUAAGCAUUGCUAUUUGAUUGGACGCAAAAUUAAAAUACUAUAUUUGACUUAUAUACUAUAUUAUUAAUAGUAAAAAAAAACCUAAUUUAAAAGUUUGUUUAAAGUAGUAAAUUAGACAACACAUUCAAAAUUUAAAUUUGAAAUAUUAAAAUUAUGAAGGUUCUAUAAAAAUAGGAUCGUGUUUAUAAUUUUGAAUGUCUCAAAUUAAAAUCAUAUAAUUAUUGGGAAUUUGUUAAAGUUUUCAUUUUCAUUCAUCUAUAAACAAUACAUAAUACAUAAAUAGACACUACUACCAUUUGAAAAUAUGAUUUUAAACCAAUAUGAGUUGUGAUGCAGUGAUGGGACUGCUCUAUCCUUAAUCAGAGGUUUCGAGUUCGAGCUCUGUGUAUGGAGAAAAUUCUUCUAGUAGCACCACCCCCGAAUGGGCCAUGCAAAGCGCCACCCAAAUUUAGUCGGGGCUCCAAUGAGGACACCGAACCGUGUGGAAAAAAAAAUGAUUUUAAUAAAAAUAAUACAAAUUGUGGGAAAUUGCUUUGAGAUGGCUUGGAGACCAAGUUCUACAUGGAUUUCAUAACUAAAAAAAAAAAUCAGAUUCAAAUUAAAUUUUUUUCCAGGCCACCUAACUUUAGCCUUUAUUUAUUAAAAUUAAAAUAAGACUUUUUAUUCACUUUUGGUCAGAAGUAUACUGCUAAUGACUCAGAAUGAUCUGUAUGAAAUUUCUUCAUCAUUUCUCAUAUUAAACCUAAAAACUUACAAUGUGAGAAUAUUUUUAUUGGUUAUUAUUUUAAUCAAUAGAAUUUAUUGCAUGAAUUAAUUAUACCAAAAUUAUUAGAUCAUUAAAUACAAUUUAUAGCUUAAUAACAUCAGACCAAUUCAAAAAUUAUAUAACAAAAUUUGGUUUGGAAAGAUCAAAUAAAUCAUGUGAUAAUAGAUGAUAUUAAAUGAAUCUUUGAUUACUGCCGUGUGAUAGUUGAGAUUCUUUCCUCACUUAAUUAGAUGUCUCGAAUAUCAGAGGCAAGGCUAUAAUAUUCGAUAUAGGUUCAGACGAAUCUAAUAACUUUUGCUUAAUUAGAUUUUGUGUAUAUAUAUAUAUAUUUGGAAAUUCUUUAUAUUUCAUCUGUUUCAUUUUACUUGACCCGUAUAUCAAAAAUAGAUAUUUUAUUUUACUUGUCCAUUUUAGCAAAUCAAAAGAGUUAUGAAACGAAGGGAUUAUACGGUUGACAAAUUUACCUCUAAUUAAAAUUUUCUUAAGGCGUUUGUCAAGUCAAUAUGAGUCAAGUAAUAUGAAACUAAGGGAUUAUAUUUUAAUUAUGAACUGAGCAAUCAAAAUAAGUUAUGAAUUUUUGUAGCAUAUUCAAAACUCAAAAAAAAAAUCUUAGUUUCAUCUUUGGCAAGUAUGAGCCUUGUGAUUGAAGAAUAUUUCGAUUAGAAGUGUUUCACUCUCUUAAUGGACCUACUAUAACGUGAAUCUAAAUUAAUUGAAUCAGUAGACAUCGAAUACCAAAUGACAAAACUUGCCCUUCUAAACCUAUUGACUUAUGCAAAAAUGACUUCAUAGUGUGUCUUUAUUGAAACAUUCCAUUCCAUUUUAUUUUAUUUUUUUCAAUAUAGAAACAAAGUACUUGUACUCACAGAGAUAAGAAGUGACUUUUCAAUAAUAUUUUUAUUUUUAUUUUCCUCACAUGUAUAUACUCUUGAUGGCCCAUAAUGUUUAUAUGAAAUUUCUUCACCAUUUCCCCACAUAGAAUCUACAAAAUUAGAAAUAUAUUAGUGUAAUUAACUUAUGCAAUAUUAGAAAUUAUAUUUUUUUUAAACGGAAAUUUAAAUAGAUCAGUUGAUUAACUAUUUAAUCUUUUUAUUUUGUUGGUGUGGGUUUGUUUCCACACCUUACAAUGACUUCUCCAUUUCCCCUCCAGCUUACGCCUUAUUAAAAAAAAGGGACACUUUCCACGAGUAAAUCCUUAGUAAAAAUUGAUUUUCAAAAAAUAUUUUUUCCAUUAGAAUUGGACCGUGGAAAAAAAAAUUGAUUCUUGAAAGUUUUUCGUGAUUUCCCCGUUAUAAUAGUUAGAUAUAAGUUCUUGUGAAUUUUUCUUUAAAAUUAUAGGAAAACAUAACAAAUUUUUCAUGAAGCUGGAACUAAUUUGAUUACGAUUGAAGAGAUUUUAUUCAUUCUACGAUAAAAAAAAAAAAAUAUUUUGGGUUGUGGCAGAAUAUAUUGAAUUUCUUCAUCCUUACUUAGAGGUUUUGAGUUAUACUCUUGAGAAUAAACACAAUCAUGGACCAAUAAAGAGCAUUUUUCCUUUUUAGUAAGCCUUAUGCAAAACGAUUUCAGAUUAAUUAAAGUUUUUAAACUGAUAUAGAAUAUCAAGUGAAAUAUUUUUUUAAAAUAUUUGUAAAAGGAGGUUUGUGUCCCUUUCUCAUUUUUAAUACUUUUGGAUGCAACAAUGUCUCCAUCAAAUUCUGCAUAUUUGAUAUUCCCAUGUGAGUAAGCAGCCAUGUUAUUUUAUCUCUACUCAAUGAUAGUUACUUUUGGAGGUUCUUCGUUUCUUCUUUAUAACUCUUUUAUCCCUCUUUAUUCCCUUUUAUUUUGGGGGGGGGGGGGGGGGGGGUUUANNNNNNNNNNNNNNNNNNNNNNNNNNNNNNNNNNNNNNNNNNNNNNNNNNNNNNNNNNNNNNNNNNNNNNNNNNNNNNNNNNNNNNNNNNNNNNNNNNNNNNNNNNNNNNNNNNNNNNNNNNNNNNNNNNNNNNNNNNNNNNNNNNNNNNNNNNNNNNNNNNNNNNNNNNNNNNNNNNNNNNNNNNNNNNNNNNNNNNNNNNNNNNNNNNNNNNNNNNNNNNNNNNNNNNNNNNNNNNNNNNNNNNNNNNGUGGGGGGGGGGGGGAGGGGGUUAUUACGAGUUGUAAAAAAAUAACGAAGAAAUAUAGCGAGAUGGAUGAAAUAUCGUUAAUUAAAUAUUCUGUAUUUAAACUUUGGAAAUGUAAAAAUUCAUGACAAGGAAAGAUUACCUCUUUAAAUUCUAUGCAAUGUUAAUUUGAAUGCGUCAGAUUAGUGAAUUUCACAUAUUGAGUAGUUAUAUAAAAUGAAAAUGUAAAUUAGUAAAAAUAAUUUACUUGAAAAUGUCAUUAAACAAUAUAAUCAUUCACUCAUGUGUCAAUGAUAACAGAUGCCGCUUAAACUCAUAAAAUAUUGACAAACAAAUGAAUCAAAAGUGCAUAGUUCGAUUAAUUAAAUGUUUAAUGUCCUUAAUCCAAUACCAUAUAGACUAAAAUCAUAAUUUAUCAAUAAUUAAAAGAUUAAAAGUGUCAGCAACCCAAGAUAUACAAUGGAAUUUUAAAUAACUUGACUUCUUUUUAUGGUAGAUAUUAUUUCUUUUGAUAAAUUGUGGUAUAUGAGCCAACUUGUAUAUAUAUAUUGAUUAAUUUUACGAGGUGUAUGUUAUUUGUCACCAUCAUAGAUAUCGGGUAAUUUUAUUCAUUGAUUUUAAUUUAUUUUUUUAUGAUAAAUAUUUCCUUUAAGUGUAUUCCUGGUUUUAUCUUAUAAAAAAUAAUUCCACAUGGUCUAUCAAAUAUAUUUAUGAAAAAUCUUAUAAACAAACUAAACUUACUAGAAAAAAAUGGAAAAUAAAAAAAGAAAAACAUUCCUCAUAUGUCACCAUUAUCUUGAAGAAAUAUUGACUUGUUGAUGAUAAAGUGAAGCAUAUGGUUUCAAACACGUAAUUAACAAAAGUUUGAUUUAGUUUUAAUAUAUAUAAUUGGAUGCAUGUUAUAAUAUAAAAAUGGCGUAUUGAAAUUCCAAGAAGAUAACGUGUUACUAUAUGAAAACUUAUAUUAUAAUUUUUUAAAAAUAUUUCUUUUAAUGCAUUGAUUAGUUCAAGUUAAUGAGUUGUCCUUUUUUUAAGGGUAUCCUGUGAGCGGGAUAUUAUAAAAAAUAAUCUUUCUAUUUAGUAGGACAAUAUAAGCUCUACGUCUAUUUUCUAUUUGCAGAUCAUAUUUAUAAGAUCAUAUUGAAUAUAUGUUAUUGUUGUUGUUAUCUAAAAUCUUAUUGCGGAAUGAACAUGAAAAUUUUAUUGCAUUUUCCUGUAAAUUCACAAGAACUCAUAUCUAACUAUUAGUGCGAUAUCCAUGAAAAAAGAAAUCUCAAAAUUCACGAAAUUUUUUCGAAGAAAAAUCUCAAAAUCCACGGAAACUUUUCUUCCACUGUUUAUUUUCAGUAUGAAAUUUGUAAAAUAAAAUUAAAAUUUUCUACAAAUUUAUUAUUCGAAAAGGUCCCCUUUUUAUAAGGAGUGGUAGGAUGGGAAACUUGCAUCUUAUUAAUAAAAUGAAAAUUAAAAUAAUUAACCAACUGACCUACUAAAAUUUUCGUCAAAAAGAUCUCAUUUCUAAUAUUGCACAAGUUAUUUACUCUAAUAUAAUUCUCAUUUAAGUCAUUUUGUAGAUUCUAUCUGGAAAUUAUGAAGAAAUUUCAUACAAACAUUAUGGGCCAUCAACAGUAUUUACAUGUGAUGAAAAAAAAAAAAGAGUCAAAAAAGAGGUCGUAAAAGGAAAAAUAUGUAAGUAUAUAUUGAAACAUACAAAUCAGGGGAGGAGCUAAAGUAUAUCUUACGGCUGUGAUUGAAUUCAAUAAUUUAAAUUUAAAUUAGUACAUGUUUUAAAAUAUCCCUUCGAUAUAAUACAAAUUAAUUGUUAUUUAGAAGUUAGUAACUUAAAAGAAAUAAAAUCUUCAUUCGUAAACUUUAAAUUUUGAUUCCACUUUUGACAACAGCCUUUUUCUAGAAGGACAUUUUAAUAUAACAAUCAAGUUCUUUUUUGCCCAUUUUUAUUUUUCUGUUAAACAAACGUUGUUUUAAAAAAUCUACAUUGUUAUAAAAAAAAUUGACGGUAUAUAUUUUGAAAUUUUUAUAGAAAAUUUAGGAUUUUUUAAAAAGAAAAUAGUGAUGAAAUCUAAAUGAAACUUGAUUUCCAAGCCAAUACAAAGUCAAUUCAUCAUCUUUUUCUUUUUCUUUUUCUUUUUCUUUUUUCUAGUCAUAAAAAAAGUGAUAAAUUUUAAUUUUCCCUUGUGUGAACGUCACAUAAUUAUUUAAUAGGAAAAUAAAAAUACAAAUUACUUAUAAUUUAGCUUAAUAAAUGUUUAACCAUAGAUUAAAGUAGUAAUAGAAACUUCUAGUAAUUGUUUGAUAUCAAGGGAAGGUACUCCAAAGAAAAUAAUACAAAAGACACAAGUUAUAAGUCAAAUUCAAUUUUAGCGUUCGAACGUAUUAUAAGACGAUAAGUGACAGUCGAAGUUAGGUCAAAUCCAAUUCAGUAAUGAUUAGAUCAAAUAUGGUCUUGAGUCACAACUGAUAAGGUUAUUCCUAUCAAUUGAAUGUCCGAAGUAAUGAAACAAGUCUUACUUAGCUCAGAGUGAUAGAUUUAGAGAUAAAGUUUAUCAAUCCAUCGAUCAGAUAAAUCUUGCCAGCAACGAUUCAUUUAGUAUCAAAUAUUAAUACAAUAUGUGAAUCCAAUAUAAAAAUAUAUUAAAUGCAAUAUUAAAACAAAUUUAAGAUAUACUCAUUUCGUAUGAUAUUUGACGAACCUAAAAAUUUAAAGGAAAAAGACUAAGUUAAUGCUUAUAAUAUAUUCAAAAAACCAAAGGAAAAAAUAACUCUCUAAUAAUUUCCUAUAUACGACCGAUUGGAAACCCCUAAAACAUUGAGUAGAAAAAUGUAGAGUUUUUAUUUUAUUUUUAUGUAUAAAUAUGAACGACAAAUACUCCAAUUUUGAAUAAUAUUUAAAAAAAUGAAGACUAUUUCAUGGUACAAAUGAAGUUCACCUUCUACAAUUGUUGAUGGUUAGAAAAUUUAUUAUUCUUUCAAAAUAAUAAUUUAAAAUUCUUGUAUUGAAAAUAUGUCAUAGUGAGAAGAUGUGAGAGUGAAUGAUAAUCGGUUUAACAAGAGUUACAUGUAAAUCGAAAAAUAUUGGGGAGAGAUGAUUAAAUAUGCUAUGCCACAUCUUCAACUUAUCGAGAAUUUGAUCCUAGAUACGAGGAUACAAAGGUUACAAAUUAAGAUAAAAAGUUAAUAGAUAGUUGAACGUUGUCUCACUUUCUCAUAACAUAUGUUUGGUGGCCGUUUGGACUCAAGGCAUCACAUCUGCUUCUCCUUUCAUAUCAAUAAUAUUAGUAUUAUUCACAUAGUAAUUUCUUAUUUUUCGAUUUCUACCACUACCUAGUGUUGCUUAUGCUUCAUAUCAUACUAUUCUCCGUUGUUGUUGAUCCUUCUACUCUGUCAUAUUUUCUUCUUUCAAACUGCUUUGAUUUUUUUUUUCAUAAAUCGAGCCUCUUUACCUCCUUAAGAUAACAAUAAGAUUCACGUACUGACGUACACACUAUCCUCAUCAGAUCCCAUCUAUAAAAUUACAUUGAGUAGAUGAUUAAAAAAAUACUUCUAAUACACAUAUAUAUUAACAAAAUAUUUAGAAAAUUAAAUGAAGAAUAUUUCAUGGUACAAAACCAUAUAGAUUGAUGGAUAUCCAAAGUCCAAAAAAUUAUAAAUAAAUUACAAUACCAAGGGUAUUAAUGUAAAUUCACACUCCACAAUUAUUGAUGGUUAAUUUAUUUUUUUUUUACAAAAAUUACUUGUAUUAUAUACAACCUAUAUACAUACAUACAUAUAUCAAUACAAACCAUUUUUUUUAUUAUUAAUAAAAAUAAAAUUAAAAUACAGCUGAAAUUUACCUCUUCUUUCUCUACAAGGACUCUUUUUUUUUUCUUUUAUAAAUCUUGUUGAAGAACUCAUCAACUUCUCUGCUUCCAUUGCUUAAACACUUCCUUCAUAUUGAAGGAUUCUUCUUUUUCUAUAAAAAAAGUUACCCACAAACAAAUUUUUUGAUUUUUUUUUUUGGGUUUAUUGAGCCAGAACUUGUCUAGAAGAACAAGAAAACACAGAACCAAGCAACCAGAUAACCCCUUUAAAGAAUUAUUAUUAUUGUUAAAAGGAAAAAAUAUUUGGGUUUUGUGUUAAACUUGUUCUUACUCAAUCUAUUUGUUGUUUUCUGUAGUUUAAUUUUCUUAAAAAUUGCUUCUUUUUUUUCGUAUUCUGUACAGUUUUUUUUUGUUUUUUUGGUUGUGUUUGGGUUGAAGAAUCGUAGAUUUCAUCUGGGUUUUUUGAGAAUUUGGAGUUUGUUGAGGUGGGUUUUAUGAAAAGUUGGGUUUUUUAUGUGAUUUUGGUGAUGGGGUGUUUGAAAUCUGGACGUUGGUGAAGAAUUGGUUAGUGGGUCGUUGAGAUUUUGGAGUUUCGUUGCUGAAUUCGUUUGUGGGUCUGCUGAAAACUGUGUGUUUGUUGGAAGAUAUUUGAAAAAAUUGGGGUCUUGUUUGGGAGGUUUUAGUAGAUUUGAGAAAGAUUGGGUUUUUCUUUAGCAUAUAAGGAUUUGAUUAUGUUGAGGAGAUCCCUUUUGGGUUUACCUGGUUUCAAGUAAUUUGUGAUUCAUAAAGUGGUUUAGAUUGGGGUUAUGGCAUUUUGACACCUGGUUUGGGAGAUUUGCUGGGUAAAUUCUUGAGGAUUUGGGAACUUUCUUCUGGUUGUUUGGUUGAGUUUUUGAGGGAUACAAUGAGUUCAAAUGUUUCAUCUGGUGUGGUACAAGUAGGGAAGCUUUUGGUUCUUAUUGCUGAAAAUGGGCAAUCAUAUGAACUGAAUUGUGAUGAAUAUACUCUUGUUGAUGCUGUCCAGCAAUACCUAGAGUCUGUUUCUGGGAUUCCUGUUGGUGAUCAGCUUCUUUUGUGCUUAGAUGUGAAACUUGAAUUGCAUUGUCCCCUUUCUACUUACAAGCUUCCAUCGGAUGACCGGGAAGUUAUCUUGUUUAAUAAAGCUAGAAUGAGAAGCAAUGCGCCACCUCCACUACCCGAGCAAGUUGAGAUGAUUGAUAUUCUUGAUCCUACAUUACCAUUGUCCUCUCAUGACCCCCACCCUUUGGAUGAUGCUACAGACCCUGCCUUAAAAGCCUUGCCUUCUUAUGAGAGACAAUUCAGGUUCCACUUCCAACGCGGUCAUGCCAUUUACAGCCGUUCCCAAAUGAGAAUUGACAUUUGUGAGAGGCUUUCAAGAGAGCAGAAAGUGCAAGAGAGGGCGUUAGGGAUUGCUAGGGGCAACCUGGAUCACUUCUAUGGGAUGAUACUUCAAAAUUACAAUGACUUUUUGAAGUGUUACUCCCAGCAAUAUCGUAGCCAUACUAACUUGCUGAAUAAUUUUGGAAGGGAUAUAGAGAAGUUGAGGGCUUGCAAACUUCAUGCUGCUUUGCAGACUGCUAACCGCAAGUGUUUGCUGGAUUUCGUGAAAGAAGAGAACUUGCGGAAGUUGGCAGAUGAUUGUAAUAGUUCCCACAGGCAGUUUGAGAAUAAAGUGUCUGAAUUUAAGCUCGAGUUUGGAGAGCUAGAGCACAAUGCCAAGCAUUUAUUUUCUACAAAAGUUUCACAUCUUAUAAGGGAAGUUGAACUAGCUUUAAGAGACCAUCAGAAGUAUGUCAGUGAGCAGAAAAGCAUAAUGCAGGCUUUGAGGUUUGUUCUCUACCUCUUCCUCUCUUGUUGCUCUUGCUGUGCCUCCUCUUGUCCGUCGCUCACCCUCAGCACUGUGUAUCCAUGAAUCUUAAUAAUUUGCAUGUGUUGCGUAACUGCCAAUAUAUCUGUGUGUUGCCUGUCUGCUGUGCAAAUCUACUGAUUUAGAGGCUUUGCUAGGGACAGUUUUCUGUUUGGUACAUGUAGGUUAUGGUGAUGAAUUAUACUUGUAGAAAAGGAAGUUCUGGUAAUGAAUUUAAAGUCCUUUUUGCUAUAAAAAAUGUUAUUGAUACUUUUUUGGCACUUGUUUUAAUAUGUAAAACAAGUGAUACUUCCUUGGCCUUUUGACACCCUUGCAAGUCUUUUGGGUUAACAGCAUCUCAGUAACUUAAUUACUUUUAGUUCAAUACACUUACCUCUGUAGUAAUAAACUAACUUCUUUAGUAACAACAAUCUAGUAGGCAAGGAAGGAAUUUUGUCAUAAUCUGUUCCAACUAGUAAGGACUUCCAUUCCUGUGUUCAUCAGUGUUACAAUAGCAGCAUGGGGCUUCAUCCGGAUUUAGAUUAGUAAUAUCUGUCUAUGCUAGUUACUUGAGGAUGUCAUAUUGCUUAUGCUGAUAGCUCAAAUGAGAUAAAACUGAAGUCACAUGUGAAGAAAAGGGGUGCAAUCUGAUUUGGAAGUUCUUGAGCACUCUCAUUCGUUGUUCUUUUGUCUUGUUUGAGUUCCAAGUUUGACCUUUCUAUAAAUGAGGUCUCAAAUUUUUAGUACAUUUUACCAUCCUCAUUUUAAGCUGACGCAUUAGUCUGAUCAUUAGUUUUGACGAAGGAAUUUUUUCCAGUGGGUGGUCCACACGUUUCAGAGAUGAAGUAGUUGAUAUGACAACUCCUUAUACAAUUUGUUAAAAUACAUCUGUAGUUCAUAUGUUUUUCUUUCUGGGUUGUCUAUAUCCAGUAAUAUGGAACAUGUAAGAAGGUGUUCAGGAUAUUUACAAAGAUUUUGUCAUUUUUAACCAUGAAGCCUAAAAGAUUGUAGGAUGGCCAUUGAAAUAAUUGGUUUAAGUACAUCCGUGUCUUUACCUGGAUAUAGUCAAUAUCUUUUUCCUUGGAUAAGAAAGACUACAAAAUCCGCUUUUAAUGUGCUGUUUAUCUGCCUUUUAAUGAUUGAAAUUCUGUUAACAUUAUAUGCAGCAAGGAUGUGAAUAUGGUCAAAAAGCUUGUGGAUGACUGUUUGACCAAUCAGUUAUCAUCUUCCCUCCGUCCACAUGAUGCUGUUUCAGCUUUGGGACCAAUGUAUGAAUGCCAUGAGAAAAGUUACCUUCCUAAGAUGCAGGCUUGUGAUGGUGAAAUCUCCAAUUUGGUUGAGUUCUGCAAGGAUAAAAAGAAUGAAAUGAACAUUCUUGUUCAUAAUUACAUGCAAAAGGUAGCAUAUAUCCAGUACACCAUCAAAGAUAUACGAUGCAAAUUUGCUGUUUUCCAGGAAGCUUUGAGGCGUCAAAGUGAUUUAUUCGAGCACUUAAAAGUGGUCCGAGGGAUUGGUCCUGCAUACAGGGCAUGCCUUGCCGAAGUGGUAAGAAGAAAAGCUGCAAUGAAACUAUAUAUGGGAAUGGCUGGGCAAUUAGCUGAACGGCUUGCAACCAGGAGGGAGGCAGAAGUUCGUAGAAGAGAGGAGUUUCUGAGGAUAAAUAGUACAUACAUUCCCCGGGAUAUUUUGGCUUCCAUGGGACUGUAUGAUACCCCUAACCACUGUGAUGUCAAUAUAACUCCUUUUGACACUAAAUUGCUCGACGUUGAUAUCUCAGAAAUAGAUCGCUAUGCUCCUGAGUAUCUAUUGGGACUGUCUUCCAGAAGUGAAAAGCAUGGGACCUUAAAGAGUCCACUUUCCACGUCUAAUGAUGGUUCUCAGUUAGCGGAAGCUGAGAUUACCGACUUCACUGAGAAAUUUGAUUGUGAGGAAUUACUUCAGGGCUCAGAGAUUCUGGAUAUUGCUGGAACUAGCAAAAUGGAAGUGGAGAAUGCAAAAUUGAGGGCUGAACUUGCUUCUAAAAUAGCCUUUAUGUGUUCCACUUGUCCUGAAUUUGAUUAUGAAUCACUUGAUGACAGUAAAAUUGAUAGUUUAUUAAAAGAAGCAAGAGAGAAAACCUCUGAGGCUCUACAUCAUAAAGAAGAGUAUGAAAAACACCUCCAUUCUAUGCUUAAGGCGAAGCAAAUUCAGUGUGAAUCUUAUGAAAAACGGAUUCAGGAGUUGGAACAGAGGUUGUCUGAUCAUUACUCGCAAGGGCACACACAUUCUGCUGAUGAGGGUGUAUCUAACUUAACUGUUUCAGCUGUGAAGAAUGAUGACAGCAAAUCAGAUGUGUCAGGUGUUGGAGACACUCACAUGCCUUGUAUGCCUGCUGAAGUCAUGGAUGAGGUUUCUUGUGCCUCUAGUUCAUCAAAUAUAAAACCUGGCUCUAAACAAAUCAAGGAACAAGAAGGCUUAGAUGACAAUAUGACAGAUUCCUCUGGUAUGAUUAAUCCUCAGUUGGAUUCAUCUAUGCUAGAUCCACACCGUGAUGAAGAGCAUGAAAACCUUCCUGCGAAAGACAAGAAAGAUACCACAUUGGUUGGUGGAGAUAUGGCACUUGCGACAAGUUCCAUGGCUGUGAGCAUAUCCCAGGCUCAGACUGACAUACCUUCUGAAGUAACUGCUGAACAAGGUUUGGAUGCUAAAGCUAGAGAGGAUCUUCUCCUGGAGUUGCAAGGUGUCCUGGCUGAUAAAUCGAAGCUACUGGAUGAAAGUGAAAGCAAGGUGAAAUCCUUAACAGAGGAGAUAGCCAAGCGGGUGAGGGAGUUGGAGAUCAGAGGGAAGCUUCUUGAUGAAUCUCAGGUUUUCUUUAGUUUCCCGAACUUUUAAAUUUCUGGUAACUGCUUGGAAUUAUCAUAAUCUCUGGAAAAUUAUAAUAUUCCUGAAAGUAUAAUCUUCAUGUUGACUCGUACAGAGUUAUUGCCUCCAUAGUUUGUCUUCCAUAUAAUUUGUAUUUUCUGGGUUAUAACUUUCUCUAAGAGCAGUUGGUAGGAGGAUCAAAGUAACUGACGUGUCUUCUUGUGCAAGAAUAGAUGCCCUUCUACCUCCCAAAGCUUGGACACAUAUGAAGAAAUCACUUAAUGUUGCGUCCAUUAGGAUUUGAACGAGACCUCAUGGUUAUGGAUAGUUUACGGACGUAUUUACAUAAUUAGUGCCAAGGAAUUAGGUUAUCUAUCUAAAUUGGUGCUUCGGAGGAAACAUUUACGCAUGGAUGCUAAAUGGAUGUCUGUAUGAUUUGUGGGUUUGUCUCAAUAGGUGGUAGGCCGACCCAUAUCCUUUAUUUGUUGGUGCUUAUUGAAGUAAGUUGACUGCAGGGCCUCUCUAUGAAUGGUUGAAUUAACAUAAAAUUGGAAACUCUCUCCAUGAAGGAGUGGAGAAUUGAACAUAGUUGGAGAGCAAGUUUCUGCCACUACUGUGUUCGUUUUUUACUGUGUUUGGAGGUUGCCUUUCUUAUUUUCUUCUGAUAACUGUCGAACAAAAUAAGAAAAGCUAGAUGGCUCUUGAGGAAUGAGGAGAUGCCUUAAAGGCCAACCUAGAAAGAAAGAGAAUUAUUGAGAACGGGAGAAGCAUUAUGUACUUGUGCACAGUCUGCACAUAAAACUCUUAAGAACUUGGGAAAGUUUGAAACUCUAUGAAACAUGUGAAAUAAAUAAAUAAUAGUAACAAUGAGCAUGAAAUGGUGGAAGUUACGAAGGAAAAAACCAGAAGAAAAGAAGCCAAUAGGAGGUAUUCUUGGAAAAUAAAUAAAUAAAUAUAUAUAUAUAGUAAUAAUGAGGAAAGAGACAAGUAAAGAUUACUUAAUUUUGUGCAUAUUUUUAAACAUAAAUAAGGAAAGAAAUUAGAAAAUUUGUGGAAAAAAAGAUAAAUAGAGAUUCUGUUAUAAGGUGCCACAUCACCAUUUCCAUUCCCAACCUUAUAUAUAUAUAGACACAUAGAAGAUUAGCCUGGCUGGUAUGAUCAGCUGUAUCACUGCAAUUGUUAUCUCAUGAUAAGCUAGUUUAUUUAAUGACUUUUUCUUAAUCUUUUUCCGUUGUUGAUUUGCAGAUGAACUGUGCUCAUUUAGAAAAUUGCCUUCAUGAAGCAAGAGAGGAAGCUCAAACACAUCUGUGUGCAGCUGAUAGAAGAGCCUCUGAGUAUAGCGCAUUGCGUGCUUCUGCAGUCAAAAUGCGUGGCCUCUUUGAAAGAUUGAGAGUAUGUGUUUUGUCCGGCGGUGUGGCUAGUUUGGCCGAGUCCUUGCGUGCAUUAUCUCAAUCUUUAUCCAAGUAAGCUCUUGCCAUAAUAUCUUCACCCUACUUGACACGACAUUUUGUGAUGCAUGACAGGAACUUACUUAUUUGUAAAUACCUUCUAAUUGUUGAUGUUGAUACAUGUUUUAGAUGCAAGAUCCAUUGGAAAAUAACAAUAGGUGUGAACAUGGCUCAAGUGCAGAGUUCACAGAAUAACCCCAUUUUAGUUAAUUAAUCAAUUGUGCUCUGCUAAUUCAUUAUCUGAAUAAUUGAUUCAACUCUCCUUGUCCAACCAAAAAUGAUAAACAAGUACAUAGACGAAGGUUAAAAAACCCAAUUCAUCAAUUGAGUUCCGGGACUAAUGCAGUAAAUCAUUGUAAACUUUACUCGCUAGAUUUUUCUUAUAUUUCCCUCAUGGAGUAUGUGUUUAGCACACUAAUUAUAUUAAUCUUAUCAGCUUUGUAAUCUUAUAAUAUGCUGGUGCAAAGUGGCUGAGGUACUUUGUUGCAAACAUAUCUCUUUGGUAAGGUAAAUAAUUUUAUUAGUAAUGAGAAAAAUCCCUCAAACAAACAAAUGUAUUCCCCCAGUGGAGUCUGGGGAAAUGAGAAGAAUACCUCAUAGAAGUAAUAUACCAAAAAAUAAUGAAUCUACAACAGAAUAUAAUUUUCAAAGAACGACAUCCAAUCUUCUAUAAAACUAUAGAACCUCAUGAAUGUACAAAAAAAGAAACUAGGAAUGAGAAGGUUGUUCCUCAAAAGUAUAGUCAUUCUCUAUUGUCUAUUCCCUCAAAGGCUCCUAUUUCUUUCCUUUCACCCCAUCAAAAUGAGUGUUGGUGAGUCAACAUCCUGUGCUCUUCAACUUCAUUUCCUCCUCCUAAAUUUUCAACUGUAGAGUGCCUCCUCCGCUGUGCCUGACAUUACCGAUUGCAUCCUGAACCAUCUUAAAGUCUCACACCACAGAUGGGUGCAGGACAAUGUAGGAGGAGGUGAUGACAUCUUCACCUCAACACUUGCACAUGAAGCACCAAAAAUCUAGUUUCCUUUUUUUAUGCUCUGUUAAAAUUUUCCCGUUGCUUCUUCAAUUUCCAAGUGAAAUUCAUGUUCCAAUGCAAUUUCAGCUUCCAAAUAUUCGUUUUCAACUUCAAUUUUAAAUACUAUUUUUUCAACUUCAUCCAAAUAUUGAGCACCGUAUCUGCUUCUUUUUUCAUACUAGUAGUGCUCGUGUUAUUCAUGUAGUUUAUUGUUCUUUUAUUUUUGUUACUAUUUGUUGUUUCUUUAGCUGAUGUUACUGUUCCUUUCUUUCCAAAUGCAUUGUAAUGCUUUCUUUAGUAUAUGUCAUGGCUUCUUCACUUCUUUGCUUUCUUUUUUCAAAAUGCUUUUUUUUUCUUUAUUUGAGCUGAGGGUCUAUUGGAAACAACCUCUUUACCUCCACGAGGUAGGGGUAAGGUCUGCGUGCACACUACCCUCCCAAACUCCAUUUGUGGGAUAAAACGAUACGGAGUACUCAAUUUUUUGCCAUUUUCGAGAACUACUAAUUUAAAAAAUCUUGCUCUAAUAUGAUGGUGAGAGUUAGAGAACUGACGUGCUUGUAUUUGCCAAGAACAGAACAAGUGGAGCUAGAAUGUGAAUACAACAGCAACACAUACACAUACCCAGUGUAAACCCACAUGUGGGAUCUGGGUAGGGUAGUGUAUGUAGGCCUUACCUCUUAGAGAUAGAGAGGCUUGUGAAUAAAUAGAACAAUUAUCUUCUCCCCCUCCCCCCCUAAAAUGAGGGAACAUCUCUAGGGAACAGUUGCUGAUAUUAUGACAUUUCUCAUCUUCUGCCCCCUAAAAAGAGAGAACUAAACAUAGCUAGGGAACACUUGCUGAUGUUAUGACAUGUUAGUUUCUUCAAGUUCAUUUAUCUCUUGGAUUAGUAAAAGAUACAGUAUUAGGACAAUGAUAAUCAUUUAUUAGUGAAGUGAACAGUGUUGGGUUGCUGGUGGAUUGGAAUAAAAAUCAAUGGUUAUAUUAUGCGUUCUUUUCACCAACACUGGCUGAUGAAGUUAAAUUGAUUUGUUUUUAGUUCAAUAAAUGAAAAAGAGGAGGAUGGCUCAGCUGAAUUUCGGGAAUGCAUCCGGGUACUUGCUGAUAAAGUUGGUACAUUAUCAAGGCAUCGAGCAGAGCUGGCUGAUAAAUGUUCCAAAUUUGAUACUGCGAAUAAGCAGGUAUCAAAGGAGUUGGAAGAAAAGAAAGAUUUGGUUAACACACUCUACAAAAAGCAUCAACACGAGAAGCAGGUAAACGAUAUAGCUUCUCGUAUUCUGUUUAUAUACAUGUGCCCUUGCUAAAGCGAUUUGUUUCCACUUUUGGUUUGUCUAUGUUUGAGAUCUUCAGUUACAUUAACACCUGAAUUACGUUAAGUUAAAGCAAAUGUUUUGGAAAUGCUAUGGAUCUCUUUUUUAUUUUAACAAUUAUAAAUUAUCUUUCUCCUUCAAACUUUCUGUUGAUGUUCUCCCUUUGGAUUGUUUGUUGUUUUGGUAAGUCUUCCCUCUUUGGGCAUUAGUAACAUCACUGUUUUGGGCGUGACCUAAAGUGACAGAAAAAAUUGAUUCAUUGAAAUUUCUUGUUUGUGCUACUUAUACUUACCUAAUUGUUCAUCAGGCAAACAAAGAGAAGAUAUCGUUUGGGCGUUUAGAAGUCCAUGAGAUUGCAGCAUUUGUUCUCAACUCCACUGGAAACUAUGAAGCUAUCAAUCGAAACUGCCCUCAUUACUACCUCUCUGCAGAAUCUGUUGCUCUGUUUACUGACCAUCUUCCAAAUCGUCCAAGCUAUAUUGUAGGGCUGGUUGUGCAUAUUGAACGACAAACUGUGAGGUCGACACCCUCAACAUCAGUUCGAGCUGACCAUGAUAGAGAUCAUUUAGAUAUACUGACUUCUGACACAGGAACCAGUCGUUUGUCCUUGAAUUCAGGAUCAACUACGAACCCGUAUGGUCUUCCUGUUGGCUGUGAAUACUUCGUCGUGACAGUAGCCAUGUUACCUGAUACCACCAUUCAUUCACCAACUCCUUCCUGAUCUCAUGAAUGGAAAUGAAAGAAAUGAGGGAAGAAAUCAAAAUUGUACAGAAUGAUUUAUAUAGUUUUUUAAUUAUCACUCUUUUUCUUUAGAGGGAUUCUUUGCUUGAUUUCCUAUUGUACAGCUGAUGGUGAAAAUCAAUCAGACUUCUUCUUCUUCCUGUGUAUAUAAUGCCUUUUUUCUUAUAGACUUGUAAAAUUCUGUGAAUAUUCAUCCUUCUUUUAUUAGUUUCUUGAUCAAACGUUUGAUGAUAACUCAUGCUUGUCUUGAAUUUUUUUCUUCUUUUUAAUGCAUUAUGUGUUUGAAGUUUAUUGAUCCGCGAUGUGUAGAGCCUAGUUAAGGGGAAACGCUUCCUGCCAAGAGUUUCUCUAUUCCUGCCAAGAGUUUCUCUAUUCCAUUGUACACUGUGGUGGUUGAUGUUUUUUUCUUUUUUUUUUUGGGUGUCGGUGCCUGAUAUUGCUUUGGGAUUUAACUAAUUUGAAUUUGCAUCAAGAAGUAGUAUUUCGAGGGUAAAGUACCUACUACCGAGUUGAUUCUACUUCUAAUUUGAGAUUAGAACUUGAGACUUUGAUUAAGGAUCGAUGCAUUUUAACUAUGAUCGUUUUAUUUUACAAAUUUAUGAGUAAUUAGACAAUUGUUGACUAAAUAACAACGUUAAUAUAAUAUAAUUUCACAUCAAUAAUUAGUAAUAACACGUGAUCUCAUAGAACAACAAAAAUAACUAACGGCCACAUGUGUUAUAUUUCAGUUAUAUACGCACUAAAUUAAUAUAUGUGAGAUCAUGAAAUAUUAUUUAAUUGAUAAAUUAAUAUUUAUUAAUUUAAAGAGUCUUUUGUUAUUCAAUGAAGGUUAAUUUUGAUUACAUCAAAAUCAUUGUAUCUUAUAAAUUUAUAUAUCGUAUAUAUAGAAUUCACUUAAAAAAUAAAUUUAUUAUACAUAAAGUACAAUGAAUACAUCAUAAUCAUUGUAAAUAAAUUCAUUAUACAUAAUGUACAAUGUGUGUAUGAUUCAUUGUAAUAUAUUAUUUUGUUAAAUAAUUCAUUGUAAAAAUAAAUUCAUUAUACAUAAGUUUAUUGUUUCUUAAUAAUCAGAUAUUAUUCAUUGUAUCUUUAUUAAAAACAUUCAAUGUAUGGCGAAGACAAAAUAAACUAUAUAACCAAAAUAGGAAAUUUCUUGAAACCAUAUCCAAAAAUGACUUCUCAUUUAAAAUGUGUCACAAAAUCAACAAUGACAGAUCAAAUACGUAAAACAUUAUAUGUGAAUACAAGAUAAACCAUUCGACAUGCACUUAAAAAGAUUUGCAGUCGUGACAACACCGUAACUUUUGAAUGUAAUAAAAAAAGUAAAAGAUGAGUUUCAACUAGAUUUAAAUUUUAACAAAAAACAAAACAGAAUAAAAUCAUAUUUCACUAUAUUAUCUUAGAUAUAUUUAUACUUUUAAAGAAUUAUAUUAAUUGAUAAUAUUAAUAGGAUCAAAUAUUUAUAAAAACUUUUUUUUACGUAAAUACCCCCUAAAAAUAGGCAAAAUGGAGCCCACAACCAAAACCUUUAAAAGGAAAAUUUAUCAUUGUUUUCCCCCAAAUAUAAACAUUUAGUUUCUUUCCUUGAAUGAUUUGGACUCUUCUAUUUUUGUUCUUUUCAAUCUACCGCCUCUUCAAGAUUUUCAUAUUUAAUCUCAUAUUAGGGUCUCUUGUAGUUACUAUCUUCACUCCCUUUUAACAGUUUGCAAAAAGGUGCAUUCCUUUUUUCUAUUUUUGAAUUUUUUUAGAUAAUCAAGAACUGAUUUUUCUGUUGAUUUUGGUAUAAUUCUGUUGUGGGGUUUAGUUUUUAUGGGUGUUUGUUGAGUUUUGAGUUCUGGGUAUUUGAGUUUUUGAUUUUCUGUGGUGAUCAUAAGAUUCUUUAUGAAGAAAAAGAUUCUACUUUGAAUAUUUUGGUAUGGUUCUGUUAUGGGUUUUUUAAUGGUAAUUUGUUGAUUAUUGUGAUGUGAUGUUUAGUGAUUUUUUUAAAUGAUCAUGCUUUGUAUUAUGGGUUUUUCUUCUUUUUUUUGUGGGAAUUUGUCAAGUAUUGUGUUCUGUGAAUUUUUUUUUUCUACUGGACUCUAGAACUGAUUAUGCUGUUGAUUUUUGGUGUUAUUCUUUAUAUGGGGUUUUCUUUUUUUGGGAAUUUUGUCUAGUAUUGACUUCAGAAUGCUUUGUCAUGUUAUCUUUAGUAUUUUGUUUUGUGGAGGCUUCUUCAUUUAUGGUAUUUCUUUUUCCAAGCUACUUUAUCAUGUUUUUUCUUUAGUCGAGGGUUUAUUGGAAACGACCUCUCCACCUCCCAAGGUAGGGGUAAGGUUUGUGUAUGCACUAAACUGAGAAUAGGAUUAAUUGGUGAUAUAGUUAAGUUCAAUUCUCGUAGGUUUUUUAUAGUGAUCCUUCAGUUAUUUCUGUCAGUUUUAGAUGUAAUAAACUAGGAAAAGGAAGGUUAAAUACUCAUCAUAUACACUUACUAUAGUUACAUGAUUUAGCAAGGUGAAAAUGUAUGUUAGUUAACUAUUGUUUAGUGCUAAAAACCUAUUUACAAACAUAUGUCAUGCAUCUAUUAGAACACGAGUGCGUGUAAUUUUUUGGUUGGAUAUACUUAAUAUAGAAAUAGGUCCUAUACAAAUUUGUACAUGCUGUAAUGCUGACCCUUUGGUUUAGUUGUGGUAGUUUUGGAUUUAAUGAUUGGUAACUGUAUUAAUAGAGGGAAAAACUUACUAUCUUUUAUGGACAAUUUUGAGCAAUCGAAUUUAUCUAGCAAUGAAUAAUAUGCAUGUCUUGUAGAUGCUAUCAUGGUUUCAUAUGUCAGCAAGAUGUGACCGGUUGUUGUGGUUAUUGCAGUAGCAAGAAACAAGUCUGUUGUGGAUUCAUCUUUCCCAUACACUACUUGGCGGGCUGGUGUUGCUAAGGUGAUUUGCAGCUUACGUUAGCUGCUUUGUUGAACGAAGCACUUUUAGGAUCAUCUGACUAUCAAAUAUGGUUGGCAGCCCUUUAGGUUGGGAAUGUAAAACGGAUGGCUCUAUCCGUAGUGAAGUUGUGGAAAAGCAGUUAGAACGCCCACUUUUGACUCCAGUGUCAUCUGUUGGGAGAUAUCCUGUUUUAUCUAGCAAGAAGGAUGCCCAGAUUCUAAAGAAGAAUUCAUCACAUGCUUUAACCACAAAAGUUUUGAGUGGAAAAGAAUCUGAAAGUAUACGUAAGUUGAGGAUCCGCGCUGAGACAAGGAAUCGAAGUUCAUUUUCCUCUCACACAAUUAGCUCUUCCAGAAAAAUUAGGACCAAAAAGGAAAAAGGUAAGAGUAAAUUUCCUUUCCUUUCUGAUUUCUAACAUUGAUUGCUAGUCAAUGUUCAUGUCUGGUGCUAAGGGUUUAUUUAAUUACCUUUUACUAUCAGCGUGAAUAAUACUUCUUUCCUUCAUUUUAGAGAAGCCAUAUACUUUUGUUUCAACUAUUGCUUCAGGAGAUUUCUAACAUUGAUUUCUACUGACUGGUCAUGCAGUUCAAGUCCAGCAAAUCAAGAGGAUUUCAGCUCCACCUCCGGUUCCUGGCCGCGCUUUGGCAGGAAAGACAAGGCUUCCGACCUUCAUCAGGCAGUCUAAAUCAUCCACAAGUACCGAGGAGCCUUCUAGAAUUAGCGAGACAUACUUAGGAUAUGAAGAGCCCAUCCAUCAUAUUGCUUGGGAAGGUAUGUCCAAGAUUUUCUCUCCUCAUCUUGUAAAUGCUAUACAGUUUGUUAAGAGAUAUUUAGGGACCAAAAAAGCUACUCAUUGUUAGAUAUCCUAAACUCCAUCAUACUAUAGAUGAUGUAGCAUGUUGAUGUGCACACCAAGCACAAGGAUUUCAAUGACAUGAUCCUUGUGCUGUUCUCGUCUAAGGAUAACAUUUAACGGUAAAAGGCAGUGUCACCAGCAUAUGCAUUGCAGCAUGUUUAUAGGUGCAAGUUUCUGUUCUCUGCUUUAGUGCAAUUGCUGACCAAUAAUUUGUAAAUUGCAGGUUCGGAUGAAAAGUUUCAUUCAUCGGGAGUCACUUGCCCAAUAUGCGAAAAUGAUCUGUGUGACAUGCCUGAUGAAUAUGCAGAUGCAUAUGCAUAUGCAUAUGAAUAUAAUGAUGAUGCUGAGCCUUCCGUUCUCCCAAGUGUUGCUAUUUUGUCAUGUGGGCACUCUUUUCACGCCAUAUGCUUGGAGGGUAUUACCCCUGAGGAGAACUCUAGUGAUCCUCCUUGCUUUUUUUGUCUCAGUUGCAUGUCUUGAGCCUCAAUCAAUUUGUUGAGGGCAUUCUUGAAGCAGCUUGAAGUGAUUUUACUAGGUGUACAGAUCUCUUUAUAGUUCAACUUCAACUGCUCAUUUUGUUCACAUUUUUAUGUUUUUUUGUCAAUUUAGCAAUACAAGUUUACUGAGACUAAGUUUUCAAUAUUAUUUGUGAUGGACCAAGUCUAGUUUCAGUAUUCUGUGUAUUGUUCAUACCAGUCAAGUUUCAUGCUAAUCAGAGUACGUUGAUCGUUUUUCAAAAUAUUCAUGUGCUAAUACACACGGAAAGCUUCGAUAAUCAUUAAUACACAUUUCUGGACCCUAAAAUGGUAAAAUAAGAGAUGUCAGUUAUGAAUAAGCAAUAGGUAUUGCUUGCCAAAAAGUUUGUGAUGGAUUGAGCUCACACAAAGUCUGUCAGAUUAUUCGUGAAAAUUCAUGGACUAAUACACACGAAAACCUGAGAUAAUCCUAAAUUGCUAUUUCGUAGCACAAAAACUCUAAAAAUGACAGCUCCGUCAUUUGAAAACAAUGUCUGAUUUAAUAGGUCAUCGUCAAUGGACACAAAAUUUGACCUCAAAUGAAGUCGGUCACAUGUAUUAUGAAAAUUCAUGGGAUUUAUAUACAUGAAAAAUCUUGGUAAUCCCGAAUUCCUAUUUUGUAACACAUAAACUCCAAAAGGUGAUGUAAGCCUUUCAAAAUCAAUGAAUUACUUAAUAGGUCGUCACAAAUGAAUCAACAAUACUUGAGCUCAAAUGGAAUUGAUCACACAUAUUUCAGAAAAUUAUUUGACUAGUACACACGAAAAUUGAGAUAAUCUAGAAUUUCUAUUUCGUGACACAUAAACUCCAAAAUAAACGACGUUUGCCUUUUGAAAAUCAUGAGUGUCAUUUAAUAAGUUUUCGUCAAUAGAUCCAUAAAAUUUAAGUUCAAGCAAAGUCAGUGACACACAUUCUGAAAAAUUCAUGGACUAAUCAAUGCACACAAAAACCCUAGAUAAUCCUGAAUUUCUAAUCUUGAAACAUAAAUUCUUAAAAAACAGUGUAUGCCUUUCGAAAACAAUAAUUAUCAUUUAAUAUAUUGUUACUAGUGGACCCACAAAAUUUGAGCUUAAACGAAGUUGGUCAUACAUAUUUUGAAAAUUCAUGGACUUAUACACACAAAAACUGUGAUAAAUGUGAAUUCAUGCAUCGUGACUCAUAAACUUAAAAAAAGUGGAAUACACCUUUCAAAAAUAAUGUGUGUAUAAUUUAAUAGGUCUUCGCCAAUGAACACGCAAAAUUUGACCACAAACCAAGUCGGUCACAUAUAUUAUGAAAAUUCAUGGGGUUAAUAUACACGGAAAACCUUGAUAAUCCUGAAUUUCUAUUUUGUAACAUAUAAACUCCAAAAAAAGUGAUUUAACCCUUUCAAAAUCAAUGAAUUACGACCAUCUCCAAUCCUACUCUAUUUUACUCUCCAUUCUCUAUAUUUGGAGAGUAGAAUAGAGAAUGUCCUCUCCAACCACUCUCCAUUUCACUCUUUAUUCUCCAUAUAUAGAGAGUUGAAUAGUAGCUCUCCAAAUUUGGAGAACUAUUAUUCACACUUUCUGUUUCACUUUUUCAUUAUUUUGUUAUUAUUUGUAAUUAACAUAUUAUUUUUCAUAUAAGGCUAUGAAUUAAAUCUCUAAUAUUUGUAAUUCUUUUUAAAUGUAAUAUAAUAUUUUUAAAAAAUAUAUAUUAUUUAAUAUAUACUACUUUCAUUCCGAAUUAAUAAUAUUUCUAUUUUACCCUCACUCUCCAAUUAUAGAGAGUUGAAUAGUAGUUCUCCAAAUUUGGAGAACUACUAUUCAUACUCUCUAUUCACUUUUUGAAUAUUAUAUUAUUAUUUCUACUAUUUUGUAAUUAACAUAUUAUUUUUCAUAUAAUUCUAUUAAUUAAAUCUCUAAUAUUCGUGAUUCCUUUUAAAUGUAAUAUAACAUUUUCAAAAAUAUUUUAUUUUAUAUCUACUACUUUCAUCUCAAAUUAACAAUAUUUUAAUUUUUUUUUUAAUUUUCGCCACUUUGUGAUACAAUUUGAUGUUAUUAUUAAUUUUCACCAUGAAGAAUGCACAAAAUUUAAAUGAUAAGAUAAAAAAUUUAAUUUAAAAAUAUAAUACAUAACAUAAUAAUUUAAAUACAAGAUAACAAUACAAUAGUAUGCAUAACAUAAUAAUUUUAAUAAUCACAAUAAUAAUUUAGUAAUCCGGUAGGUCGUUUCUAGAUUUAACGAUAUUCGAAAAAGGAAUUAGUGUAUGAUUUAGGGAAGUUGUGGUUGUGAUUGCGGUUGUGUUUGUUGAUUUCUUUUUGCAAUUAUUGAUAGUUGUUCUUUAGAAAUUUAGAAUAAAAUAAAUUUAAUAUAAAAUAAAAAAAUUCAAAAAUUCAAAAUUUUAUAUUACAUGAAAUUAUAUACAAUGAUUGUUUGGCAAAAAGAAAGAAAAUAUUUAUAUUAUGAAAUAAGAAAACAAAAAUGAAAUAGAAAUAAUAAUAUAAAAUUGACAAGAGAGAAAAAGAUUAUUUUUUAGAGAGUAAAAUAGAGAAUUGGAUUGGAGUUGGUUGUCUGAAAAAAUAGAGAAUUCUAUAUUUGAAGAGUAAAAUAGAGUGUAGGGUUAGAGAUGCCCUUAAUAGGUCGUCACAAAUAGAUCAACAAAAUUUGAGCUCAAAUUGACUCGACCACACAUAUUUCAGAAAAUUAAUUGACUAAUAUACAUGAAAAUUAAGAUAAUUUAGAAUUUCUCUUUCGUGACACAUAAACUCCAAAAUAAACGACGUUUGCCUUUUGAAAAUAAUGAGUGUCAUUUAAUAAGUUCUCGCCAAUGGAUCCAUAAAAUUUAAGUUCAAGCAAAGUCAGUGACACAUAUUUUGAAUAAUUCAUGGACUGAUCAAUGCACACAAAAACCCUAGAUAAUCCUGAAUUUCUAAUCUUGAAACAUAAAUUCUUAAAAAACAGUGUAUGCCUUUUGAAAACAAUAAUUAUUAUUUAAUAUAUUGUUACUAGUGGACCCACAAAAUUUGAGCUUAAACGAAGUUGGUCAUACAUAUUUUGAAAAUUCAUGGACUUAUACACACAAAAACUGUGAUAAUUGUGAAUUCAUGCAUCGUAACUCAUAAACUUCAAAAAAGUGGUUUAUACCUAAUGUGUGUAUCAUUUAAUAGGUCAUUAACAAUGGACCAAAACAAUUUGAUCUUUAGCGGAGCCGAUCACACAUAAUUUCUACUAAUACACAUGAAAAAUUAAGUUAAUCCUGAACUCCUACUUUGCAACUCAUAAAUUAAAAAAAGGCGACAACCUUUUGAAGAUAAUGUGUAUCAUUUAAUAGUUUGUCACCAAUGGACCCAAUUUGAGCUCAACUGAAGUCAUUCACACAUAUUCCGAAAAUUCAUGAACUUAAUUAGAUGGAAAUUUAAGAUAAUCCUAAAUUUCUAUUUCGUGAAACAUAAACUCCAUAAACAGCGACACGUCUUUCAAAAAUAAUGUGUAUCAUUUUAAUAGGUUGUCAUCAAUGAAUUCAUAAAAUUUGAGCUUAAACAGAGUCAGUUGUACGUAUUACUAAUAAUUCAUGAAUUUAUACACACGAAAAAUUCAAAUUAUCGUGAAUUUCUAUUUCGUGACACAAACUCCUAAAAGAUUGACUUACACCAUUCAAAAAUAAUGAGUAUUAUUUAAUGGGUUGUCACCAUUGGACCCACAAAAUUGGAGUACAUAUAGGAUCGGUCAUACAUAUUCCAAAAAGUGCAUGAACUAAUACACACAAAAAAUUAAAAUAAUCGUAAAUUCCUAUUUCCUGACAUAUAAACUCCAAAUUUCGUAAUUAAUAUGUAUCAUUUAAUAGGUUUUUAUCAAUGGACCCACAAAUUUGAGCUCAAAUGGAGUCACACAUAAUUUGGAAAGUUCAUGGACUAACACACAUGAAAUGUUGAGAUAAUCUUAAACUCCUAUCUCGUAACACAUUAACUUCAAAAAAGUGACUUUCGCCUUUCGAAAAUAAUGAGAAUCAUUUAAUAGGUCAUUCUCAAAGAGCCCACAAAAUUUAAGCUCAAACGAAUUUAACACACAUGAAAAUUGAGAUAAUCGUGGGCUCCUAUUUUGUGAUAGAUAAAUACCAAAAAAGAAACAUCAAUCUUUCGAAAAUAAUGAGCACCAUUUAAAAGGUAGAAAUCAAAGGACCAAUAAAAUUUAGCUCAAACGGCGUCGUCACAUAUUCUAGAAAAAUUAUGGACUAAUAACACAAAAAAAUGAGAUAAUUCUGAAUUCCUAUUUCAUGAUACAUAAACUCCAAAAUAGGUUGUCGAUACGUACGUCUUUUAAAAACAAUGAGUAUCAUUUAAUAGGUCGUCACCAAAGGCCCAUAAAAUUUUAGCUCAAAUGAUGGCGGUCACACAUAUUUCAAAAAAUUCAUAGACUAAUAUACACAAAAAAUUGAGAUAAUCAUAAUUUUUUACUUCGGGAACAUAAACUCCAAAAAUAAUAAUAAUAUACACCUUUCAAAAACAAUAAGUAUCAUUUAAUAUGUCAUCGUCAAUGGGCCUAUAAAAUUUGACCUCAAAUGAAAUUGGUUAUACAUAUUUCAAAAAAUCAUGGACUAAUAUACACAUGAAAAAUUGAGAUAAUCUUGAACUCAUGUUUCAUAACACAUAAAAUCCAAAAAAAAAUAGUGUUUGCCUAUAGAAAAUAAUAAAUAUCAUUUAAUAGGUUGUCACCAAUGGACCAACUAAAUUUGAGCUCAACAGAGUCGGCUACGUAAUUCAAAAAAAUCAUGUACUAAUACACACGAAAAAUUGAGAUAAUUUUAAAUCUAUUAUAUUACAUCUUUACUUACAAAAAAGAAAAAGUGACGCCCUCCUUUAGAAAAUAAUGAGUAUCAUUUAAUAGAUCGUCGUCAAUGAUCCCACAAAAUUUGAGCUCAAACGAAAUUGAUCACACAUAUUAUAGACAAAUCAUGGACUAAUACAAAUGAAAAUUCUAGAUUAUCCUAAUUUUUUGUUGUGUGAUACAUAAUACAAAAAAGUGACGAACAAAUACAUUGACUAUUAUUUUAUUAGUUGUCAUCUAUAGACCCAAAAAAUUUAAUCACAAAAUGAAUCGGUCACACAUAUUCCAAAAAUUUCAUGGACUAAUCCUUAAUACUUAUUCAACACAUAAACUCCAAAAAGAAAGCGUUGCUUGCAUUUUGAAAAUAAUGAGUAUCAUUUAAUUGGUAGCCAUCAAUGACCCACAAAACUUAAGUUCAAAAGAAGUUGAUCACACAUAUUUUGAAAAAAUCAUGGACUAAUACAUAAGAAAAUCGUAGGUGAUCUUGAAUUUCAGUUUCGUGAUACAUAAACUAUAAAAAGUGGUAUACACCUCCCAAAAAUAACAAGUAUUAUUUAAUAGGUCAUCACCAAUGGACUCAUAAAAUUUGAGCUCAAACAAAAUCGAUCACACAUAUUUUGAAUAAAUCAUAGACUACACACAAAAAACCUAGAUAAUAACGAAUUCUUGUUUUUUGAAAUAUAAAUUCUAUAAAAGUGAUGUAUGUUUUUCAAAAAUAAUGAAUUAUCAUUUUAUAUGGGUUAAAGUAUUCAUUACCCCUAUGAACUUGAAGCUUUUUAUUCGGUGUACACCUAAACUAAAUUUUGUUUUAAUUACCCCCGAACUUGUUUAUUCCUCCGUCGCGUACACCUUUAUUGUCCAUCUGGCGUAGAAAUUGACAACACACUCUACUAAGCGCGUGAGGAAGUGAUUUUUUGCCACAUCAUAAAGUUACAAUGGUAAAAAAACGUAAAAUCUCCAUUUUUCUUUCAUAUUUGGCAUAUUUUAAACGUAAAAUAGGGGAAAAUGUAAAUGAAAAGUAAAAGAAACAAAGAUUAACACUUACUUGGUAAGAAUUUCAGACAAAUUUGAAAUUUAAUCGACCAACUUCACGUCUAGAAAAACCCAAAUCCAGAAGGAGUUCCGGAAAUCAGCCCUUAUUCAAAAAUAACUUUUAAACAAUGAAUUUUAAAUUUAAGAAAUUUAUUUUUUGCAAUAUUAAUUUAUCUAGGUGGCUAUUAUUUAUCCAGGUGGAAAUCCACAUCACCACUUUUGCCAGUUGUCGCGCGCGUGUAGUCACAAUAGGAGCAGGUGGACGAAAAAGGUGUACGUGAUGGAGGAAUAAACAAGUUCGGGGUAAUUAAAACGGAAUAUAAUUUAGGUGUACACCGAAUAAAAAACUUCAAGUUCAGGGGGGUAAUGAAUACUUUUGCCUUUAAUAUGUCAUCACCAAUAGAUCCAUAAAAUUUUAGUUCAAACAGAGUCGAUCACAUAUAUUCCAAAACAAAUUAUGAACUUCGAUCACACAUAUUUCGAAACAUACAUGAACAAACACACGCCAAACAAAAUUCAUCAAAUUGUGUUAUAACAAUAAAUUUGUGUUUCAUCGCGAAAUUGACUUGUCUAAUUAGUAUGAUGGAAAUAAACAUAGUUAGAUUAUAUGAACCAAACUAUGCAUCACUAAAUUUAUUUGUUACGUUAAAACUUAAAAUACUUAUUAUCAGUUUCAACACUUAUGUUCAAACAUAGAAUAGUGUAUCUACAAAAUCAAGUUCAACACUCGAAAAAAAUAUUUUUAAACACUUAACUCAUCAAUUACUUUUAAUCGACUAAUCCAAGGUGUUGUAAAUCUAAUCAAUCUCAAAGUAAAGAAAUCAAAUUCAACUAAUUAAAACUUUUAGGAACAAUAAUCCCAAUGGGAACUUAACUUGAAUUGGGACAAUGACAUUGAUUGACCUAACCCCUGUACAAACAAUAUAAUGUUAUGCUCUUCAGCCAGAGGUGAAAAACAUUAAUCUUACUACUACAUAGUUCUACAGACAGAAAUUUCACCAAUUAUCAAAGAAUCUUCAAAUCCCAGUUUUUCUCCAUGUAUAACGUCUUCCGAAUCCCGAGGUGUGCUUGCAACAGGACCACAACAAACAGGCAAAACCCAAAUGGUUUUCCUGGGGACUAUAGCCUAGAACUUCAGUACAUUCUCAAGAAAAGAACGGCUAUCUGGAUUGGUUUUCAUCAUCUUCAACAAUGUUGAAUAGGAACUUUGGAAGGGAUGCAAUACGAGGAAGAUGAAGGAGCAAGUCGCCAAAGGAGUCUAUCCUUGGAAUACUUGGUGUCAGUUUACCACCAACAAAAUCCUUGGCGUUCUCUUCGUUAUUUCUGUCGUUCUCACAUGCAGAAGAGCUACAAGCAUCGGUAGAUUGAACAGGUUUUUGCAGAUGAUUUUCUCCAUUUAAAUGGGGCUCGUGAGACGCAAUAGGAUCCUGCAAGAGGCAGCACAGAGAGUUCACUUUCUUCAUGAGAGAUUUCUCGUCUGAAGCUGGUGUACAUUGAGUGUCGCUCAGCCACAUCUGUGCAAUGUCCUCCAGCAUGCCCUUGCAUUCUAAGGCCUCAUCAGACUGCAAACUUCCAGAAUUAAUCUGUUGUGAAAUGCAGAUUUCAAUGUGGCUAACAAGAUCAGUCAUAGACAUUGAUGGCCGGAGUCCUGGCACCUUCAAUUGCUCCAAGUUUUGCAUCCUGUUAGAAUCAUACCCUAUGCUGUUUGCAUUGUCCCCAACAGCAUGUGUAUCCAUCACUGAAGAUCAAAAGAAAAGAAUCGGUGACAACUUUGGCUUUCAUCAUACAGAAGUAAUCUACUACUGGAUGUUAAGUGUAAAUACAAACUCGGUAUCAAAAAACUUAGUAUUUGAACAUCAUCAACUUCAACAGAUGUGGAAAGGGCAUAACAUGAAAUGCUAGCUAUCUUAUUUCAUUUAUUAUCUAAAUUCUAAACCUAUGUUUAGCAAAAGAUAUGAAACUUUGGAUCAAUCCAGACCGAGAAGCUACAAAUUGUAGGGAAGUGCCAACAUCAACAAAUUGGAAAAGGCACAUGGAUUGUCCCCUAUCUUAUUUUAUUUGAUAGUCCAAUUACUGAAGUCUGAACUAUACGAUCAAUCCUGACCCAGACACUGCAAAUUGUAGGAAUGACAAAGAAGUUUUAAACAUAACCAUACAAUUCAUGAACUUAAAGAUGAAAGUGGAAUCUCACCAAAGAUAUCAAAACCCAAUAUUCAAUCAGAAGGAUAAAUUAAUAUCCAUGUUUAAAGACAACAGAUUAUCUUGCUCAUCUCUCACCUCAGGAGCAGAAAUUAGACAAAUAUAAACAGAGGAAAAGAAGAUGGCACAAAUAGUCCACGAAGAAAACUACAUAGCGAAGAGUUGAGAAAAAAGGGGCGGGCUGAAGAUGGAAAUGGAAUGAUGGCACUAAACAUGGUAGGGGUGGAGGAAAAGAGUUAUGAAAUCCCAAGCACACAACUAAUUAUCGAAUGUAUGCAUGUAAAAUAGCCAGUAUAAAGAACAUAUCUACCAGAUUAAGAGGCAAUUGUAGAUGUGUAUUGCACAAAGCUUAAAUUAUAGUAACGACACUUCAAGCAUGAUUCUGACAAAUGCAGCACACAACCACUAAUAUAAAAUCCCUUUUUGUUAGCUUUAGCAUUCUUUUCCCACACUUUUUCUCGAUUGCUGUACAUUUUCCACAGAAUGAUGCCUAUCAAGGUUGUAGAGCUUAGAAUAGACAAUCUACGCACGGAAUAUUAAGAGCAGACAGGAAGAACUACUUACCUGAGCUUGGAGAAGGGGUAUCUCUAGACAAAUGUUCAUGGGCUGUACCAAGGAGAUCAGGUUGUUCAAAAGACACCGAAGAUGACUGUGCCGCAGCAGGUGAUGCUGCAUCUUGGAUGCUUGAUAGUGGGGAACCCUUACCAGAACCGACUGGAUCUAAGCCAUGGUCGUUCAAUUCGUCAAGAUUUUCAAACAGAGUAGCUUUUGUAUCAAAAUAUGGAGAUUCCAAGGCCAAUUCAGGCUGUUUGCUCAGAGAAUUGAGCCGCACAUCACAUUGGAUCAAUUUUUCAUAAUGCUUAUUCAAGACACCGAGUGGACACUGUAGAAAGUGUUGCCUAUACCGAUCAAAAGAGGUAUUAUUCACCAACAGCAUUAGAAGCUAAACUACUGAACUAUGGAAUACAUAAGGUGAUUCAGUUAUUCAAUAUUUGGUGCAUUUUUAAGGUGGGAAUCACACUCCAUUGCUGAUCUGGUUCCUCGAUAUAUUGGUAAACAUUCAAGUGCUUAGGAGCCAAAAUUCAUAAGUUGAUGACCCCUAACUUGUUGCUUUUCAGCUUAUAAGCACUUUCAAUUAGACCAAGUAUUUUACUAUCUAAUACCUAAUACUCAAAAUUUUCUUCUAAGAAUUUUAACUCACAACUCCCUCUUCAUUCAAUUGAUACUUUUUUAGUUUAAAUUUUUUGUAAAUAAUGUUAAGGACAUACUCCGUCCAUCCGUCCAUCCCAAUUUAUGUGAUGAUGUUUGUCUGGGUAUAAAGUUACAACACUAGAAGACUAUUGAAAUUUGUGGUCUAAAAUAAGUCAUAGAUAUUAGUCUCGCUCUAAAUCAUCUCAUAGAGGGUAAGAUCGGUGUUCUAAAGUUAACUUGUUAUUAAAUAGAGAAAAAUUCAUUUUAAACUAACUAAAAAGGAAAGGGAGACAUAAAUUUGGGACUUAGGGAGUAUUUGCCAUUUUAACCCAAAAAAUAUUAUAUCACACUUCUUUUACCAAAUAUAUCAACGACUAAUUAUCAGUUUCAACACUUCAACUCAAACACGUAACUGCUUAUUUACAAAAUCAGUUUCAACACCAAAAAGUGAUUUUCAACACUUAAGGUUAUUGGAUACUUUAAAUCAGCUAAUCCAAAUGAGCUCUUAGUCUAGUUAUCACUCCAUAAUGCCUAAUGUUAUUAAAUUUUGUUCUUCCUUCUCCCAUAAUAGAAGGAGACUUGUUUAAUCUUGGAGAAACUUUCACAUUUUUUUUAAUGAAGUAGUAGUAUGUUUCAUUAUUUUUUUUGAUUUUUUUGAUGAAGUGAAGUAUGUUUCUUUAAAAAGCAUCAAAGAGAUGCAAAGUGAUCAAGGAGCAUAGUUACAACUAACAGAACAAUAAAAAGGAGUAUUUCGCAUUGUUGAAUAGUUUCUCUAAUUGUUGGAAAAACAAGAGGAAAACAGAGCAGUGUGUUCUUUAUUUAUGAAGAAAUACAAGUAUAGCUUGAGUUAGGAAGAAUUUUUUGAACAUAAGAACUUGUUGGAUUUGCAUAGUCCAAAUGCAAUCAGUUUGGUGUCUUGUUGGACUAUGAGCCACACUUACACCGAUAAAAUACGACACACAAAAUAAUUGAUGAAGUAUAUCAAAUUGUAAGUCAGCGAUUUCACCAAUCACAUUUUGUGUUAGUAAGAUAGGAUAUUUCAAAAAAUUAGUCAUUGGACAAAUGUCAAAAGAAUGUUAGCUUGUGAAUUUAUCUCAAAGAAAAAUGUUAGCUUGCGGAUUAGUCAUUGGAAACUUGUCUUGAUUUUGACAAAUAUCCUCAACUUUUGUCGAAAAUGUCGCAAAUGUAAUGUUUUGGGGAUCAGUCAUUAGUCAUAGGAUACUUGUCACAUCCUCGAUGACCACAAUCUCUACACCUACAAAUACCCUAUCAUGUACUCGCCAUUUCAGUGCCAGAAGUUAAGUCUAAUUAUCACUCCGUCACACCAACUCUCUUCCAUAACUUGUUGAGUUUGUUAUUUAAAGUUUAUCGUUCCUGCUCCUCUAGUAGAAAAAGGCAUGUUUAAUCCUGGAAAAUUCACACGGUUGAAAUAGUUUCUCAAGACAAUGCAUUGCACAAUAUUUUUUUCAAAUCCUAGUGGAGACAAAAACACUAAGUGAUUUCUUCACAUUUGUCUAAACCCUUGUAGAAGGGAGGUAGAACUAUUAAUCAAGGUGCGCACAAGCUAGCCCGCAUACCACAAUUAUAAAAAAAGUGCAGUGCACCACUCAAGCCAUACUUAUAUUUACUCAUAUAUAAAUAACAUUAAUUGUCCUAUUUUCCCCUUGUAUUACUCCAUCAUACCUACUGUUUUUCAUAACUUGCUCAUUUUAUUAUACCUGCACCUUCUGAUAGAGGGAGUUGUUUCAUCCUUGGGAAACUUUUUUUUUUCCUUGGAUAAAUAAUCUUGAAGGUGGUUAGUACACAUGUACCCAGCAUGUGAAUAAAACAACAUUUAUUUAGGGACUAAAUAAGUAUCCUACAGUCGAGAUAAUACAAAAUAUCAUUGGUCGUUUCUUAACAGAAGUAAAGAUUAUUUACCUGUUCAAGCUAGCCUGUCCACCAGUGAAAUCUGAAGUCGCUUGCCAUAGAGUAUGUUUUCUGGGUUGUGGAUUUGUCUCCUUGAAGAAAAGGGGCUGGCGAGCCAACUGAAUCACAGAAAACCAUAAACUACAAACUGAAGAUAACACUACAAUUUCUUACAAAACAAAAGAAGAACUAUAGUGCCAGUAAAACUAGAGUACCAGUAUAAUUGUUCUUUCAAACAUUUACGAUGUUUCAAUUCACAGGAUGAAGUAUUUUUGCUUUGGGAGGUCCUUUUAUAGGACUUCAUCAAUAACUUUUUACGUAGGAAAAAGAAGUAUUCAAUAUGGUGAGAUUUGACCUUAUACCUAUCUGUUUGGUGCUGCUAAUAAAAAAAAACUUAUACUAAGGCACUUAAGAAAUUAGUUUAGAGAGAGCCCCCAAAAGCAUGGCCUAGUGGUCAAUGAAGUGGGGAAGUCAUGAGGUCCUUUCAAAUCCCCGAGGAGACAAAAAACACUAGGUGAUUGCUUCCCAUAUGCCCAAAGGUUUGGGGCAGAGUUGUCCAAUAAUUGUGCUGGUAGGAGUUAGUAGAUUCCUGUAGAUUUAGUCGAGGUGCACCCGAGCUGGCCCUGGACACCACUGUCAUUAAAAAAAAUAGGUUGGAAACUUAUGCCUUACCACAAGAGUCAAACUGCCUGGACCAUCCUCUGGACAGCUCGCCUUCAGCCCCAUGAUAUCUGACCAUUGAAUCUCAAUUUUACUCUUGAGCCCACCUUCAAGAAUUUCCCAAACAAGCUUAUGCUUAGCAAAGUAACACUUUGCCACCAAAUCACCUUCAUAUCUAGAUGCAUACUAAAACGAAAUAGAAAAAUUAGCCAAAAGAAAAUUAUUCACAGAUAAUCUACUAACAAGGCACAAAGUUCAAGGCAAUUACUUCCCAAGACCCUAUCCUUAGAAGUGAUCCCGAAAAAUUUGACGCCUUCAGCUUGUCAGUUGCUACUGAAGUGGAAGCACCCUUUGUUCCCGUAUUGCUUACAGAAGUAGGGUUUUCAGGUGCAAUGGAGGAACCACUGUUUUGUGAAAGCCUCAUCGUGAUUAAAUCUAACAAAGAUGGACUCUUUCUCAAUCUCAGACCUAAAGGACUUGGCUCAUCAAGUGGAUUGUAUUCUGGGGGAGGAACAGGGAAUUCAUCAUUUCCAGCAUCCCACUGUUAAAAAAGCAGGAGAUGAAGAUAAGUAGCUGAAAAUUGGAGUCCCUCAGUGACAAGUCAAACACAAAAAAAAAACAAGAACAAAAUAAUAACCAGGAGACCAUCUUAGCAAAGUCUGAAAACAAGCUUAAAAGAUCAUGGAAACUUGGAUAACAACUUCAUAAAAAAGAUGAACACUCUUCUUUCAGCUGGUUACACCCCCCCCCCCCCCCCCCCUUUACNNNNNNNNNNNNNNNNNNNNNNNNNNNNNNNNNNNNNNNNNNNNNNNNNNNNNNNNNNNNNNNNNNNNNNNNNNNNNNNNNNNNNNNNNNNNNNNNNNNNNNNNNNNNNNNNNNNNNNNNNNNNNNNNNNNNNNNNNNNNNNNNNNNNNNNNNNNNNNNNNNNNNNNNNNNNNNNNNNNNNNNNNNNUGACCCCUCCCCCCCCCCCCCCCCCCAAGGUCUGUAGCCCCAUAGAGAUAAAUUCUGUUGCAUUUACUAUAAAGUAGCUAAGGUCUUAUUCUCAAUUCAAGUACUAGACAUCCUGAAAGAGUGGAGUAUGGUCAUUAAUAUGAGCCUUCUUUUUUAAGACAAGGGAAACCCGCAGCCGCUACCCUUUGGGUGCACACAAGGUAAAACCCCCGCUCCUAUGCAAUAGCUCGCAAACCACAUAGGAGAGGUAACCCGCACUAGGCAAGCCCAGUGCGACGAGCUCAACCCAGAAGGCAAACCCCUUGCUUUCGCUGGCAAGGGGUUUCGAACUUGAGACCUCCAACAUGGAAGCCCCAAGCACAAACCACUGGGCCACCCCGAAGGGUGGUCAUCAUAUGAGCUUUCACCAUCCAACAAGCAAGAGCUUAUGUAUCUCAACAAGACAUUAAUAGCAGAACAGGUCCAGUAAUCCAAUUAUGUCGGUGCCGAUUUGACCACUUGCUUAUUUCAUUAACAGUUGCUUAACAUAUUGGAUAAUGGUGGAGACUCUUUCCCAAACCAAAAAGUCAUUGAUCAGGCAUAUUUAACAGUAAAGCAUGAAAUCAUAUUCUUCCCCAUCUGAAACAUAAAAACUCCAAAAAAUAAUGAGGGAAUAAUAGAUAAAUUCUUAACCAAAAACCUAUGAGCUACCCUCUAAAAUCCAUGCCUUCCAAAAUUCAAUCUCGAAGUCGCGUCUUUGCUGGAACUCAAAUAAAGUACUCACUCCAUUCACUUUUACUUGUCCACUAUACUAAAAAUAUAAUUUCACUUUUACUUGUCACUUCUAGUUAGCAUAUCAAGAGUGAAACAUAGCAUUAAUUAUUUAUUUUCCAAAUCAUUUCCCAAUACCUAAGACUACAAAUCAACUAAUACGGGUAUUAUAGUAAAAUAUCCAUAUCAAUCAUUGUUUCUCCUAGUGCAAAGUCCAAUCUAGACUAGUAAAAUUGAAUGGAGGGAGUACUUUCAAAUUGCUCUUUUCCAAAAGAUCUCCUUUUGACUUGGUGAAAUAUCAAAACAUGAUGGUCAAUAGAAGAGUCCCCUCUUUUUCCUUUUCUUUUUGUCUGUGAGGUUCAGACAAUGCAUAUAGUUAAGAAACGUGAAGCCACCACAAACAGUCACACAACUAUCCUGUUCACUAUUUCGUACAAGAAUCCAUCGCUAAAAGAAUGUAAAAAGUUCAUACUAAUAUGAACCAGCAAUAUCAUAUACCCAAAACCAAACAGACUCAUUCUACAUUCAACAGUUGAGCUUCAAAUCAAAUUACUACUAAUGGACCCAAGGGCCUGGCCAAGUCAUUGGGUUGAGAUUUGACAACAACCAAGUCUCCCAGCAAAGAUUAAAAAAAAACUAGGCUAUUUCUUCCAUCUGUCCUAACCUUACUGCAAGCUAACCCGAACACCACAGUUAUCAAUAUAGAGAAAAUCAAAUUACUGCUAAUUCGCCAUGCAGUCUAAACAGAUCAACCCAAAAACACCCAACAAAUUUUAUCGACUCUCAUAACUUCACAAAAACAAUCAUAGCCAUUUCCUCAUCUAAAAUCACUUUCCACAAUUCCAAGUCAAAAUAACAACAAUACACAAUAAAACCAAACACCAGUAAACAACAACACACCCAGUGUAAUCCCACAAGUGUAAUCCAGAGAGAAUAGAGUCUACGCAGACCUUAACCAGGCUCAAAAACAUCAUUAAGCUAAACUACAAAUACUUCCGAUCCAGUAAAAAAAAACCUGAUUAAAGCUUGAAGAAGCAGAAGAAGAUUUUGAUCGUUUAGUGAGGGGACCAUGUUCAUCUUCAAGAGGAUCCUCAACCUCAAAUUUCACCGUAAACGACGCCAUUCCCGACGACAUCAUCAACUCAACCAUUAAAAUCCCAAAAAAUCCAAAAUAAAUCCCAAGAAAACCCAAAAAAAAAAAAAGGAUUUUGCUAGAAAAUGAAAUUGAGAUUCAGAGAAUUCGAAUGGAGGCUAGGAUUUUUUGGAUUUGAAUUUGUAUUGUAAAAUUGAAGAAUCCAAAAACCCUAGGAUUCAGAGAAUUUGGGGAUUUUUCUUUUUCUUAUUGCGGCUAUAAAAAAUGGAUAAUAUAAAAAUGGCGAAAAUAUAUAUAAGCAAAGAAAGCGAAGUCCAAUAAUUGACUCACACCUGAGUAAAUGACUAUUAUGCCCUUUGGAGGAUUCGAUAUGCACUCGGAAUUGUAAAAUCGUGUCAUACUUUUCGGUUUUUACCGGUUAGCUAACUGUAUUUUUUUGUUUUUCACAAGUAGAGUUGGAAGAUACUAGAGUGUCAAUGUACGCAAUUUAUAUGCUUACCUUUGAGAAGAUAGAAAGAUAUUUUCUCAAUAGAUUUUUAGCCAAAUAAAUGAUGAAAAAGAGUCGACAAUAAUAAGAAAAUAAGUAGCGAAGCUAAAUAAUAAAUCAAUAAUGAUAAUAGAAAUCUAAAAAAAAGAAGAAUAAUAAAAUAAAAAGAUGUAACCUUAGUGGUUGACCACAUUAUAUUUAAUCGAAGAAUUAUAUUGUUUAGUUAGGUUAAAAUUUAAGUUUUAUGUAUUUAUGUCAUAUGUUGAUUUGUUUUUCUUAUUCCUUUACGUGUUUUAAAUACUUUUAGUAAGAAAUUUAGUUUAUCACGGAUGAAUUCAUAAUUUUAAAUAUACAAUACAUUAAAUAUUAAGAAUCUUCAUAUCUUCGAUAUCUGAGAAGACAUCAAUAAGAAUAUCAAAUGGGAUAGAAUAAUUAAUUAGAUUAACCCAAAAAUUUAUAUCGAGAUUAUUAUUUUUAUUGUAGUAUUAAACGACAAAAAUUAAAGUCAUUCAAAUAAUGGACAUUCUUGUAACUUCACCUUAUAUUAAAUGAGCACGGGCUCAACAGUGAUCUGUUUAUAUAGAUCGUUGAUUGAACAGUUGCACGCCCUGCAAAAGCGAUAACAACGUCAAAGGUAUCAUUAAACUAUAUGUAAAGUCAUUGCAAGAUCCAUCAUCUUCCUUGCUCUCCAUUGAAUCUCUGAAAUAGACGGAGAGAAAGAAUAGAGUAGACGAUCAGAUCUAAAAUCACUCUCACAUCUUGAAAGAAGUUUGAUAAUCUACAAAGAGGAAAAACGACUAUGCAAACAAAAAAAGACAUUGUUGGAAAAGAAAUUCAAUUAACAAAGUAAUCACUCCUAAAGGUUAACUAAAAAUUCUUCACGAAUCCAACCAUUCUGGCCUUAUUUUCACAUAAGCAACAUCAAAACUAUUUUCAAUUUUUUUCACAUCUGAAAUGAACUCGAAGCACGAAUAAUUAAGUACUGAAAAUUAAAUCUAUGACAAAAGUAAGUUAAAAGUGUUAUACAACAAAAAUAAAGAGAACUCAUCUCCUAAAUUAGGCCUACUAAAUUCAAAGUUAAAGCACAACACUCCUCCAAAAAACAGGUCAUUGCUAUACAACUACAUACAAUUUUCAUCAAGCAAACAACUGAAUGACGGCAUUAGCAUUCAUCAAUCAAGGAUCAUACAGUACUUAUCCAGAAAUCAUCUCAAUACUUGUUAAAAUUUAGCAAUUGUAUCGAGACAUAGCAAAGAUAGCAAUUGAUACACAGGAAAAUGUAAAAAAAUAUAGCAAACUGAUUAUAUAACAACAACGAUAAUUAGGAUUUGUUUAAUGCGGAACACAUGCCUACACAAUCGAAACUACAUACGGAGUGAAUAGUUAUAUUGCACCAAAAAGUACCUUCAAUGCAACAAAUAGUACAAAUUUUAACAGCUAUGUUCGUACACCCACUGUCAUUUCUAAAUAAGGCGAAUAUAUAUAUAUAUGCACGUGACAGGUGGGCAUAGAAAAUUGGGGUCCAUAUUCUUGGUUGGUGGACCACACGUGUCACUACUUUACACGUUUUCAAUUAUUAUUUUUUGUUAGUUUAGACAAAAAAGAAUCAAAUUUGUUAUGUUAAAUAUAUUUUCUAUAACGAUAUCUCAUUAUAAUAGCUAAAGAACGUGAGAAUAAAUAAUUUUUGUUAUAAAGAAAUUUGAGCAUAUUACUAUUUAAUAUUGAGUAACUUUACUUUUGUUAUUAUUUGGGUCUAAUUUUAUUUCUUCUUUAAGGAAAAAAAAUAUAUUUGUUUUUUAUUAUUAAUGAAAUUGUAACAUAAAAUAUGAUGUAUGUAUAGAAUUGAAAUUGUAAUAUUAAUUGAGAAACAUAAUCAUAGUUUCAUAUAAAUUAAGAAUACUUGUUAGGUUACGUUUUCCUCUCUUUUUAGCUUAUGAUAACUAGCCUUUUAUGGAAAAUAUUUGAAGUUAGAGUCAUAAAAUGAAAUAUAAUCUCAUAUUUAUAGGCUUAAAUAUCUUAAUCUAGUAGGUCUUCUCAUAACGGAUUUAUUAAUCUCAAACACUAAACUAUUAUCGGCUUAUACCAACCACAUAAAAUAAUAUAGGUUCAUCUGAAAUCCACAUAAAUAUAUUGUAUAUGUUUUGUCCAUCAACUAUUAACAUUUAACAUGUGUUUACUUAAAUGUAAUAAUAAAAUAAUAUAAUUUUUUUUCAAAUUUUCUAUUUAUUUUUAUGUCACUCUCCAUUUGAAUAAUGAAUUGACAGUUAGAUAGUGACUCCUUUUUUGCAAUUGUGAUAUGUUUUACAUUUAAUUAUUUUUCAUUUUUGUAAAAAGAAAAAGUAUGGACCCCAAAAAGAAUUAUAUGCACUUUCAAUUAAUGGGGCUUUAUAAUUAGAUUCUCCCAACAUUUUUAGACUUAAGUCAUCAGCGGCCCCUUAAAGUUAUUCGCAUAAUUUACUUAGACAGUUCAACUAAGACUAGUACCUAUUGAACACCUAAAUUGUUCAAAGGAAAAAGGGUCUGAUAUACCCCUCAACUUUGUCAUUUAGAGCUGAUAUACCCCUCGUUAUGAAAGUGGCUCAUAUAUACCCNNNNNNNNNNNNNNNNNNNNNNNNNNNNNNNNNNNNNNNNNNNNNNNNNNNNNNNNNNNNNNNNNNNNNNNNNNNNNNNNNNNNNNNNNNNNNNNNNNNNNNNNNNNNNNNNNNNNNNNNNNNNNNNNNNNNNNNNNNNNNNNNNNNNNNNNNNNNNNNNNNNNNNNNNNNNNNNNNNNNNNNNNNNNNNNNNNNNNNNNNNNNNNNNNNNNNNNNNNNNNNNNNNNNNNNNNNNNNNNNNNNNNNNNNNNNNNNNNNNNNNNNNNNNNNNNNNNNNNNNNNNNNNNNNNNNNNNNNNNNNNNNNNNNNNNNNNNNNNNNNNNNNNNNNNNNNNNNNNNNNNNNNNNNNNNNNNNNNNNNNNNNNNNNNNNNNNNNNNNNNNNNNNNNNNNNNNNNNNNNNNNNNNNNNNNNNNNNNNNNNNNNNNNNNNNNNNNNNNNNNNNNNNNNNNNNNNNNNNNNNNNNNNNNNNNNNNNNNNNNNNNNNNNNNNNNNNNNNNNNNNNNNNNNNNNNNNNNNNNNNNNNNNNNNNNNNNNNNNNNNNNNNNNNNNNNNNNNNNNNNNNNNNNNNNNNNNNNNNNNNNNNNNNNNNNNNNNNNNNNNNNNNNNNNNNNNNNNNNNNNNNNNNNNNNNNNNNNNNNNNNNNNNNNNNNNNNNNNNNNNNNNNNNNNNNNNNNNNNNNNNNNNNNNNNNNNNNNNNNNNNNNNNNNNNNNNNNNNNNNNNNNNNNNNNNNNNNNNNNNNNNNNNNNNNNNNNNNNNNNNNNNNNNNNNNNNNNNNNNNNNNNNNNNNNNNNNNNNNNNNNNNNNNNNNNNNNNNNNNNNNNNNNNNNNNNNNNNNNNNNNNNNNNNNNNNNNNNNNNNNNNNNNNNNNNNNNNNNNNNNNNNNNNNNNNNNNNNNNNNNNNNNNNNNNNNNNNNNNNNNNNNNNNNNNNNNNNNNNNNNNNNNNNNNNNNNNNNNNNNNNNNNNNNNNNNNNNNNNNNNNNNNNNNNNNNNNNNNNNNNNNNNNNNNNNNNNUUAUUUAUGUUUCACUAAUAUUCUUGUAAAACUUAUUAUAUGACCAAUUUUUUUCUUCAAAUACAAAAAUUAAAUUACAAUAUAGACAAAAAAAAACUGUUUUAAAUUAAAAUAUACCCACAAAAAAAAAUAGUUUUAAAUUUUUUCUUUACACUAAGGAAUGAAAGAAAAAAAUAAAAUAAGAAUAAGAAACUCAAAUAAUGAAAAUCAAAGAAGUCAAAAAAUAAUUUAUGUAUGAAAAAUAUUGAAAUAUACCUUGAACUUUGCUAGAAGAAUCCUAUAUACCCCUAAAUGAUUUUUAAAAAAAAAUUAUAAGUCAAAAAUAUAAGUUUAAAAUUAAUUUUUUCACUUCCGUUAAAUGAAGGGUAUAUGUGAGCUCAUUUUGUAAUGGUAGGGGUAUAUGUGAGCCGUUUGUAUAACGGUAAGGGUAUAUAUGAGCCACUUUCAUAACGAGGGGCAUAUCAGCUCCAAAUAGCAAAGUUGAGGGGUAUAUCAGACCCUUUUCCCUUGUUCAAAACAUAUACCUAUUAAUACAAAAUGCAUAUAUGACAAAAAAUGAGUUUUGCACUUCCCUGAAGCACGUGAAAAGAUUCAAAAUAGUGUCUUUUUUGAAUUUUUUUACACUUUUUUCUUCUUUUAUUGACACUUGGCAUUAUAAUUAACUUAAAAAUAUUUCUUCUUCUUUCAUUUACACUUUUUCUUCAAAAAAGAAAAGCACUCCACCCCCUACCUAUCAUCUUCUUCAUAAUUUAGUUAGCAAAACUUUCUUCAUUUUAGCUCCAACAUUGUUUUUCUUUCUUUUUCAUAAAAAAAAAAGAAUAUUAUUUCUUCCAAAUAUGAAGAUAAAUGAAAAUCAACUAUGAAGAUUCAGAUUUGAAAUAUGAUUUAUUUCAAAUCUCAUAAAAAUAAGGAACAAAUAUGAAGAAGAAGAAAGAAGAUAAAUGAUUUUUACGUAUAAAAAAAGUUAGCCGAUAUUUGUUUAUCACAAUUUUCGAACAAAGCUUUUUACUCAAAUUCAUAUAUAAACCCAUUAAAUUUAUCAAAAAUGAUAUUCAAAAAUUUGAAAGAAUUAAUUUUUGAGCUAUCAAUUUCAUUUUGUCAUCGAUGUAGAAAUGAAUAGCUGCCGGCAAAAUUUUCUUUCUUCUUCACUCUUAGUAUGAAAAUGUAUAUAUAUAUAUUUUUAUUUUUAUUUUUUAUUUUAUAUAUAUAUAUAUAUAUUUAAAAAAAAGUUAAUCUUCAAGUUAUUUGAAAAGAAUUACGUUUUGGGAAAAAGAUGAAGAUGAAAGAGGGUUGGGUAGAAUAGGUUGACAUUUUCAUUUUUUUCUUUUUCUUUAAAAAAAAUAUAGAUAUAAAAUGUGUUUGAAAUAAUUUUAAACAAUUUUUUUUUUUUAAUAAUUUUCGGGGCUCAGUGCUACAUGUUAUUUUUAAUUAGCCGUUUUGUCACGUCACCGCAAGUGUAUCACACAUUCUUCAUAUUUUUUGCUGAUUAUCAAAAAAAACCUAAUAGAAACAAUUUUGAAUAGGUAAAAGUGUUCGAGAGGUACUUAAGCCUUUAUUAAAUAUGAAAAAUUUGAUAUAUAUGAUACAUGUGUAGUAUACAUGGAAUCCACGCUCCAAAUAAUCCGGACUCUGGGCAGAUAAAAAGUUCCAUUCCAUUUUAACCACCAGAACGCCUCUUCUCUUAUCGUUGGUUUUGGUUCUUCUACUAUGUGUUUCUGUGCCCUAGAAAACGACGACGAUGACGACCACGACAGACGUCGAGAUGAGUAUUGAUAAGCAGAAGAAGGACAUUGAGAUCCUUAGGAAGAAAUUGAUGGACUGGAGCUUUUUUCCUUAUCUGUACCAACUUUUCAACAAGGAGGAGCCUAUCAAUUGGCGUAACCCUAUGUUCAUCGAUUACAUAGCUCGCCAAUCGCUACAAUCUUUUUACAGGGCAUGCAAGCGAUUCGAAAGGUUUGAAUAACUUGCCUUGUCAUGCAAUUUUAUUUUCUAGGUUUUAUAAUAAUAAUUGGGAUUGAAUGGUUGCCAAAUUGUAGCUUCGACUUCUCAAUUGAGCCAACGAUAGUUGGUAAGGUGAAGCAUUGCAGCUACUCCGAUUUGGACGGGAUUACUAAUUUCAAGAAUCCUGAAGUAAUUCAAAAGACUAUUUCAGGAAGACUGUUCCAGGGAACCAUUGUUGAAGGAUCUGAAAAACGAUCGGUUAUUGUAAAGACAUGGGAUUUUCACCUUCCUAUGAGAGAUGCUCUUCAAUGUCUAACUACAUUUUGUGUAUGUAUGUUUGCUAGAUAGUAUUUUGAUUUUUGUUGGUUCGUUGAAUGAUGUCAAAUUAAGCUUCUUUCUUUUGUUGUAGGAUGAGAUCGAGUUAUUCACCGAUGAAAGAGUAAAUAUGCAUCCAAAUUUGGUCAAGUUGUAUAGGUACUGUUGUGAUACGAGGCUUGCACUUGUCUUUGAUGAAGAAUUCACUGGACUAGUUUUGUCGGAUGUGCUUCUCUCUGGUACUUAUAUUACUAUCUCGAGUAUUAUGUUGAAUGAUUAUUCAUCAGUGUGCACAUUGCUUUUGUUUUCUCUAUCAUUUGUAGAUGACUUUGGGUGGGUUGAGCGGAUGAAGGUCGCAACUCAACUUGCUGAUCUCUACUCAUGUUUGCAUGAGAACAAUAUUGCACUUGACCGUCUUAUUCCUGCAAACAUUAAGAUAGAUAAGGUGAGUUUGAACACUUGAUGGUCAUCUAUUUCCUUUAGAUAUCUCACAAGAUUGUCUUAGCACGCUUUUUGAAAUACGUUUUUACAUCUUAUUACAUUGAUCUUGCUUGCUGGAAAUAACUUUUUUUCGCUUGCAGGAAUUUAACAUUAAAGUAUUUGACUUUGGGUUCGUAACAAAUACUUUCAAUGUGGAUGAUAGCUUUCUUGAUGGUGCUAGAGCUCCAGAGAUUCUAAAAGGCAUGUUUGUUUGAACCUCAAUAUCUCUCUUCUUUUCAUGCUAUGAUUAAAUUUUUUCAGAUGUUGCCUCCUCUGUUGUUUGUGAUGAGAAGUUUAGACUUUCAAAUCGUGUCUCAGGCCUCUAUUUCUCUUUUUCUGUGUAGAAAGCUUGGUAAAAUAUUAGAAUUUCAGCUUUGAUGCUAUCUUUGGUUUCUUAGACUUCUUCUCCAAUCAAUAGCUUAUCAACGUGGUUACUCCUUUGAAAGUUUGCUACUCUCCAAAAGAAUUUGGUAUUCCUGUCCCCUUCUAUCUUCUAUGAGCCAUAAACAUCUGGACUUUUGCCUCCAAGAGAUCUCCUCUAUUUUAGCUAUUUCCCGCGUUUAAGGAGUAGUAAAUAGAGGAUAGGAGUAAGCUUGUUGGAUUGGGUCCUUGGUGUCGGAAAUCCUUCAUAACAACAUCUUUGGAUAAGGACUAGCGUGUGUCCCCAUAUAAACCAAGUUAGAAAAGCAUAACUGGUAAAAAGUUCUCUCUCAGGCACAACUCCCAAGAACCUCUCUCUCCUACUUCCUAGGAGAGAGGAAACCCCCUUUAGUGAAAUAAUUAACUAAUUAUUGAAAAUAAGACUAAUUGCAACACUAAUAAAAUUUUUGAUUAGUUUAAGAAAAAAUAAGAUAAGUAUUAAGUUAAAACAUUUUUUUUUUUUUGAGACAAAUUUUAAGAUAUUUAUAAAACCCCAAAGUCGUACACAAAACUUAUAUGUAUAUAAAUAUAGAAAUAUAUAAUUGCUUCUAAAAACAAAAACAGAAUCAAGCCUGAAAACAUUUUUGGAUUUUUUCAAAAAACAAUUAUUUCCAAUUGUUUAAAAUUUAAGAAGCUCAAAAAUUAAUCAAAUCGUGGAGGGCUAAAAUUGGGUGUCAAAAGCCAUGACCCUCGUAUUUUUAUGUUUUUGGCUUUAACAAAAAAAAUCUAGUGAAAAGUUGUCUGAAUUAAAAAUUAGGACUCAUAGGUUUAGCCUUGUGGAUAAUUUUCAUCAUAUUUGCUGUUUUAUAUGGCAUAUUAUUUCUCCUUCUUAUACAGUUGUGUUCUUAUCUUUUCUUAUACACAGGUGAGAGGACCAGGACCAUGAAAUCUGAUGUUUAUUAUUUUGGUAUUCUACUGCUGGAGCUGAUGGCCAAAAGGAAGUUUAGUUUCGCUCAUGUGUGUUGUUGUGUGCAAACAUCAAUUGCAACUGCGGUUAAGCGUGGUAAAAAAUAUUUGGUUCAUGAAUGCUUCACAGAAGUUGAUUAUCCAACUGCAUUAGCUAUCACACUUCUGGUAUUCCUCUGCACGAAUUUUGAUCCAGACAAGAGGCCCUCGAUGAAGGAUGUUAUAGACACUUUGAAUGCGAUGGGAAUGGGAGGGGUGAAACGAAAAAGAGAUGAAUACGAUGCAGAACAGUAAAAGUGUACUGUCUAAACACCGUUAAUGCUAGUGUUUUGAAAAAAGACUAAUAGUGUUGUGAUGAUGGAGCUUUGUAGAGAAGAAUGUAUUUGACUAAAUACCAUAUCAACUGUGGACCUGUUCUAAAUCUUUUAAGCUUAGACAUCCAACUUUUGUCUCUUUUUUUCUUUCUUUCUUUUGUGCUGCCUGCUUAUUCUAUCAUAAUGAUAAUGAUUAGUGUUAUUGCUAUCCUUAAUUGUUAUUAUCUUAACUUUGUUUUAAUUAUAUAACAUACUGAUAUUAUCACCUUUUUUUUCAAAACUGGCCCACUUGUAUGGAAUCUUUUUGCAAAAAUUAUUUAGAAUUUUAAUGUAUUCUUUAAGAAAAUUAUCUACGUUUCACUUUAUUUGAACUUUUUUCGAAGUUGAAAUUGUGUUUGGUUAUGUUUUUUCAAAAUAAUAUUUAGUUGUUUGAAGGUAUUUUUUCUAAAAAGUAAGUGAAAUAUAAUUCAUAUAAGGUUCUUUAUUUAUAUAAUUAGGGUAAAAUUGAAAAAAGAAUAAUAUAGUGAAAGUGAUAAUAAGGGCUAGGGUGCUUUAUAAUUUUUAAAUACAACUUCAAGUUGUAUUUGAGAUUUUCAUGAUCAAGCCCUCAUUUUCAAAAAAAGUGAAAUAUUCUCAUAACCAAAUGAAGGUAAAUUGCUAAUUAAUUUCUUUUAAUUUAUUUAAGUUUUGAUAGAUAAAAUUAGCGUGUCUCGUAAAAAAAAAAAACCUUUUAAAUCAAAUCGACUGCACAAACACAAACUUACAGGUCUAUGAUAGAAGGGUGGGGUCGGGAAGACAAUUAUGAGGAACUGAAAAGACUUGGACACAAGCCAAACUAGUCUAAUUUGUACACGAUGCAAAAUUUGCAAGUCAAGCAUUAUUGAUUGUCUCAUAAUGCACCAGUCAGUGUAUAGUCAUGACACUCCACGUGAUACGGUAUCUUUUUAUCUCUCUCUCUUUUCUGUUAAUUUCAGUGUAAAUCUCAUGUAUAUGGACAAAAUAAUUCUGGGUUUAUCUUUUUAAUCAAUAAUUCUGGGUUUAUACAAUCCUGGCAUACACCUGAUUCCCAUGUAUAGAUAGUCUAAUUCUUUUGGACUUGUUAUUGUCGUUGGUAUCUUCAUUUCAAGAAGUUCAUUUUAUUACCUUGAAACAGUCGGGGGCGGCUGGUUAGGCUUAAAAAAGAGUCCUUCGCCUUAGGCCCUCAAUUUUAGGGUCCCCCAUUUUUUAGUUAAUUAGGUAGGAUUAAAUUUUUUUAAAAAAUAUUAGAACUAAGACAAUAAAUGCAAAGGUCCCAUUUUUUAGUUUAUUAGGAAGGAUUAAAUUUUAAAAAAAUAAAAAUUAUUAGAAUUAAGACAAUAAAUGCAAAUGGCUUAAUGAAGUGAUAGUCUGAUAGAUAUGACUAUAACUUUUUAACUUUCCAAUAAAAAGUUGUGUACUUUUUUUAAAAAUGUAUAAGUUAUCUUCUUUUUUUUACCUUAUUUUUUUUUCUAAUUUUAUUUUUAUAUAUUCUAUCCUCCUCCCUUCUAUUUCUUCUCACUUUCUCUUUUCUAAUCUUACAUCUCUCUCUUAUUCAAAGCUUAAAAAUUUAUUUGUUCUGUUGAUAGUUUAUAUUUUAAAUUUGGAGAAAACUAUAUUGCAGCAAGCCCGAUUCAUUUUUCGGAAAUCAAGUCUUCAUAGCUUUUGAAUUCGGUAAUAUCAUUCUAAUUUCUAAUAUUAUUUUUGUUUUGUGUCUUAUGUUUAUUAUAUUUUUUAUUUGAUAUUGUAAAAUAGUGUUUAAAAUAUUUGUUAGAUUUUAAUAUGUCAACUAGAAAAUAUGAAUCCGGUCAUUCAAAACUUAAAAGAAAAAGAAAAGUCGAUAAUUUGAUAAAAUCUCAAAAAGGUGCUCUAGAUAAAUUUUUGGAAAAUAAUGUUAAAAUUAAAUCAAAAAAAGUAGGGGAAUGCUCAAGAACAAGUUACUAACUUAGUUGAAGUUGAGUUAGAUAAUGAUAUAAACCAAAAUGAAGAAGAAGGAGAGGAAAUUAGUGAAAAGUCGGAUGUAGAUUCCCAAGAAAAUCAAGAACUUAUAAAUGAAUUAAAUAAUCAUACUCCUAAAAAUAUCUAUGAUCCUAGUCAAUGGAAUAUUGUUGAUACAAAGUUAAGAGACCAAUUAGAAUUACCGACACAUGUUUUCCAACGGAUAAAUUUUUAAGGCACUUUUCUACUACAUAUUAUUUUCAAAAGUUGGCAAAUGGAGAAAGACAUGAAAGAAGAUGGCUAGUUUAUUCCAAAGAUUUGAAUAAGGUAUUUUGUUUUUGUUGUAAGUUAUUUAAUACGACCUUUAAUGCAAAGAUUAAUAAGUUAGCUAAUGAAGAUAGUAGAGAUUGGAAAAAUCUUACUACUAAGCUUAGAACCCAUGAAACAACUAGCCAACAUAUUAUUAAUAUGAGUUCAUGGAUUGAUUUAGAAUUUAAAUUGCGUAAUAAUAAAACAAUCGAUAAAAACAUUCAAGACCAAAUUAAUAGAGAUAGAGAACAUUGGAAAAAUGUAGUGUCAAGAAUUAUUCCUGUCAUAAAAACUCUUGGAAAAAAUAAUUUGGCGUUUAGGGGGGAAAAUGAAAAAAUCUAUCAAGAAAAUAACGGAAAUUUCUUGAGUCUUAUUGAAAUGAUUGCAGAAUUUGAUCCAAUUAUGCAAGAACAUAUUCGACGAAUCAAACAUGAUGAAAUUCAUAAUCAUUAUCUUGGACAUAAUAUACAAAAUGAAUUAAUAAAUUUAUUGGCAAGUGAAAUUAAGAACAAGAUUAUUGAAAAAGUUAUAAAAACAAAGUAUUUCUCUAUCAUACUUGAUUGCACGCCAGAUACAAGUCAUCAAGACCAAAUGUCUUUUAUAAUACGGAGUGUAGAUAUUUCGACAACUCCAAUAAAUGUAACCGAAUAUUUCUUAGAAUUCUUAAAAGUGGAUGAUACAAGUGGAAAAGGUCUUUUUGAAGUUAUUUUAGAUGAAAUAAAAUGUAUUGGACUUGAUAUUGAUAAUUUAAGAGGACAAGGAUAUGAUAAUGGGUCUAAUAUGAAGGGAAAAUAAUUUAUAAGGAUAUAAAUUUUAAUUAAAGACACAUAAAUAAAAAAUAAAUGAGGAAAGUAUUUGUGAUAAAAAAAACCGAAAUUAGUAGAAUAAAUAAGUUAAAAUAAAUAAUGUCAACACUAUUUUUGGCUCCUUUUCAAAUUAUAAAUUUUUUUUUUUAUUCUCCUUCUAAUUUGAUAUGAAUUCCAUAAAUAGACCGACUUUUUUUCUAAAUAAUUCUUUCUUAUUCUUCUCCUAAUUUAAUUUGAAUUCCAUAAAUAGAUAAUUCUUCUAAAUAAUUCUUCUUUGACAUUUUAACACUAAUCACCCUUCUUAUAAAUUUCUCAAUCAAAUAAUUUUUUUCUCAACAUGUAGGAGGAAUUAUAGUGUAACAUUCUUUCAAAAAGUCUUUUAUUUUGAGAAGAAUCAUUUGUUGUAUAACCUUUCUUCUUACACCAAUAUAUUCAAUCUUUCUCUUCUUCCUCUUUCUUUUUGGAUGGAAUAGAAUUAUGUAUGCCAACAGAUAUGUAGUAUCAAAUGUUGACAUUCACUUCUAACAAAAGUGUACACAUAAUUUUUUUUUAAUUUUUUAUUUUUGUAUAAACUGAUAAAUGUGAAGAAGUAGAAGAAACGAAAGAAGAAGUGAAAUCAUGGAGUCCAUUAUUGGUUAUGGAUGCUCAAAUCUUUUUUAAUUUAUAGGCACAAUCUAUAAGCAGUUAUAAGAAAUGAAAAGUUUUUUUGUUUUUUCAUCUUCCAUUUAGUUAAAUGUAUAAUAAUUUAAGGAAUUCUUUUAAGAAGAGGUGAUAAAUUGGGUAAGAUACUUAAAUACUUUUAGUUUUUAAAAAAUAUCAAUUUAAAAAUAGGAAACAAUUUUUUUUUAAAAAGAGAUAAAAGACAAAUAAAAAUGUUGUGUGAAAAUUAGAAUGCUGCCCUAAGGGGUGCCAUAUAUAAAUACAAAAUAGACACUAGCUUUUUAAUUUGUUGGAUUUGGGAAGAAUGGCAUAUCCCUUUGAGAUGUAUAAUGGACCACCUAGCAGGGCCGCCACAACUGCCAGUAGGGCCGCCAGGACCUGGGUAAGUUAAUCUUCUUCAUAAAACAUGGAUGUUUACAGUAUAUGUAUGUACAAUGGUAUUAUCGAUUUUAUAAUGAACAAGUAUAGAUACUUAAUAUGAACAACUGAAUGAUUUUACUUACUUGUCUAUUGGUUGUUACACACCAUUUCUCCCUUUUGUUCUUAACUAGUGAUUUCUCCCAUACCAAAAGACACAAUAUGCUAACUUGGAUCUCCUAGUUUUUCUAGUCUAGUUCCUUACCUUUUUAGUUUCCAGUAUUGUUCUCCUGACACACACACAAAGAAGGUUUGCUCCCCCCUCCCCCACUAGCAGGGCUGCCAGAACCCCGCCAGGACUUGGGUAAGUUAAUCUAUAACUUCUUCAUAAAACAUGGAUGUUUACAGUAAGGCUGGCAAUUGGACAGGACCGGAUCAACAAGACUGAUUUUACCGGAAUCGGUCUUCGUUACUGGAUUUAUUUAUCGAAACCGGGUCUUACAGGAAUCGGUUUUACCGAAAAUUCCCAAGGGUUCAUCCCGAUCCCUUAGUUACCGGAUAGGAACCGGUUUGGAUCGAAUCGAAACCGGUUCUUACCGGAUCAUUGUGUACCGUAAUUUUUUUUAUUAACUUUAAUUAUUAUAUAAUAUUAUAUUAUUAAUUAAGAAUAUUAUAUUAUUAAAAAAAAUCAAUUCAAAACUUUAAACGUUAAAGUAAAUUAAAGUUUCAAUUGAAUUUAAGUUUAAACUUUAAACUUAUAUUGAAUUUAAAGUUUAAAAUUUACUUUAAACAAGUUUAAACUUUAUAUUAAAUUUAAAGUUUAAACCUUAAAAGUCAAUGUUAUAUUUAAUUUAAACUAAUAUUAAAAUAGUUGAAAAUUAAAUUUGUAAAAUGACUUGGAUUAAAUAUAAGAGACUAUUUUAAAAGAAAAUCAAGGCAAAUAGCCGUAUAUUUAUUCUAUUAAAUAAAUUGUACAAUACAAAUAUUAGAAAGAGACAAAGAGUACAAUAGUACAUAAUGUAGGUAUUGAAUAUUAAUUAUUGUACUAACUACUAACAAUUGAAACUUUUUAAAAAUCAUUUCGUAACUUUUGUAUCAUUUCAAAAUAAACAUUUUUGGAACUUGUAUUUGUCGUUCUUCUUUCAUUGCUUCCAUGCCAUCAUCACAAUUAUCACCAAAUAUUUCAUCUAUUUCGUCUUCUAUUUGUCUACUUAAUUAUGGUAGUCCGGUAUUUCUUCUUUCGGCAUUGACCCAAUCUUGAAACAACACCGAUAUUUUCAAACUAUCAUUUGCUAAUUAAUAUCGAUGUUCUCCAAUCAUAAAUCUCGCCGCACUAAAGGCUUGCUCUGAAGCGACCGAUGAUGCUUGAAUCGCUAGCACAUCUCGAACAACCCUAGCAAGGGUCGGAAAUUGAUUUUCACGAUUCUUCCACCAUACUAAUAUUUGAACUUGAAGUUGUCCUUCUUCAUGCCUAAUCUUUUCCCGUGCCUAAUUGAAAUAUAAAUCAAAAUCAUUAUUAGUAGAGGAUUCAAGCUCAAGAUAAUUAUCCAUCCAAUCAUCUGUAUCAUCACUUCUAGGCCUACAAGAUGGAGGUUCAACUACUGGAAUAUUUUUUUUCAUAGCUUUAUAUAUAUUAUAUAACUCUCUAGCUUUUGUAUAUAUGCUACUUUUACAAUCUUCAACACUAGGAGUUUCAUCAUCUCUAAUUUCUAAAUUUGCAUAAAUCUUUUCAACCAUUCUUUCAACACCUUUUAAUUUGUAAUUUGGGUUGAAAGUAGUAGCAGUCAAAUAAAUUUGAGGAAUAGGGAAAAAAUAUUUUUUGAAUUUUUCAAUCAUAAAAGCAAGGGAAUCUUCAAAUCGAUCUUUUCCUUUAUAUUUUGCAAAUUCAGAUGAAAUAGCACAAAUAUUUACUAAAACAGAAGAAAUAGUUGGAUAAUAUUGACCAGAAGCAGCAUUUGUUGCUUUAUAAAAAACACUUAAAAAUUCAAUAAGUUCUUUUGUAUUUUCCCAAUCUUCAUAGCCAAUUCUUAAAAUUCGGGUCCGCAUUAUGAACAUUAAAAACUAAUUGUACCGGCUCUUGAUAAAUAUAAGCAACUUCAAGCAUUUCAAAUAAAAAAUUUCAUCUAGUGCAUACGUCUUUUGGAACUUUUAUAUAUGCAAGUCCACAUUCUUUACAACGAUUUUUAAAUUCUGUAAUUCUAGCUUUUACUUUAGCUUUAAAAAUUCAAUUACAAGCAAGUCUAAUUUUUUCACAAGAAAUUCCAAGUUGAGAAAUACCAUUUUUUACUAUCAAAUUAUACACAUGUGCGGCACACUUAAUAUGAAAAGAAUCAUUAUCAAUUGGACAAAGUCUACAUAUUAAAUAAUCAAUUGCUUUUAAGUUAUUAGAAGCACUAUCUAAAGUGACACUCAUUAUUUUAUCACAUAUUUCAUAAAAUUGUAAAAUAGAGCUUAUUUUUGUUGCUAUAUAAGAACCGAUUUUAGUUUCUUCAACAUAUAUAUACCCUAAUAUUCGUUUUUGCAUGUUCCAUUCAUUGUCAAUCCAAUGGAUAGUAAUUGUAAAAUAAUCAUUACCAUUAGGACUACGUCCCAUAUCAGAAGUAAUAGAUAAUCUACCAUCAUAAUAAACAACGAAGAAAAUGACAAUAUUCUUUUUGAUAUUUAAAAAGAUCACUUUUAAUUGUACUUCUUGGAAUACCUUCAUAAUUUGGGUUAUACAAUUCCCGAAUAUAAUGAACAAAACCAGGAUGUGAAGGAAAUGAAAAAGGCAAACCACAAACAACAACCAUUUAGCUAAUUCUUUACGAUUUUUUUAUUUACUAUAUGUGUGGUGUGUGCUUCGGCCAGCCGAGUUAGUCAUAUUUAAUACACUUUGAACCAUAUUAGAACCUCCAACUCCCCAUAGAAUUUUUCAGGUAUGGGGUAUUCCAUUUCUAUUAGCCCUUUCUAUAUCAUCUAGGCGAGCAAAUUCUUUAUUACACUUACUCAAAUGUGUUCUUAGUCGUCCCAUUCCCCCUUGUGUACCCGUAGUUACAUGUUUCAUGGUCAAUUUACAUUUCGUGCAAGUAACAGUAGUUUUUUCCUCAUUUUGUAUCAAAAAUUUUCAUACUAAAGAUCUUUUAACAUGUACAACGGUCUUUGAAAAAGUAGGUAAAGAGGGAACUUCAUCUUGUUUCGGUAAUUCGGUAGCCGGACUAGUAGGGUAGGGGUCUUAUCAUUUUCCUCAUUUAUUUCUACUUCCUCAUCUAAUUCUUCCUCAAAAUUAGUAAAACAUCUAUUUAAAGUUCAUGAUCUACUUCAUUUUCGUAAUUAAAUUCAAUAGGUCCUCGUGACAUAAAAGAAGUUUCAUCAACAUGAGUAUAAUCAUUAGUAUUAACUCUAAAUCUAGGCAAAUGUUUAGAACUAGAACUACUUCCUCCUCCCCUAUUAUUUUUUCCUUUCGACAUUGGUCUUUUACCACUAUUUCUUUCCGAAUUCAUGUUCAAGUUUAAAAUAAUUAAAUAUUAUGAAAAACAAGCAAGAUAAUAUAACAAAAAAAUAAAAUAACUUAAUUAAUAAAUAAAUAAAUAAUUUAAGUUGGAACGAAUGUACCGAAAGUCUACGUAAAAGUAGACGUAUAACCAAAGCCAAAAUUGAGAGAUGCCAAUUGAAACUUCCGAUUUACUUCAAAUAAAUCUCCAAAAUCCGAACUCCAAGUCAAUAUCACAAAAUAAUUAUUAUUAAUUUAUGAGAGAUUGAAAAUUAAGAGAUUUUAUAAGAUGUUAAUGAAAUAGUUUGUGAAUUUAUGAUUUAAAUGAAAAAUAUGGGUAUAUUUAUAGUGUUAAGGGGUUAGAGAGGGGUGGGGGCCGUUUUGGCCCCCAGCCCAACGGCUAUAAAUUAACGUUCACCUUUAAAAAAAAAAAUUAAAUGGGAAGUGACUGUUGAACUGGAUCAACCGGAUUAAAAACUCGGGUUUCAUUUCGGUAUAGAUUUCGGUACCCUAUAAGACCGGUUCCUUACCGGUUCAACCGGUCCCGGACUUUCGGUACCAGAACCGAACCGGACCGAUCACUUUCAUAAUGAACAAGUAUAGAUACUUAAUAUGAACAACUGAAUGAUUUUACUUACUUGUCUACUGGUUGUUACACACCAUUUCUUUCCUUUGUUCUUAACUAGUGAUUUCUCCCAUACCAGAAGACAUAAUAUGCUAACUUGGAUCUCCUAGUUUUUCUAGUCUAGUUCCCUUACCUUUUUAAUUUCUAGUAUUGUUUUCCUGACACACACACACAAAGAAGGUUUGCUCCCCCCCACCAGCAGGGCCGCCAGAACCCCACCAGGACCUGGGUAAGUUAAUAUGUAGCUUCUUCAUUAAACAUGAAUGUUUACAGUAUGUGUACGUACACUGGUAUUAUCUCUUCUUCUUUCUUCUUUUCAAGAAAGGGAUAGAUUUUCAGAGCAACUUAAAAGUACAUCCCUACGAUAAAAGAAGAAUUCACGUGCGUGCGGGUCCACACAAACUACGCUCAUGUAUUAUAUUUGUACUAGGUAACCUUUUCAAUAAUCGACUGUUAUAAGAAAAAAAAAAAAGUAAAUUCAAGAAUUGUAAAUAUGUAAUUAAUGAUUAAAAAUAUCUUGCUAUCUAAUCAUUUUUAUCUUUUACAUAAUUUAUCAUAUUAUAAGUUUAAUGAUAUAAUUGUCUUGUUAAAAUUGAGUGAUGUUUUUAUGUAGUGAUUAAACAUCACUUUUUUCUAUUUUUUUUAUACAUGAAAAAUAUGGAAUCUGAUAAUUUUAUGAUAAGAAUAACUCCUUGUGUAAAAAAAAUUAUGUGAAAGCUUUCAAUAAUCAAUAUUAGUUAUAAAUAAGUUAAGACAGUUAAAAAAUGUACACCGCAAUAACAUAAAUAAUUCUUUUUAGAGACAAUCUACUCGUGUGAGGUCAAAUGUUCACCACUUUUCGUUAUUAUUACUUUGUUACUUUAUAGAAGGUGAAAAAUAAAUUUGAAACAACAACAAAAUAAUAUUGAUGACCCUAAUAGAAACUCAUUCUUCAUUAAACUGCUGAAGACCCUUCUAGAUGUUUCAUCAAUGCAACUUGACAACUUUUUCAGAAAUAAUUAUGUAUAAUUGUUGCAUUAUGAAAGUACACAUAAAUAAAAAUGCUGGAUUCGAGACUCAUGUUAAAGAAAUAUUCUCGAACAUUAAAAAAUUAAAAAUGAGUCUAACCUCAACAAUGACUUGGGACAUGAAGGAUAACAAAUCUAUGUUAAUAGACAUAUCUUUUGUAGCUUAAGAUAUUACUUUUAUUUAGAGUAUGUUUUGUUUCAUAAUCUUCAAAUUAUGCUUGCCGAAAAUAGUCAUAACUCACACCAAAAAAAUUUAGAAGAGUUGAAUGAGAAGGAAAAAAAGAAAAACAUUAAAAGGACGAAAAGCAUUGUCCAACUGAGAUCAUAUACAUACCAAACAAAAUAUAAUUAAUACAAUUUUAAGGAGACAACAAAACAGUGAGAAAAAACAUACAUUAAAGGGAGUAAACUAUGAGAUAUCCAAUUAUGAUAACUAAUCAUUAUAACCAGAAAAAGUUCCUAUGUUUUGAAAUAAGAUGCCUCAAAAAAUAGACUAACACUUCAAUCAACUUUCAAUCCUUAAAGUACUCACAACAUCCACUGAUAAAAUUUAGUAAAAAUAAAUAACAACAACAUAAAAAACCAAAAAAUAUGGGCAUGCAAAGUUAUUAACUCUCAGAGGAUUUUCUAAAGAACACAAAAUCACAUCCUUGUAUGUGAAGGAAUAACGUUUUGAUGAAGAAAAUAGAGAUUUGUAAGGGAUUUUUUUAUUGUACCUUCAACAAGAAUACUUGCUUGAAUAUUCAAUUAACAUUUGUUAUUUAAUUUGUACAAACAAAUACUUAUAACAAUAACUUUGCAUAAACAUAAACAACAAAGUUUAAAACAUAUACUCAAAAACAACAAUUAAUAAUAUAAGCAUAAAUUAAUGACCGUUAAAAAACAUACCAGGAUAUGCAACAAUAGAAUGAAACAACAUGAAAGAAAUCGAGUCCACUGAAUGCACACUGUAGUCCUCUAUUUAUAGUCAACAAAUGAUGGUGUGAAAAAAAUGAUUAUUGUGUCUUAUUGGAAAGGUCACAACAUUUCAUACAAGUCGCAACUCCUCAUAAAACUCACAAUUUUUCAUAAAAGUCGCAAUUUUUCAUAAAAGUUGCAACUUUUCAUAGAAGUCACCGUUUUUCAUAAAAGUCGCAACUUUUCAUGAAAGGAGAAGGCUAGUUUUAAAAAUAACAUAAAUUAAAAGAGAAUCAUGACUUGUGGUGGCGCCACGUAGGCGGGCAUAAGGUUCUCUUUAUAUAUAUAUAUAUGAUUAUUAAUGUAUGUACUUUCAUGUCAAAAGAGUAUUGAAUUAACGGCUUUUAAUACAUUUAUUAAAAAAAAAAAAAAAAAAAAAACUUUCGCAAAUAGUCACUAUAAUAAACUUAAUUAUACUCUAUAGCUAUAGUUUACAUAUUUACGGGUUGUAGCUACAGUUUAAGUUGUCUCAUUUGUAUAAUUCGCAUGUUUGUAUAGGCAUAAUUCAGUUGUUUUUGUAUAAACUCAAAAUAAUGAAUUUAUACAAUUACAAAUAUCAGAAGUGUAAACAAUUAUACAAAUUAUAUUAUAUAAAUUCUGAAUUAUAUAAAAAUUAUAUAAAUUAUAUUAUACAAAACCCGAAAAAUACAAACGUGCUAAUUAUUCAAAACAAAAAAAAUUGAGUCUAAUUAUAGCUAAAAGUAGGUCGCAAAUUGAAAUUAAGGCAAAUUAUAGCUAUGUUAACCAAUUAACUAGUACUUAUAUGUUUUCUUAUACACAUAAUUUUCCCUAAAAAAUUAUCGGAUUAUUGAUUCAAUAAUGCUUUGUUAAUAUUGGGUAAACCGAAUCCAUUAAGAUAGUAAUAAUUUACUACUUUACUUAUAUAUAAAUAUUUAGACAAGUCGUGUAAUUAUUUUAUGAGUAUUUUCUUAUUGGUUAAACCGUUAAAGAUCAAAGAUCGAUAAAAAAAUAUCUUAUUGGUUUAGCGUAUUUAAAAAUAAAAAACUGUAAAAAUCGAACCAACCGAUGCACAACCUAGCAUCUUCAACCCAUUCUCUAUUUUACUUCUCUAGAUUCUCUAUAUUUUGAAACAACCAAAAUUUCAUCCCAAUUCUCUAUUUUACACUCUAAAAAUAAUUUUUUUUCUCUAUCGUCAAUAUUGUAUUAUUAGUUUUAUUUCAUAGCAUAAAAAUAGAUUGGUUGAAUUAUCAUUUAAAUUCUGUACAUUCUUCAUAGUGAAAAAUAAUUACUUUUAAAUUACAUUAAAGUGACAAAAUUUUUAGAAAAAUAUCACUUCAGGAUGGAAGUAGUAUACUUGUCAAUAAUACAUUUUUAGACGUUUUUUAUUUGCUUACUUGUUUGACACGUGCAGUUUUCAUUUUUGUGAUGGCUGUUUUUUUAAUAGGGAAAAAGCAUAAAUUGCCCUCUAAAUUUGUACCCAAAAGUCACUUACACACUUUAACUGAUGAGACGACCUAUUACACACCUUAAGUACAUAAAAGUGUAUUUAUUUUUCAAACAGACAAGCAAUUGCAAAAAUUCAAUCAUAAUUACACGCAAAUACUAGGCAACCCAAACAUGCUCUGAGGCCAAAUCACACUAUAAUGCAAUGCAAAUGACUAAAUGAAGGGAAGCAAGAAGUCGGAAGAAACAUCGAACCGUCCGAAAUAAUGCCUUAGACUUAACAGCAAAAUGCAUUUAUACUUUAAAAUAAUUAUUAAAAAUGUCAAAAUGUCAAUAUAUUAAAAAAUAAUUUAUAGCCUAAUAUCAUUAUUUUCUUUCCUUUUAUUUCUCAAAUCAGUCCCACAUUAGACUAAUUUCUAUACCACUAUUCGGUAAAAAGGAAAAAAUAUUCACCCACUAUUUACUUACUCAUCUUUCUAGGGUUUUCCCCCAUAUAUCCAGAAUGUACUAUUAGAACAAUUUAUGUAUUUUUCCUCCUUAGUUAAAAAUAAAAGUGUAUCAUGUACUCAAUUGUAUCUACUAUUCAGUACAAAUCAGCAAUAAAUUAUUAUAACACAUAAAUUUCGUCGAUUGUAUCCCAAAUUAGUUAUUCAUUACUUAAUUAUAUUGGGCUAUAAUAUAUUUGUUGUAUAAAAAACACCAGCUACAAAAAUCAAAAGUGUAUCAUAUACUCAAUUGUAUCCAAUAUUCAGUACAAAUCAACAAUAAAUUAUUAUAACACAUACAUUUUGCCGAUUGUAUCCCAAAUUAGUUACUCAUUACAUAAUUGUAUUGGACUAUAAUAUAUUUGUUGUAUUCAAAAACACCAAGCUACAAAAAUAAAAAACACGCACUUUCAUUCAUUAUAAUCCUAGAAUGGCUACAAUAUUUCGUAAAAAGGUUAAAAUCUCAAUACAUACAAACAUUCAUCAUCAUCAAAAAAAAAAAAAAAUCUACCCAAUUUUCUAGUCGAGAUUUACGAAUAUCACCUAUAAACAAAUUAAAUAAUAAACCAUUAAAAAGAAUACUUAAAGAUUGAAUUCGAAAAAGAGUCGACUGAUUUGAAACUUGUUUUGGAAUUUUUACGAACAAUGGAGAAAGACUCUUCAAAGCACAAUGGAUAGAGACCCACUUUUGUAUUUCUCCUUUAAAUACGCAACUGAUGAAAAACUUGAAAGAUUUUUACCUUUUUAAAAAUAUUUUGUCCCAUGAUUUUCUCUAUUCUAUUGUUAAAUAUUUGUAUUCUUUCCAAUUAAACAGUUUUUAAAAAAUUACAUAACUCAACCCUUAACAAACUAAAAUAUUGAUAUUUUAAAUAAAUAUUAAAAAUAUGAUUAAGAAGUCCCAUAAGAAGCUAAAAUAUUGUUGUUUUGAAAAAUUUAUAUAUAUGGAGUCAAUAUAUAUAAAGAUAAAGAAUAUAUAAAGAGUCACAAUUAUUUAAAAGGCACUAUCGAAAACAUAACAUUUUAUUUUUACAAGAUAAGGUUAAAUUGUGUUUACCCUUCUCAAGCCCCACUAUAAGCCUAUAAGGAUUUAAGAAAACAAACUUAAUAGUUAUUAAUAAUCGAGAUAUUCCCGAAAAUUAGUGACACAUGUUUCGAAACUUGAAAGUUUCAAACUCAUGAUGGACACCUAAAUAAACAAUUAACAAGGAGGGGUCAAGUUAAUAAAUUUACACUAUCAAAGAAACUAGACUUCUUAUAUUGAUAAUCGAGAAAUCUCUGAGGGUCAGCGAUGCAUGAUCCGAAACUCAUGACGUGCACUUAAUGAGACAAAUAUGAAUCCUUAUCUUUAGAGUAAUCUUGCAUAAACAUAAAUCAUAAUCACAAUCUAUGAACGCAAAGAAUAGUCUAUCAAUGCAAGUAUCAGACACCGAAAAAGAAAAAAAAGGGAGGAGAAAUGACUACCAUACAAGGCAAGUUAAGAAAAUAGAAGCUCACUUGCACAAAAAACUUACAAAUUGAUCAUUAUAAGUUGAUGUUGAAGAGUUUAUAGUAAAACUUACAAGGGAAAAAAGAAACAGAAUUUACUGGUGCUCAACAAGUCUAAAUGAUAUGAAAAAUCAUUAGUACAAAGAACUUCAGAUGGAUUAAAGUUGGAGAACUGUAUCAAGCAAUGGUGUUUCUUCAUCCUCUACACAAAAAGAGAGAACCCCGUCGGGUUCUGGCAACUUGAUGAAGAGUAUGUUUCUAACUGCAGCUCGACCUACUUGGCUCGGUUUACCUUCAAGUAAGGCAAUGCACCGAUUACAUUGUUGUAAUCGCUGCGGUCAACUUGUACCUGUGUAACACAAACAUUAUAUGAUGAGUCAUCUAACUUUGAAGAAAGAGUAGUACAAAUCUUACGCCAAAAAUUAGAGAGUUCAUUCGCCAGAAAGUACACACACGUUCAUCCACGAGGUUUUUGGCUUCAAGUUAUAUCUGUUUUAUCUUCUAUUCCCUUAAACCAUCACUCAUUCUAUACUGCAAUAAGAAUAGCCUUUCAAUACUUAGACAUUGAUCUUAGGAAGGUAAGGUCUGAUAGUUGGUAGCAAAGUAGCAACAAACUUUUGUUUUUGGAUAAUCGUGGUGUUUGGGCUAGCUUGCCCACACCUUGACUAAUUCCACAGUGUACCGUUAAAGUAGCAAUAGACUUCUUGGUUUGCUGCAGGACAUUUUGGUGAAUCACAUAAUCAUAAUGCAGCUGGAAAGGAUUGACUGAAUUGACAAGGGUAAUAACUUUUUCAGAUGGGCAAGCAAAUUUGUAGCUAACAAGUGACAAGGCAUGAGCGAGAUUCGGCCGGUGGUAUCAUAAAUAUGAGCAGAUAAGUGGUGCAAAUUUCGAUGAAACUGUGAAGGAAAAGGCAAUGCAUAGGUAGGGUAGUGAGAGAACCUGCGGAUAUGGAUGAAUCGAACACCAUUUGAGAACAUCUUUAUCGAAAACAAAUGGUUUUAUUAGAGACAUAUGGAAAGUAAAGGUAAAAGGGUGCCAACAUGGGAUUCUUUGCCAUUUCUAGAAAGUGACAUGCAACAAAAUUACACAAUCCCAAAAUGCACGGUGGAAGAAAAUACAAUCAUUUACAUUGCAUCAAAGAUGCCAAAAAUUAGAGCUAGACUCGGUAUGACUUGGCCGUUGGGCUGUUAUAAGUAAUUAACUUGUACUUGACAGCACGCUUACAGACCUGCUGAAUAAAUUAUUGGCCAAUCAUGGAAUCAUCAUAUGAACUGUUCAGAACUAUCUUAAAAACAAGUAUCUUACAAAUGCGUAAAUGACAUUCUAACUCUCCUAAUUAGUACUAAACCAUACGUAGUUCCUCAAUUUGUUAAGAAGAAAAAGUUGCUGCUCCUACGGGCUACGACAAUGACAUUUUUAUUUUACAAAUCCACAAAAAUAGUUGAAACAGGUCCAAAUAAAGCAAAAUGGAUUGUGAAGAUCAUAUAGGCGACCCCAACUAGAUUGGAAUUUUGAGCAUAGUUGUUGCUGUUAUUGUAUCCACAAAAAUUAGUGAACAAAUCAUGUCAGCUUAUGGCUAGCCAAAUACCUAGGAUUCUGCAUCACUAUCAGAAAGCAAACCUUAUUUUGAUACAUAGGCAUAGUCUCGAACUCAAUUCAGCAGUCAUUUACAGAAGUGGUACUAUUUACUGCUACCAACGCUAAUACUCUUCAUCACAGUUAUUGUAUCCACUUUGAGAGAGCUACAAGAAGCACUGUGAUAGGAGUUCGAGUUGAAGAAAAUUUAGUGGCACGAUUGGUAAUGGAAGAGCUUGGGGUUAGCUAUAUGGAAUUGGAAGUGUGCGGCCCUUUGAGUUAGCGAUCAGUAGUAUUUUCCUUCGGUAUGUGGAUGUGAAUGGCACUUCAACCUCUUGGUUGUUGAUAAGGACCAUUGGCUGGCACGAAGUUAACACAAGUAAGUGAAGGUAACCUUUUUGGCAUUUCUACACUUUUUUAUGACUCUGUAAUUCCUCAAAUAUAGAGUAGAGAUUGUUCUUUGUGAGUUCCGAUUACUUGAUAUGCAAAAGUUGCACAACUUUGUUGGCAAACUGCACGUAAACUAGAACUCUUGCAAAAUGCAUUGUCCUUAAAACAAUGUUCUGAAGAUCAUCGCCUGAUUUCUACUUCAACGAAUGUAUUAAAAGUUGCAUUCCCUAUGACAUAUGACAUCAUGGGACAUAAAAAGGAUAAGUUACAAUUCUAAAAUAUAUUCAGGCAUUCAGAGAAGGUUUGAUAAAAAACUGAUAUUCCAGACUGAUAACAAGCAAAGAAUUUAAAUAAAGUUUUCACAAUAGAAUGUAUGAGUUCUGAGAGAAAGAAGUUAAACCGUUUUCGAGAGCCUAUUUUUUCUUUUGGUAUUCUUCUUCCUAAGCAAAUGCUGCUUCCCAGCUCUCCUCCUCAUUAUCUUCCCACUACCAGACACCUUAAACCUCUUUGCUGAAGCCUGAAAAUUCCAAGAUUAUCACAAAUUCAAACACCUAAUUCACAAUCCCCACAAAAACCUCCACACUUUAAUAUCCAAACACACACACACACACAAAAAUGCAAACUCUACUUUGUGCUUGUGGGUUUUCAUUUUUACAGUUUAGGCAAAAGACAUAGAAAAAGAGAGCGGCCGAGCAUCUAAAUCCCCUUUACAAGUCAUUUUCUCUCCACAGAAAAUCUCCACAUAUGCAUGCACACACAUCAAAUAUAAUGAGAACCGAACCGACCAAAAAACCAAUACUUGUAAACCGAUAAUACAUAAAACCGAACCUACUGAUGCACACCCCUAUUCUUCAUUCUGUCUCCUUUGGGACACGUUCAAACACUUUCUUUUUUUUCCUUCCAAAAUUGGGGGAAAUGCAUUUGGGAAUUAAUACGUGGGAAUCUAACCCUUACCAACAACGUGAAAAUUCAGAUAGUCAACCAACUUAGCUACUAAGAUUCUCCGUAAAUUCAAACACCCAAUUACAAUUCCCAUAGGAACCUCCACACAUACCAAAACCACACACACACUAUAGUGAGCAAAAAAGAAUCGAACUUUACUUUGUGGGUCUUCAUUUUGUACCCUUUGGCACACAUCCUAACACCCUAAUCACAAUUCCCACAUAAAACCUCCACAACAAACCUAACUCAAACACACACACAAAGAACAAAAACAG